RNAcentral lists this long non-coding RNA (140944 nucleotides) under Phaseolus vulgaris (common bean). Its description in RNAcentral is "long non-coding RNA (PVUL_LNC001036)". The record is from RNAcentral. Lineage: Eukaryota; Viridiplantae; Streptophyta; Magnoliopsida; Fabales; Fabaceae.
UCCAGAAACCUAGAUCUAUCAAACAAACAAAAUAGAAGUUGUGGUUAUUUUGCCAACAUGAAGGAAGAACCACAUUGAAAAUCAUAAUAUCAUUAAGAAAUAAUCGUUAAGAUGUGAACAUAUAGUUUUUUUUUUUUGCGUAUUACAAUAUAAAAAAACUCAUAACAUGUUUUCAAGUUAGUGUUGGGUUACAAAGUUGGUUGUUUGUGUUGGGUCUAUUAGUGUCUAAGUUCAAGAGGGGAGGGGUGAAUUGAACUUAUAAAAUUUUCGCAAGAACACACAAUUUUUCAGUAUUCCAGAGGCAAAAAGAACAGAUUGUUUUUACAUGAAACAGAUUGAUUCUUCAGAGCAGUCUUGGCACAAUUUGAAUUUGUUCAAUGUGAAAUUGUGAUCAACAGAGAAUUAUAACAGAAUCAGAUCAGCUUAAUAUUGUGAGGAUGAAGGGUACAACUAUGCUUAGAAAUCAAACAAAGUUACUUAACACAAGGUUUUAAGAAGAAUGAUCCUUUCUCAGAUUUUAAUGAAUGGACAGUUUGUUCACAAAUCACUUAAACCAUUAUAUACAGCCGCCUUGUUUAUGAUCAGAGAACUUUAACAAAUCAGGAAGAAUAGUUUUCACUUAAACCCAGAAUUAACAGAUUCAAUUUCAAAAGAACAGAUUUAGUUCUUGACAGAAUUAAGCAAAACCAGAAAUGAGUGCAGGGAUGAGAAGACAAGGCACACAAGUUUUUAUACUGGUUCACUCAUACAGAGCUACAUCCAGUCUCACCUUACCCCAAGGUGGAAUUCACUAAAAACAGUACCAAUUACUUACAAACACAGCAGUUCUUGAACACUACAAGAACAACACACACAAUGCUGAAAAACCCUAUUUCAGCACACCUUGCACUCCAAGAAACCCUAUCAAGGAGUGACUAACACUUACACAUUUACAAAACAGAAUAAAGGAAAGAUUACACCUGAAAAGAAGAUGCAAGAACUCAAAACCAGUAGUUCAAUUUGCUGCAGAACUGCACCAGCACCUUCACCAAGAUCAAAGGUUUCCUAGAACAAGCACACUUGAAAAUCUCUUUGGAAAACCUUUCAAAAGUCUUUCAAUCCUUCUUCUCACAUGGAAAAUGUUUGAUCUCUGUCAAAAACGUAAUUGCUCAGCACACUCUCAUGUGAGAUAGACUUUUCUUUAUAUAAAAAACAGUUUCUAACUUCUUUUCAAAAAGCAGUUAUGAAAACAACAGAUUCAUUUUUGAACUUAACAGAUUUAUUUUAUGAAAACCGCCAACUCAGCUAACUGAAAUAACUGUCUGAGUUGUACCUUUGGUGCCCUAACUAACUUGUGAAAAACCUUUCAACUGAUCAAAGGGCAAACCGAUUCUUUCACAGUGAAACAGAUUAAAUGAAGGCAAGUGGGCCAGCUCAGCUUUAACUGAAAUAACGAACUAAGCUUUGCCUGUGGUCUCUAACAGAACUUUUAGAAAAGCCUUUUAACAGAGAAGAAAUAAACAGAUUCUUUCUCCAUAAAACAGAUUUAUUUGUGUACUGAUUUAAAACUUUUAAAAACAUUUUAAAAAGCUUUUCAAAACCCAUUUAACCACAUCAUGUGCUUGAUCUAGACUUGGUUAGGCAUCUAGGAUAGGUUAUACAACAAAAGGCAAUCAUACACAAUUACAAGCCUAAUUACAAAUGAAUCUAAAAGCCUAUUACAAUCUUCAAAGCACUCAAGCCAUUUUCUUCAUCAAACACAUAACAAGCCUUGGUAGGGAAGAAGCUUCCUCCAGCUUCAACAGUUUGUUGUUAACCCUAAACAUGUUUUGUUAUCUCUAUAAUAUUGUGUUUAACCUAGAUCUCACAAUAUAAUUAUGAGUAUAUUUAUUUAUUUAAAGAGAUUGUGUAAGGACUUAGAAAAUAACUUUAGAGUAUAAAUAUUAUAUUUAAAAUGACAUCUAAAUAUUUUAUUAUCAAAGUAAAAACUUCAUAUAAAUGGAAAAUGUAGUUAUUCAAACUUUAUUUUAAAAUAAUCAAUACUUUUUAGAAAAUCUUUUUCUUUUCUUAUUUGCUUUCUCUCUAAAUUUUUGACAUCAUCAUUUGACAAUCAAAGUCCACAUUUGGAUUACUGGUAGUGAAUAGAACAAAAAUGUUUGAUUAAAUUUAUGUUUAGAAUAAAUUCAUCUAUGUUCCUUUUUUUUAGUCAGUUUUGAGUUUUCUCUUUAUCUAGGUAGACAUGCUUUGCGUGUUGUGUUUGUGACUUCAAGAUUAAUCUUUGUUAGUUCAAGAUCCUAAUGAUGUGUUCAGAUCAUUGAUAAGGACUUUGUAGUGCAAGUUAGAUUAUCCCUUUUUUUCUCAAGGAGUUGAAGCCCUUUUGAAAGCACUUGACCUUCUAAACAAGCAAGGGAAGCUAGUCUUAUUUUUCAAUAGAACUUUAAGUUAGAAGAUCUAAAUGUGAAGGUGAUGUAGUCAUAAGUUAUAAAAUUUUAUUGUAGGGUAAGCUUUAUUGAUUGAAAUAUAUGUUAAUUGAUGAAAGGAUUUGAAGUUUUAAACAAUUGGAUAAGUGGUUGAUGAUUUAAAGUGAUUGUGAUAUGUAAUUUUUACUUGAAAAAAUAAGUUACUAAAAUGAGGUAUAUUUGCUCUCGGAUCCAAAUUUGCUUACUAUUUUCCCCAUUUGUUUAAGUGAAUUUAGAUGCAGAAUUUGGGGUGCUCUUGGCCUUAAAUCCGCUCAGCGUUUUCCCCUACGCUUUCGUAAAUUUAGAUGCAGAGUUUGUGGUGAUCUUGGACUCAAAUCCGGUCAACGACAACAUCAUGCACUUAACGCAUUUUCCUAGGCUUAAGCCCUAGCUUUAUGGGUCUGAGCCAUUUUGAUAAAAAUGUUCAUUUUUGCUUCGCUACCUUUUCUUUUCAUUUCUAUAAAUAAUGAAAUCGAAUUAAAUCUUUUGAAACUUUAUAAAUUGAAAGUGAUUUCAACUUUCUAAGGUUUAUAUUUCAAGAAAUUUAUGAAACUUAAGUGUUUAAACACAAGUAAAUCUAACAUUUGUCAAAAUGUAAAGCAUAUAUUCAUUUUAUAUUCAAUUGAUUCGUGAAAUUUUAAAGGUUAGGUGAUUGUUGUUGAUAUUUCCAAUUGUCGUAAAAGUAUAAAUUUAUGUGUGAUUGAAUGGUAUGUUGAUGAAUGUGAUGAAUUAUGAAUCAUGUGAAAAUGUAAUUGAGACAUAGUAUUUUCAGGAAAGGAAAUACUGUGUUGAGAUGGUUAGGAUGUGCAUUGAUUAAGGACUUGUCUAGAAGUAUAUAUAUUGACUAUACUUAUUUAUUGAAAUCAUGUAAAUGAAGAUAUUCAAGUGGUGAGAGUCGAAGGAGGUUCAUAUGACUGUGUCUACAGUUUGAAAAUAAUCUAGUCUGACAAGUCGUAUGAAUUAACCUUGUCAUACAAGUUGGUUGAUUGAAUUGAUUCAUAUGUAUAUGUGGUUGUUAGUGGGAGUAGUAUGACAUGUGCAUAUCUCUGAGUUUGAAUCAAUGCACGAGUCUUCUGAAAGUAAAGUCAAAUGUCUCUAUGUGGAUUUCAAUUGAUUUCUGGCAUGAGUGGUUGAUAAGUGACUAAUUUCAAUAAUAUUUCAUAUUAAAAUAUAGACACUUAUGAAGAUUUACUGCUAAUUUACAUAUAAAAUAAUCCCUAAUUUAUAAAUUUAUACAUUUUUUAUGAUCUUUAUUUGAAUAAGAGUAUUUUAUUCCCAAAUUUGGUGUUAAUUGCAGAUUUCUAGGAAAGAUUGGAGAUUUGGAUUAAAGAGGAAUGAUUUGAGCUAAAAAGAGAAAGAUGGAAGGUCCCAUAAUGGAAAAAGAUGUAGAGACAGAUUGAGCCUUUUUAUGUUUUAUCACUUAGCCCAUUAGCGCGACACAGGAAACAACCUAAACCUAGAAAAUUAGGUUAAAUAGGGGGCUAGAGGAUUAACUCUAGGGUGCGAGAUUGAGAGGAAAACACCAUAGAGUGAAUUGUAACCCAAUUGGGAGAAUAAAAGGUGCUAGAAGUAUGCGUGACUAAUUCUACCAUUUGAGAUUGUGAGUAAUCUACUCAAACUCUUAUGUAUUGAGGUGAUAUCUUAUAUAUUAAUAUUCAGUUCUUGAUUGAUUAUUGGUAUUGUUGUUUUACUUUUAAUUUUUCGUGACAAAUUGAGAAUCUUAAUCUGACCGGGAGGUAUUUGUAGGGUUUGGACAUAAAAAACAAUACUUAACAUAUUUGAGUGUUAGGGAUAAACUUGAAAUGUUAAUUGACAUUAAUGUCUGACCUUCGUUCCAAGUUGUUCUUAUAAUUAUGCGAGGGAUCGAUAAUUAGGGAACAUUCUUAAAGAUUUUAUAUGCGAGGAAUCGAUAUAAAUGAUUUUUAUACGGUCAUCAAUUUCAAUCAAAGAACUUAAUAUUGACAUGUUAAUCAAAAUACAUAAGAGUGAGAAAGAUGAAACCAAAUCCCUAUUUUUCCAACUUGAAGCAACUCAAUUCUUUGUCUGUUUUCUUAUUGAUUAGUGCCAACACAAUUAAUUCAAAACUCUUUUUAUUGUUCUGUUUUUAUAUUUAGCGAUUAUAGUACUCAAUAAUUCACUGUUCAUUGUGGGAUUGAUAUCCGUCUUUAUGAACAAUUAUUACUUCUAACAAAUGCGGUGCACUUGUCGUAAAAAGUCAUCAGUGGUAUUGAGCUAUGUUAGUGAUUUUUUGACGUAAGUGAUGUGAAACAUGGAAUAUUUACAUACAUUUGAAUUUUUAGGAUAUUUGGAAUGAAUGAAGUGUGAUGAUUCGUAUGAUUAUGAUCGAAUGAUUCAAAUCUAAAGUUUCAUUAAUAUGGUUUAGGUUAUAAGACUCCAAAAUAAAGAUAAUGGAGUAUUUUCCUUUGGUUCUUUUGAUGUUAUGUUUUGAUGAUGUAUAUAUUUUGAUAUCCUUAUACGAGGGGAAAAGAAAUGAAGAAUGAUUAUUUUCUAUAUUCUUAACAUAUUCAAAAUCUUUUUUCUGGAUCUUCUUUAAGUACUAUGAAGAAGAAAAAAAAAGUUGUUCUAAUUUAAUAUACAUAUAUAUUAGAUGAAUAAAAAAAUGUUAAAACAGGUUUUUUCGUCUCCAACUUUUUUUUUUGGAGAGAUAUUGUUGUGCGUACGUACAAGAUAUAAAAGUAAAUAAUUCUACUUAUGUGUCUUGAAAAAAUCUAAAUUAUCUUAAACAAAGGUGUAUAAAAAAUGAAAGGUAAUGACAUGUAUCGUGUAAGUGUGUUGGACAUAAUAUUAUUAUAUAUUAUUUAAAAGAAAUAUUCAAUUUUCUACCAACACAAUAAACCGAAUAAAAAUAUUGUGAAAUUAAAUUGUGUGAGGAGAAAUAACGAAAGUUUAGUCAAGGGAACAUAUUUAGCUUUUUUUAAUUUUAGUUAUUUUAUUCUUUCAAUUGUUAAUUUUUGUGUGUGUGCAUAAUGAUGUUUUUGUUGUGAGUACACAGGUUAAUUUCUUAAAUUACGAAUGUGUUUGAUAAAAGCUUAAUUAUUAGCUUAAUUUGAUAACUUAUAAGUUAAUUUUACAAUAAAUGUAGUUUAUUUUUGAGUUAACUUCUAACUUCUAACUAAACUAACUUUUACAUUUUAAUAUUGUUUAUUUAUUUUUUUAAUAGGACUUAUUUCAAUUUUUUAUAUUAAGUAUUGUAAUAUUUUUAGUAAUUUUCUAAUUAUUUUUAAAUCUUUAUGUAAUUCAAAUUAAAAAAAAUUAACAUUAUAGAAGUAAUUAAAUUUUAAUUAUAUGAUAUUAUAUAAAAAUUGCAUAUAGUAAAAAUUAUGAAUAAUAAAAUUCAAUACUACAGUGGUUUAAAUUGAGAAAUUAAAGAAAUUUUUUUAAAAAUAAAAAUUUAAUUUAAUUUAAUUAAUUACAUGAAUUUAUUUAAAUAAUAAUACUUGUUAAAAUAUUUUUUUUAAAAGGUAAAUAAAAAUACCAAAAAUUUUAAUUAUUUAAAGAAUAAUUAAAUUAUAAUUACAUAAUAAUAAAACUUAUAUAAUUAUAUUAUUUUAUGUCAUUUUACAUUCACAAUUAAUUUGUCAACUAGCUUAUUAAAUAUUUCUAAUUUUGUAAAAUAAAAUAUCAAUUGAAAAUUAUAAAUUAUAAAUUUAUGGCUAAUUUAUUAAUUAGUGUUUCCAAAGACACCUAUAUUGUUAUCACCUUUGAGUUUAGUUAGUUUUUUUUUUUCAUGACGUUCUUAAGUAUGACUUGAUUACUUGGGCUUGCUGCUAAAAAGAAUUACUGAUUCCUUGCAUUGUACGGAGGUGUGGCUAUUAAAGCUUACAACUUACAAUUUUCAAUAUAUUAAUUAGGUGGGGCCACAUUAUUAAGAAGGAAAAAAUAAAUAUCAAUUAAUGUAGUAUAAUGGGUAAGUUAGUCAUUUGGAUAUAAUAAAACAAUUAUUAAUAAGAUACUUUUUAUAAGUAUUUAGUAAUGUUUUUAAUAUACUAUUGUAUGUCUGUUUCAAUGUGUAUUUAAUUUAAUAAUGCUUUUAUAUGUUUUUAAUAUACUAUUGUAUGUCUGUUUGAAUAUGUAUUUACUUUAAUAAUGUUUUAAUAUACUAUUGUACUGUGUAUAUUGUAUGUUAUGAAACUCGUACAUUCAUCUUAAAUAGCGUGUUGAUAUUAAAUACGAUAUUUAUAAGACACUCAUAAGAUAUCGUAAGAUAAUUAUACGUGAGGUGUUUAAUUUAAAAUAUAUUUAUUAAAUUUUGACAAUUAUAACAUAAUUUUAAUAUAAUUUUUUUAAAAAAAUAUAAUAAUUUUCUAAAAACUUAAAUUAUAUAAUUUUUUAUUAUAAGUAUAAAAAUAAGGAACAAAUUCUUUUAAAUUAAUCAUGAAAAACAUCUUUCAACUUAAAAAAAUUUAAAAUAUACUUAUACAUAUAAAUUUUUAUUAUCAAUUUAUAUAAUUCAUAAUUAUAUAAUAUAUACAUCCAUAUUUAUUAUCUUACAUUUUAAAAUUAUACACAUGUCUUCAUGUCCCUAUCUUUCUCAUAUCUCCGUGUGAAUUUCGUGUUAGAUAUAUUGAAUGCUUCUUUCAAUAUGUAUUUAACUGAUUUCUCAAUUUGGGGUCAAUUUGGAAUGUAAAUUUUAUAAUAAGUAUUUUUAAUUUAACUUUGUAAUGGAUAAGUGCUGCAUACGUGUCCAAUAGGAUUACGGGACUUCGACUUUUCUGUUUCUUUUUCCACGAUUUUGGAAUUUAACGUGUUUUAUAUUUUUUUUUAAGAUGGAAUAAUCACUAAAUGAAUAAAAUAAUUGUAAUAAUGAAAUAAUUUAAGAAAUAUUAAGUUGAUUUUUUAGUAUAAAAUGAAUUUGAUUAAUAACAGUUUUAGAAUCUAAAUAUUAAACACUAAAACUUAAAAGUAUAACCAUUAAACAUAUAUCCUACAAUAGUGUAAACUAUAAAACAUUUACGAUUUCGGACUUAAAUCUUUUAAUUUUACGGCUUUUACGGAAAACACACCAAUUUAAAGUUUCUUAUUUAUUUUUAAAUAUUCAUCACUUUAUAGUUAAAAUUAUAUUUUAUGUUUUUUUUAUAUUUUUAUUCGGAAAUAUCUACAAUCAAUAUCAUUAAAAAACAUUGAUUAAUUUUAAAAACUAAAUACUUUUAUUGAAAAUAUUAUUAAUACCCUUUAACAAUGAUUUUAAUGCAUGCCAAAAAUUAUUUUAAUAAAAAAUUAUUAUUGAGAUAUAAAUUUAUAUAUAUAUAAUUGUAAUUUAUAUAAAUUGAUAAUAAAGAUUUAGGUGCAAUAAGUUGUUUUAGUUUUUAUUUGGAAAAAAAAUAUUUUUCAUGGCUAAUUCAGAAUGAUUUGUUCCUAAUUUUAUAAUCAUAAUAAAAGUUUAUAUAAUAAAUUUAAAUUUUUAAAAAAUUAACUUGUUUUUUUAUUUAAAAUUGUGUUAAACCCUUACUAGAAUUAUCAUAAAUUAAAUAAAUAUUUUUUGAAUUAGACACUUUAUCGAUACGUGUCCUACGAGUGUCGUGUUCGAUGUGUGUCUGACACUGACACACCAUUUAAGAGACGUGUCCGAAUUUCAUAUACUAAUUAAUAAAAUUCUGCCUGUUUUCAUAGUAAAUUUUUCUUUUUAUAAAAAAGUUGAAUAGAAGGAUUGAAUUAUUGUAAUAUUAGAAUAAUAAUUGAAGCCCCGUUAUUCGUUUUUGUACGUCCAGACUCUUCAGUCCUCUGUUUAGGUUCAUGAGAAACCAGUACUGUGACCUAAUUCUAGUCCUAAUUAAUUACUAAGUACUAGAGAACUUUCCAGGCUGAUCUAUAAUUGAAGAAAUAUAACUAUGCAAUGCUUGAUUUUAUAAGUUGGUUCAAUUGUUAAUUAAACUGAUACAAAUAUUAGAUUAAAUUAAACUGACCAUCCAUUAUCUUGGCCAUAAACAACAGAGAAAAGAAACGGCCUCCCACUUCUGAAUUGGGACACUGACGCCCUCCUCAUAAUAUAUACAUUAUCUUCUUCUCAUUUCUCAUUAAUUAUUUCAAUAAUCACUUGAACAAUUGUUUGUUUUUAACUCCAACUGAUAGUGAUCUUCAGAAAACCACUAAUAUAUGCAGCAGUUCAAACAAACUGCUAAACUCAUUAAACUAAAUGGAAUAUUAAAGUAAGCGUACAAUGAAGGCAAUAGAAAAAAAUUAAGAGGAAGAGAAGGAUGCAUUAGGAAUUUAGAAUUCAAAAAACUAUUGAGGAUAAAUAGUUGCACUGUACGCGCACUAAAUACGGUCAACACGCUUACAGACAAGACCAAAGAAAAUGACAACGUAAAAGAGACCGACAGCUGACGGUUUCGAGUGGACACGUGUCCUUAAGCAGGUAUGGAGGACGCGUGUUGUUACCUGAUUCGGUAGUCUCUUAAUCAAUUUGAGUGUGUCUUGCGUCAUGGCCUGCAAUUUGCUGAAGCUAACCACUGGUUACGACAGCGAUAAUUAGGGGGUUGAUUAUGUGAUUAAGAAUAGUAAUCAAGGUGAUAGGGUGCUAUAUAACCGAGAGAGAGGCGAUAGGGCAGAUCCAAGAGUGGCGAGAGGUAUUCACAGAUAUUUUUUUUGUCUACACUUUCUUCAGAGCGUUAAGUCUUUUGUGCUUCAUCUUCCUUCUCCUUCUCCUUCUCUCAUCCCCCCUCUGUAACACCCCGCUUCUCUGAAUCCCUUUCUGUUAAUAAUCUGUCUUUCAAGCUAAGAUUUUCUGGUUUGUCUUUUAACUCACCAAGAAGCAAACUUAGAAGGAUUUCUCGAAAGCCAGGUGUUUUCAGAAACGAGAUCCAGGUUUUACUGUCAAAAUUUGCUAGUUUAAUUUUGAUCUUCUCCCCUUUUUUUUUCCUUUGAAACUAGCCAAGAGGGUUAUUUUUUAUCCCUCGAAGUUUAAUCUUUUUUUUAAGACCCCGGGACUGAGGAGGUUGUCUAUUUGUAAUCUCCUUCAUCCUUUGUUUGUAGAAAAGGUUUUUGUUUUAUUUGAUUUUUGUGAUUAACCACCUGUUCUUCAGUUUUAGAAAGACGCAGGUUGAAUUGAUCUGAUGGCAGCUAUGAUGGGUUUUUACAGCAGCACAGAGUUUCAACUUCCCUCAGAUCCGUUCAGGGGUGAACUAAUGGAAGUUCUUGAACCUUUUAUGAAAAGUCCUUCCUCAACCCCCUCUUUCUCUUCCUCACCUUCAAACUCCUCUUUCCCUUCUACUUCUUACUCUCCUUCUCCCGUCUACUUCCCCUCCUCACCCUCCUUGCCUAAUAUUUAUGCAAACAACUGCUCCGCGUCGAUGACCCAUGUGUAUUCCGACGGCUUAUCCCUAUCCAACACUCAAAAUAUCAUAGGCUUCGCUCAAGGCCAACCAACAUCUCUUCUCGGCCUCAACCACCUAACCCCCUCUCAGAUCUCUCAGAUCCAGGCUCAAAUCCAGAUUCAGAGCCAGCAUCAGCACAAUCUCAACACCCUGAACUUCCUCGGGCCCAAGCCCAUCCCUAUGAAGCACGCGGGCAUGCCUCUGAAGCCCACGAAGCUGUACCGAGGGGUGCGUCAGAGGCACUGGGGGAAGUGGGUGGCUGAGAUCAGACUUCCCAAGAAUCGGACCAGGCUCUGGCUGGGAACCUUCGACACCGCCGAGGAAGCCGCUCUGGCGUACGACAAGGCUGCGUACAAACUCCGAGGUGACUUCGCCAGGCUUAACUUCCCCAACCUCCGUCACCAGGGUUCCUCGGUGGGCGGAGGCUUCGGGGAGUACAAGCCGCUCCAUUCCUCUGUUGACGCUAAGCUUCAGGCCAUUUGCGAAGGCCUGGCUGAGAUGCAGAAACAGGGAAAGACCGAAAAACCUCAGGGUUCGUCCAGGAGGUCGCGAGCCAAAGUCGCUCCUCCGCCAGAGAAGGCUGAUUCCGGUAAGGGUUCGGACGACACCACCACCAACAACUCUUGCAAAGUGGAAGCAUCCUCGUCUCCCGUGACGACGGAAAGCGAGGGGUCUGAAGGUUCUUCGCCUCUCUCGGAUCUGACAUUUGUUGACGUGAGCGAGCCUCAGUGGGAAGGUGAUUCGGAUAAUUUUAACCUCCACAAGUACCCCUCUUAUGAGAUCGACUGGGAUUCUCUGUGAAGAAGUGUUUGGAAAUUGGAAGUCCUAUAUUAUGUAUUUAGCAAUUGCAUUUAAGGGUAUAUGAUGCAUGGUCUAGUCUAGUAUAUUUGUAGGUGUUAGUGUCUCUCUCAGGUGGCCACUGCAAUGAAGUUUUUGGCAAUUGCAGGCCUAGUUUUAGUGUCAAUAUCUUGUAUAAUCACUCUCUACCUUGGGUCAGAGCUGAAUUUUUUCUUGCUUCACCCGGUAGAAUUAGUCCAGUUAUGUUUCAAGUCUUACUUAAUGGAAUUAUUAUAUGAAUAUUGUAGCUGUCAUGAAUCUACUUCCUUUCACCUUUCACCUUAUAUAAAAUACGCCAUCUUGGUUCUAUUUGGGUGCUGAACCUAUUUACGUGAUCGCUAUUCAUCAAGGUGCAUCCGUUCGAAGAAUAAAAAUCCAUGCUAAUGCCUCUACCGUACAAAUCGUCUUUAUCAAAGAUCUUCCCACUGUUGUUUUUAAGCUUUUGUUUCAAAAUUAACAAAUCAGCAACAAUACAUAAAAUAUGCUGGGGUUACGAUUCAAAUCCAUGGAUAACAGUCUCUUUAUUUUAAAAUUGUCAGUUCAGUUUUUAAAAUAUUUUAAAAAAUUCCUAACAAGUCCAGUUCAUCUCACUCAAAAAUUAUUAUCAUUUUAGUAUUUGAAUUUAAUUAAUAACUUUUAUUUUUAAAUUUUUAAUUAGGUAAGCGUAAAUUACAUUUUCUGAUAUGAAAAAAAUAUAAAUAUAAAUAUAUCUUAUACGCUGAUUUUGUGAUAACGAGUUAUUACAAACUCAAAUGUACAUCUUGAGAAUCCAACACAGUGCAGUUAAAAAAAUCAGUUUCAAAUUAUGAAUGUUGAGUCUUUAUAUAUAGAAGAGAAAAUUCCGUCUACUUUUCAAUGUUGACAAAGGUAUUAGUUAUAUUGUAAAAUUAGAUUUUCUAUAUUUGCCAUAUCUCAUAUUCUAUCUUCUCUUACUACAUAUCUCUUUCUUGUACAAAGAUCGAUACAACUUUUAUAAGCAAAUAUAAUUUCAAUAAAUUUAUAUACUCCUUCCAACUCAUAUCAUGUCAAUUUCCUUUAGUUUAACUAAAAAAAUAUUUAGCUUAAUUAAUUUCUAAAUACUCUCAUUAGUUCUUUUCUCGUUUCCUAACUAUAUUUCAAUACUUAUUAAUACUGUUUUUUUUUCUUAAAAGAUAUAUUACCUUAACAAAAUCAUACGAGAUGGCAAAGUUAUACCAGAAAAAAUAUAACAAAGCAAAACGCUAUCAGCUUUUCAAUGUUCAUAAAUUUCAGUUCGAUUUUUUUAAAAGGUGUAAAUUUGCACAUAAAUUCAUUUCAUAAUACCUAGUUAUUUUAAAGAAAACACAUUUUUCAACCACAUUACAAGUCUUAAAAAAAUCAUGACUGUUUUUAUCUUAGACGUUAAUUUUUUUAAAAUAGAUUCUUGAGCAAGUGCCACUUACAAAAAAGAAAAUAAAAAAAAAAUAAAGAAAAAAUGAAAAGUGCUUAGAAAAACAAAAAUAUAAGAAAAAAGAAACACAUAAAGAGACAAACAAAAAAAGAAAAAAAAAUGCUGAAAUAUUUAUUUUAAAAAAGAUAGUUGUGUUCUACCUUUUUCCAUUCAUUUUUUAUAGAUUAAGCAUUAUAUAUUUAAUUUUUUUUAUCUAGUCUAUUUUUUUCACAAUACUUUACUCAAAUGUUGUCGUGUUUGCAUUGCAUAAGUUCUUUUGAGCGCAUAUACAUAUGCGCAUAUACAUAUGUCUAAACUAUUGAUAAUAGAAAAGUUUAUCUAGUGAUAUUACGAAGUGUACUUUAAGUAUAACUCAACCUCAUAAAAUCAGCUCAUGAGAUAAGGUUUGCACUAACUUAUAUACUAUGAAAUGUCUUAUUCUCUAGUCGAUGUGGGAUCUUCAACAAGUGAAAAUUAUAUGACUUGAUUCAUUUCUUGAUUUAAGUUACCUUCAUGUUUGAUAUUCAGUAGACCCUCUAAAUGUCCAUCACACAUAUGAUAAAUGAUAUGAUACUAGUUAAUUGUGUAACAAAACAAAAUUCAUAAUAAAAGUCUUAUUUAUGAAUUGAAUUAUCUAAUAAUGUUUUGUAUAGUUGCAGUAUGUAGAAGACUCUUUAAGCCCCUGUUUGGAUUGGGGGGUGGCACUGUAGCCGCAGACGGAUGUGGAGUGCCACCCCCGUUUGGAUCUGGUCAUGGUUGAGGGUGUGGGUGAGGGUGAGGUGAAAGUUGGGCCAAAUGAGAGAGCAUUCAGAAGUGAAGAGAAAGGAAAGGGUGAGGGAGUGAGUGCCACGUAGGAUGGAGUGAAAUAUCAUUUGUGCUCUCACUUUAUUUUUGGACGUAUGUGGGCAUUGUACGUGAAGCAUGCAUGAGCAUCUGUGAAGACAAGCUUUUCAGCAGCAAAUGAGAUUCCUGAACAAGUCAGGAAUCUGUUUGACCAAGUUCAAAGCUCAAUGAAUGCAUAGGCAAGUUGGUGAGAGAGGGUGGAUGAGGGUAAUAAAGAGCUCCAACAAUAUAUAUGUGGUUCCAAAGCUCACAAAUCUCACAAACCUCACAAAACAGAGGCAAUUUGGUUGUUCACAAAGCACAUACAUACAUAGAGAGCUUGGAGAGGGUCGUGAGUGCGCUUGGUUCUUCGUUUGUGACCUCAGGUGAGUUGUGUGUGAGUUUAGUUUCAUUCUUAAUGGAUUAUCACUGAAAAUGAGCGUAUGCCAUAAUCGAUUAUGUGGAAAAAAAAUAGUUCAUAAUCGAUUAUGUUCACAUAAUCGAUUAUCUGUAAAAAAAUUCCGUGAGAUAAUCGAUUAUGGUCGUUUUUGCACUGGAAGUAUAAUCGAUUAUGUGCUAUAAAGAUUUAAAUAAUCAAUUAUGUUCUAUUUUGCACUGGGAUGAUAAUCGAUUAUGGUUCCAAUUUUCAAGAUUUAUAUUUUAUGUUUUUUGAACUAAUUUUUCAAUGAUUUUUUUUUCAGGCACAGUUUGAUCAAUCUUAGACUUGCAUUAUGUUGUGGUUUUGUUAUGCUCUCUUGAGAUAUGUGUUUUUUUUUUAAAAUUGUGUUUGGAUGUUUAGUUUUAUUUUGAAUUUAAUUUGUUUAAAUUAUUUUAAAGUAGUUGUUAAUUUUAGAUGUGAAUGUUUAGGAAAAUUGAUUAUCUAAGAUUGUAUAUUGUUAAUUGUUAAUGUAAAAAUUUCAUGAAAUUUGAAUAUGUUAUUUUUGUGACAUGAAUUGAAUUGAAUUUAUAGAUUGAAAUUAGAGAUCAAUCUGUUAUUUUAAAAUAUUGUUAUUAAAAAAAUUAUAAAAAUUGUUGCAAUAAUUUAAAAACAGAAAAACCAAAUAUACAAAAGUUUUUUUUUUAACAUUUUACCAUGUUAAUAAAUAAAUUUAUGAAUGUAUAGAUAGUAUUUAUUUUUAAAACUUUGAAGCUGUUAAUAAAUAAUUUUUUUGAUUUAAAUUUACAGAAUAGACUAUUUUUUAGAAAUUAUUAUUUUUACAGAAUGUAAAUAUAAUUUUUUAAUUUUAUUUAAAGAUUACAUAAUAAAUUAGAAUUUUUAAUAAUAUGUGUACAUAGUUAAAUAAAUUGUUAAUGCUAAUAUGAAAAAAUUAAAACAAAUAUUGUAGUAAUUAAAAAGAACUGAAUAAGAUUACAUAAUAAAUUCGAUUUUCUAAUAAUAUGGGUAGAUAGUUAUAUUUUUUUAACAUUUAAUGCUUUAUUAAAAAAAUAUUUAUUUAUUUGAAAUGAUUAUUUUUAUAAAAUGAAAAUACAAAUUUUGAAUGUUAUAUUUAUAAUUUUUUUUCAUUUAAUGUUAUGAAAAUAUAUAUAAUUUAUUUCUCAUAAUUUACAUAAAUUGUUAAUAUUAUUAUUUAAAAAUUAAAUAAAAUAUUAUAGUAAUUUAAAAAAAAAACAGAAAAAGGUUACGUAAUAAAUUAAAUUUUUUACUAAUAUGUGUACAUAGUUAAUACAUUUAUUUAUUUGUAGUUAACAUUUUGAUGGCAAAUUUGAUAAUAACUGUUAACAGAAGUUUUUAUAGAAAUUAAUAAUGUUAUAGAAAGUUUUAUUGUUACAUACCGGAAAUGUAAUUAAAAAAAUUAAUAAUGUUAUACAAAUUUAAAAAUGAAAAUCAUUAUUAAAAUUAAUUUUAUAUAUAUUUGUAUAUAUAUAUAAUAUAACAUAAUUUAAAAAUUCAUAUAUAAUAUUAAAAUUAUGUAAAUAAAUUCACUUAUAAAAUAAAAUAAUUACAAUUAAAUUAAAUUAAAUUUAAAAUUAUAAUUCAUGAUUUCUUUCAAUUUUACAUUUUUUUUAUUUAUAAAUGAAACUUAAUUAUUUUAAUUAACUAAAAUAUGAAAAAGGAUUCAUCAUUAUUUAUUCUUCUUUUAUAUACAAUGGUAAAUUUGUAAUCUUACAAAUUUUACUAUUCAAAAUAAUUUAUAAUAUUCUUACAACUAUCUCAUCACUCACAAAUUUCAAUAAACUUUCCUCACACAUCUACUCUAACAUACCCCAAUCUAAACCACCUCAACUUUCUUCACACUUUCACUCCCCUUCACCCUCAACUUUCCACUCCCCCACACCCUCUAAUCCAAACAAAGCAUAAGUGUCUACAACGGUUUUUUACACUAGAUGGUUUGAUAUGACUUGUUAAUUAAAUAAUAGAAUUUAGACCGAAUGUCUUAUUAAUGAUUUUGUGAUUUGAAUGAUAUAAUUUAUCUAUAACACACACGAACACACACAUACACAUACACACCCACGCACGCAUGCACGCACCUCCAAAUAUUUGAAUACUUGUUGUAACUUAUAGGGAUGGAAACAUUUGUUAAACACACGGAGAUAUGAAAAUAAAUACUCGUUAUAAUAGAGUGUUAUGACUAAUGAAAACUCUUAAACAGAGGAACUGAAUGCAACUCAAAUUCUGGUGAAUCAUAAUAAAUUCUUGUAUACUUCUCUUUUGGUAAUUUGGUUAUUGUUCAAAAAUUUAUUGUUUAUUAUAUUCUUGUUGAAUAAUAUGCAUAAAUGAUCAUGCUAAAUGUUUUGAUAUAUUUUUAUUAGGAAAUCUAUUAAAUAAUUUUUUUUAUCAAUAAAUAAAUAAAAUAAAAUAAGACACUUCAAAAUUAUAUAAAAUUAUUGAACCAAAUUUACUUCAUGUAAGAAUUGUUCAUAUGUGAUUUAGUCAGACAUGUUCAGCUUUUUUUUUUUUUCUUGACUUCAGAUAAUUUAUUCCUAUGCUAUUUGUAACGCCGUGAAUCAUGCAUAUUAAUAUUGCUUCUUUUUGUUUUUUUGCCAGAGAAUUUAUUCCUAUGUUACAUUAAUCUUCAUUGUCAUCAUUUGUAGUAUUGUUCAAGGAUUACAUUUAUAUACUAUAAAAUCUGAAUACGUUUAUUUUUUUCAUCUUUCUUGGUAAAGCUUAUCUUUCCUCUUUCACAGAUAAUUGGUGAGUGAUGAAGAACCAUUGCAUAAUAAAUCAGGGAUAAGAAGAUAGUUAACAGGGGAGGGGUAAGUGAGGAUAAUAUCUAGUUAAAAAAAGCAUGCUUUUGUAAUUUGCUUAUCUAUGUUUCUUUUUGAGAAAAGUUUCUUUAAUAGUAUUAACAAUAAACAAUAAAAAAACAUACAUUUGACAUUAUUAAUAAUAAUAUUUUAAAUUAAAAGAUAAAAUAAAUAAAUUAUUAAUUAUUAAAGUAUGAAGUAUAUGUUUUUAUGUUGAAAGUGUUAUAUGUUGAAAGUGUUAUUAUAUGAACACCUUUCUUUCGCAUAGUAUGUAUUCUUUUAUCUGACGUGACAUCCAAUUGUUAACGGUAAUUCAACCAACCGUCCAACAAAUAUAUAGUAGACGAAGAAUAAUAAUGUAUUAGUUUACACCAGUUUAUUUUAUUUGAAAUAUUAUUGAUUUUGAUAUUUAAUAAUUUUGUCACAAUUCUAUUUUAAAACUAAUUUUUAACGAGUUAAAAGUUAAUACUGUUAAUUAUUCUAUGCAUUUAACUACUAGAUUUUUUGUAGAUGGGAUUAAUUUAGGAUAACAACUAACACUUUCCCAACAGUAUGAUCUGCCAGAUCCUUUUAAGCAACUUACAAAUUUAAGCAGUGUUUAAGAAAUAAUUUAUAUAUUAUUUCAUCUUUUAAAAUUAUAUUUGUUUUAGUAGAAAAUGAUGAAAAUUUUAAAUAAAGCAUUUUAUGUGUAUUUUUUUAUUGAUGAUUUAUAACUCUGUAUAAACUUAAAAAUUACUAAUAUAUUCUUUUAGGGAUAAUUAAUUAGCCGAUUUUGUAGGUUUGAGUAUUCAAAUUGUUUUUAUUGAGAUUUUAUUUAUGUUGUACUUAGGUUCAUCUACCACCUCGAUCCUAUUAUGAUAAGUUCUUCUUAAGGCAUCAUUCAAUAUCUGAAUUGAAGAGACUUUUACUAAUAUAAACUCUCUCAGUCUAGAAAAUUUUAAAGGAUAAUAAGAUUAAGACGUGAACUGUGUGUAAUUUACCAAUAUGGACAUGUCCAAAUAUAUAUGAUAAUGUAUACCAUACAUACGUUAUGAUACAUAUACCAAGUUUAUACUACAUGAUCACAAUCCCAAAAAGUAUAUAUUCAUUAUAUUUAAACAAAAUAAAAACAUUUACCUAUUUUUGAAUUAUUUUUUUUAUCAGCAAUGUAAAUUUUUUGAAUAAAUUUACCCCUACUACUGCAAAUAGGGGAGGACAAAAUAAUUUGAAGUACACUAAAAUGGUAUUGAAGUGGACUAAAUUAAUCCACAAAAUAUUUAUCCAUUUUAUAUAAAAAUUAAACUAAACAAUAAAUAGACCAGUUAAAAAAAAUUGUUCGUUUUAAUAGUUUAGUGCACUAACUAAAAGUGUCGUUUAUAAUUUAAUUUAAGAAUAAAAUAGUUAACCGUCACACAAAUUACACUAAUUAAAUUAUUAUAAUCAGAACUUUACAAAUAGUGUAAUUUAAAAAAUAAUAAUGAUUUUAUGUGUGUUAAUUAUGGUAUGGAAAAUGUUCGAGAGAGAAAAUAUUGGUAGUCAACAAAAUGAUACCUGUCAAAAAAUUGAGACAUGUUGCUUCAUGACUUAUGAGUUAAGAGAAUACUUUUUGUUUGUGUAAACCAAAAUAAAUGUUUUUAAAUAGUUUAUUUAAAUAUUUUUCAGAAAAUAAAUUAUUGUCAAAUAAUUAUUUAUUCAACUACCAUAAAAGAGAAUUAUAAUUCUAAAUUCGUUAGUGAAACGCAGAUUAUGACGUGUUUUAUGUACUUGCUUAGAAAGUGUAACGUUUAAACAAAUGUAUAUUAACCUGAUGCAGAUGCACGUAAAAUAACUCAAAGGAAAUAAAUAUAGUUUAUAGGAUAAUUCAGUUUUAAAUAGUUUAAAACAGUUCAAAAAUUCUAAAACCAGGUCAGAAUUAUUUAGAUAUACCAUUGAACAGUUUAAUUUGAUUCUAACAAAGCAUAUUUCCAGUUCAAUAAAUCUUGUUAUAAUUCAAUUUAUUUUUCCUACGUCACUAUAUUUCAUUCUCGUCCUACUCCGUUUUAGGGAUUUGAGCACAUUCUACCAAACACCACUAUAUAAUAUUAUAUAAUAUAUGUAAUGCUAUCAUGAAAUAAAAUGUUGUAAAUAAAAAUUAUGUUGGGUUCAUACUAAUUACUUAAUAGACAGAUCCACAUACAGAUACUUAGGCUUGGGCUUUGUUCGGCUGACUCAACUAUUGGGCUUCCUGCAACCCAAUCAAUUCUAAUCUGCAUCUAAUUAAGUUAUGAAAUUCCAGAAUUAUCCUUCAUUCUAGAAUUGGAAAUCCGAAAAUGAAAAAUAGACCCAGUAAAGAAAAUAUAUUCCAAAAUAAAAAUAAUACAUUCUGAAAAAAAAUUAUGGAAAAGAAAAUCUAAAAUUAUAGUAAACAAAAUUUGAGAAACAUAUUUUAAAAAUACUAUCCGGAAAAGCUUAAUUUAGAGAAGUAUUCUGAAACCCAAAUCCAGAAAUAUAUUUCUGGAAUAAUAAAUCCAAAAUAAAUAUAGGCCUGCACCCUCUCAUAUUUAAAAAUGAAAAAAUAUUUUGUCAUUUUACAUAAAUAAUAAAAUGCAUGUUCAAAUUUAUCACAUUUAUUGGGUGCAGAAAUCAAAAUUCUUUAUUUUGCAGUAAACUUUGUGUUCGGUGUGAAGAGAGUCUCGGACCUUCGUAUGUAAGUUGGACUUAAUUUGACAAAACUCAAUUUAGUGUUUAGGACAGUAUUGGAAUUUUUAUUUCUGUUGUGAUACUGAGCAUGACCUAAUUAUAGUAUUUUUUUCUUGUUAUUUUUGAAAGGAUUGACUAAAGUAGAAAAAAAAAGCUAAAAAGAUGUAAUUGUUUAUGCAUGGAUAUAGGUAGGUUGAAGAGAGAGAAAGUUGAGGCGUUAAAAGUAGAAAUGAGAACCUAAUUUACCUCCUAAUCGAACGUUAUCCCCUCUGAUGCAUGGGGCAUAGACUAAGUUGAGUUUGACGUCCCCGUGCAAAGCACCCACUUCUCUAACAAACAUUCUAACAACCUUCCCAGUUCCUGCAAUUCGCUUUCCUUGUCCUUCCCACCGCUCCUCAUAUUCUCAUGGAGGAGCGGUUGUCGCCUUCGCCGUCGUUUUCACAAGAAUUGCGUCGCCACAAAAAUGAUGAGACUACCAGACUCCAAUCAUCAGACACCGAUCCCAGCACCUUCGUUGUCCGAGUCCCCAAGGAUCAAGUGUACCGUUUCCCAAACCCCGAGAAUGCUCACCUGGCAGAGCUGCAUAAAAACUCUCCUCCUAAGAAGGCCAAAACGUCACGUUGUUGCUUGUGUUGCAUACUAUUAUCCAUUGUCUUCUUCUUCCUUCUCAUUCUUCUCGGAGGCCUUUUAGGUGGCCUUUUUUCCAUGUUCUUCUCGCCAAAGGACCCUAAGUUUUCCGUAGAACGCUUUAACGUCGCAGAGACCAAACCCAAAUACGACAUCACUUUAAAGGUCUACAACUCCAAUUCAGGUGUGGGCAUUUCUUAUAAAAGUAAUAGCCAUGUUACGCUCUCUCAAAAUGGAAAAGAGAUUGCUAAUGGAGACUACCCAUCCUUGAGUCAAGAUCCUCGUGAUACCACAUCGUUCGGGGUUACUUUAAAAGGAUCAACAACUGGUCUCGCUAACAAGGCGCUGAAGAAUACCAAAACAAAAGUGCCUCUCGCAUACUCCUUAGCCAUUAACUCUCGAGCACGAAUGAAAAUGGGGCUGUUGAGAAGCAGAACAAUCACAUUCCACGUUUCCUGCAACAUCAAGUUAGAUAAGUUGCCCAAAACCACUCAAAUAGUCUCUCAACAAUGUCAAACUAAACGACACUAGCUAGUUCCCACACCUGCGUAGAUCAUCCAGGUGUUUUCAUCGUCAACCCUAAUCUUUUCAUUUCUUUUUUACCCAACUCCAAUACGUUAGUCAUGGCCCCACUUUUAUGUCUAUAACUUCUAAAUACUUAGGGUCCCUAUAUUUGGACAACCCUUGCGGAGAUGGCCAAUAUACAACCAUCCAUGUGUCCCCUUGGGAGGAAAGGUAUUUGUGUGCAGGUUACGAGGCAUAGAAGGACAGCAGUUGUUGAUAAUAAUUGUGAAGGAAAUACUGGAAGAACAAAGGCACAAUCUUAUACUUGUAUUGCUGCAGAAUUAUUCCCAUGUGCAGGCUGUUCUAUGCAAGAAUGGAAGGCACUUUCUGGUUUUGAUGCCUAACUCUACCAAACUUUGGUUAUGAGGUUAUUGCAGAUGGAGGGCAAGAAAUAUAUAUUCUCUUCUGCAGGCAAUCCACACUUAUUAUUCUAGAUUAUAAGGAAUUGUAAGGGUUAUGGGUGCUGUAAACUAUGCAGAUUUUGCUGCAUAAUCUGCAAUGCAAAAUAGUGUUCUUCUGAAACUUAGUUUUUUUUUUUGCUGGUUUGUGAUGCUUUUGAAUUGUAAGUUAGGAGGUGUGGUUUUGACAAUUGUAUAAUUGUAUAAGGGUGAGACAACUGAAAUGUCUCUUUUAAUUUUAUUUAUUUAUUUUUGACAAAAAGAAAAAGUGUCAAAAAAUAUUAUAAAUAUUUUAAUUGAUUGCGGACCUACUUAAUUUGCUAAAUGUUUUUGAAUAUCUUUUAAAUUUUUGUUUGCUGUUUUCAUUUUAGUUUUUUUUUUCUUUUUCAGUUUUUCUGCAAUUGCUAAUUUUUCUUGUGCAGUGGAAGUUGAUUUUUUCUCCCAUGUGUCUGCUAUGUGGUUUUGAUAUCUCUGCGAUGUGGCUUUGGUUUUUCUGCCGUGUGACUUUGGUUUUCCAUUCGUUGUUGUCGUGGUUAUUAAAGACUCUGUCUUCUAUUUGCGGUGUGUGUGGUUGGUGGUGGUUUCUCUUUGUUAUGAUUUUAUGUGGUUGAAUGGUGUAGUGUUUGGGGUUUGUGGUAUUACAUUGGUGGUAAUUUCUGGAAUACUUUAAGCAGAAAUUCUUAAAGUGGUGGAUUUUUUUUUAAUAAAUGUAUGCAUUGUUUUUUAUUGAAUUAUUUUUAAAAGAUUGAUGUUCAUUAAUUUUUAUUUGAGGGAUGAAUAAUGUAAAGUUUGUCCUUGUUAUUUUAUCUUCUGGAUAGAGGUGCUUGUGACAUUGUUUGGUAACUCAAAAGAUCCUUAUUUUCUAAUUCUUUUGAAUUUAAUAUGUUUGGGGUCCUAAAAUGUAUACUAGUCGUGAGUGAAUUAAAAUUUAAAUUCUAAACAUAUUUAAUAUCUCAAACUACAAUAUUUACUCAAUGAAAUUACUUUAUACUUGUUAACUUAAAAAUUUGUACAAAUCCAUUUAAUGUGGAAGAUGGUGGAGGAUGUGGCACAUGAGAUUCUUAAUCUCAUCAUAUCUUAGAGAUCAAAAUAAUUAGUUACAAUAUAAACUAAAAUAGAGACCAUUUUAGAAACUUAAAAAAAAGUUGAUUUCUAAAUUAAUUUCUAUUAUUGUUAAAUAGUUUCUAAAUUGAUAUUUAAUUAGUAACUAAGGUUUUAACUACCAAUUAUUUAGUUUCUAAAUUUGGUAGCAAAAACCUUUGUUGCUAAUUAGAUACCAAUUUAAAAAUUAUUUAACAAUAAUAUAAAAUAAUAGAAACUAAUUUAGAAACCAAAUUUCUUUUUAGUUUCUAAAAUGGUCGCUAAUUUAGUUACUAUUUAGUUUCUACAAAUUGGUUUCUAUUUCAUGAUUUUCUUGUAGUGUAAGGUGAGGUAUAUGUGUACUUUUCUUUUGUUUUAUUUUGUCCCAUGAAAAAGGAAGAGAGGAAAAAGUUGAAUUAACAUAAGCAACCAAAUUUUAGGGUGAGGAUCAUGAAAUUAAUUUUUUUACAGUGAAAAACCAACUAGUCUUUAUCUAAGUAAUAAAAAAAAACAAAAAAAAACUAGUGGUCACUUAGAACCAACUUAAAGGGACUUCUUAAAAAAUGUUGCCUAUUCAAGUUUUAAAGACAACAUUUGAUAGAUAAUUAAUUAAUUUGACUAAAUCUCAUAUAUAAAAUUUUGUGACAAUUAAGUUAAAGUGCCAUAGCUAUGCAAUAAUAGGACUAAAGAUCUUAUUUUAUUACCAAGGAAAAAAAAUCUGAUUUUAGUACCAAGGAACAAAAGACACCUAACUAAACUUUCCUUCAAUUUAUGAGAAGUGAGAAAUUACAUUACUUAUAUCCAUUAAUUCAUUAAAGGUAUAACAAUGAGCAAUGCAUUUCAAAAAUAAGUCGCAAGCUAGUUGCCAUUUUUUAAUUGAGUUAAUGUCAAAUUUCAAAUUUUCUAUUAUUGUACUUUAGAAUAAAUCUUGUUUCACUUUAAUUUUUUCUGAUAUAGGUGUUCCUCUUCUUAUUUUUUAUUAAUCUAAUAAUUUUUCAAAAUAAAAACUUCAAAUAGAUUAGGCAUAUUUUCUACUACCAAUACUCCUAGUUGACACCACAUUUUUCUACUUCCCUUGACCUCUAAAAUUCAUAUGAAAAUGAAUUAUGUUUGAUUGAUCUUAGAUGAAUGAAGGGAUUUCGGAUAAAUUUGGGGCUUCCAUUCAUGAACAUUUGGUUAAUUGUUCUUAUGUUAUUAUGGAUCAUAAUUGUUUUUUUUUAAUAUUGAACUAAAUGUGUACAUAUUACUUUUUUUCAUUUGAGGAAGAAACAAAGUUUGUAGAGGCUUAAAAGAAUGGGAACUUGAUUCUUCUUUGUCGAUGCAUUUUCUCUGAUCAACUUACUCUUGUUCUUGUUUAUCGAAUUUUUGUCAAGGAAGAUGAUUGAGAGGCUCCAAGCUUUCUUUUUGAGUCUGCAGAGCCUAGCUACCAUGCUUCAACUAAUUUACCAUGAAUCUGGAAAUUUAACUGAGAAAAAUGUUGAUGAUCAUAUAACAGUUUCCAAAAAAAAUAUUGUUGGAAAUCUUGUCUACUAUGUUUUUUUGUUGCUCUUGCUUAUUUUGAUUAAUUGGUUAUUGCUUAUGUUCUAUGAUUAAUUAAUUGCGUAUUUCUCCUUUUUCACCCUGUUAUUGCUUUUGAUUUAAAUUUUAUAUUUUGUUUGAAGGCCCAAUAAGUAGAUUACUUAAUUGGUUGCAUCGUAAUAUGAUUUUCGUAAGAUAAAUUCCACAGUAGUUGUUUUAAAAUUAUCAACAAGUAUAUACCUUGAUAUCUUUUAUCAAAAUUUAUAAUAUAUAUUGUAUUUUUUUUUUCAGCUUGAGGGCAAUGAAGACAACAAUGACAAUAUUGUAAAAGAAUGAAGUUAUAUAUUUUAUGUACAAAGAAAAUAUCUUUAGACAUGAGAUAAUGUGAACUGUAAUUUUAAAUUUGAUGGCUUUAUCCUUACAUUUUUGAAGAUAAUAUUUGUUAUUAUGUCAUUGAAAUAUAUGUAAUAUGUGACUUACGGAUUCAAUUAAAUUUGUUUAUCAAUAUUUAUAUUGUAUAAAGUAUUUUCCUUUCAUAAAAUUAUGAUAUUUGUUCAUAUUUAAGUGAUGAAACAAUAGAGUAUUGUUCAAUUGGAAUCGAGUAUAGUUUAUGUUAAUGUGUUAUUGACUUUGGAUGAGAUAUAUCUAUCAGCUGAAUUGCAGCAACCGACUGUUUGGGCUUAUUGCAGUAUCAUGAAUAAAAAAUUAGAACUAGAACCUAAUAGGAUGUAAAUUUCACUACAACAAUACACUUCAAAUUAACCACUCUUACAAGUUAAAGAUAUCAAUAAGCUAAUCUCUGAGAGAAUAUCUCCACUUAAGUGAUUGUCCUUUUAUUCUAUAGGAUAGAAAAAACAUUAAAGGUUAAUUCAACAACCAAAUUCAAUCCAUUUGAGAGAGGUGAACUAACAAUUAGUGCAUCAAGACAAUAUUGUCAUUUUAAAGAAAACCCAAAUAAAACAUGUCACAUAUAUCAUUGAAUGAAUUCCACAUAUAAGGCUUCAAGGUUCAUAAUGAACCUUAAUCAUUACUAGAUAAAUUAAAUAAAUAAAAAAAUAGAAAAGAAAUAUAGUAUAACCAUUUUUUUUUUUUAGAAAUAGUUGGGAACAAGAGUUAUGUUUUUCAAGAAAAAAAAAUGAUUUCCAAAAACAAGAGAAAGAAGAAAGUACCCAUGUCAUAUGUCUAUUCACUCUACUUGUCCAAUUUUCCCCUCCAGCUAAACAGUUGCCCGUCAUCAUCGAAGUACAGGAGCUCAACCACACAAAAAAUUAACUUCUAAAAAGAAACAAAUGGUGCAAAAAGGACUUACAUUUGUUCCAACAAAAUAAAUUGCAGACCACAAACUAUGUAACGUGUCUAAAAUGAAACACUACGAACAAAAAUACUACCACAAAAAACAAUAACGCAAUCACGAUGACCACCAACAAAAUGUAUCACCAAAUCCCAAAACAAAACAACAACCCAAAAAAUAAACCUUAAAAGACGCUAGUAAACUUAUCAAUGUUUACACUUCGUUGUUUCGUUUGCUCCUUGAAUUUGUCUUCCGUUUGCGCUUGGUGAUUCUAUUCGCACUUCCCUUCACUUGCGCUGUAGAUUAAAGAAAGUGUUCGGUCAGUGUAAACCCAUACCCUCCCGCUUUCACCUUUUCACUCUUCUUCUACAAUGACAAAAGCACCAUUUACAAUUUCAAUUUUUUCAAAUUUUAAUUCUAUUAUUGUAAUAACGAAAAAACUCUUGGUCAUGUCUUACUGCCAUGUCAUCAUCGUAUACUGGUGCAACUCAUUCUUGGGUUGUUCAUGGGACAUUUUUCUAUUCUCUUUACAUAUAUUAAUUGCAUAUCUUUUCUAUAUAUGUUUUUUUUAUUAAAGUAGUUGUUAAUAGCUUUAACAUAUACAUGUUAUUUCAUAUGAAUAACUUCAAAACAAAAUUAUUAUUCAAUAAUAUUUUAUAUUUUUUUUUUAAAGUUAAACAUAUUAAGGAAAUACUAAUUAUCAAAUUAUAUGCAAUUAUUGUAUGCAAUAUUUGACGAUAUUGUACCCAAUUAUAUGCAAUUAAUUUAAUAAUUAUAGAAUCUCAUGAUUAAUAUCCUACCUAUAUAUUUUCUAUACAUGAAGUGAUGUAAUAUACACAUAAGAGAACAAGAAACAUCUCUACCUCUCUCCUUCUUACCGUUUUUAUCAUUUUCUUAUAUGGUAUCAGAGCACCGAGCUUGGUGCCCUGACAGCCUCUCCAUUUUUAUCUCCUAAAUAAAAAAUCAUGUCUGGCAAAGAAGGCACCAGUAACGAGUCCGAUAGAAACCUCGUACAACGCUUCAAUGCCGAAGUAAAGGUAUAUAUCAACAAAUUAACAUACUACAUAAAAUUUAUAUUGUUUAUUAAAGUUAUACGUAAAUGGAAAUUAUGCAUACAAAUAUAACUUGUACACUUUUUUCUAAUGUGUAAAAAUUAUACCCAUAUGAUAAAUUUCCCCAAUUUUAGCACUGAUAAUCCACUUCCGGUAUAAUAAUUUGGGAUCGUUCUUGUUAUAGUCAACUCGAGGUCGGUCGGCAUCUGGAUGAGCUUCUGGUGGUGGUCUCCCUUCAAGUGAUUUAACCUUCGAGAAACGAGAGAGGCUCCUCCUGCGAUGACACUCCGACGCUCAAGUCACUAAGAACAUAAAUAUAAUGAGUAUAAUACGAAAUAGGAGUUGAGAGUACUCCCUAUGUUGUUUAUUAUAUGAUGAUUAGAUCAUAUCUUAGAUCAUCAUCAUUUUUGUAGAGCGUAAUUAGAUAAAGUUCAGAUGUAGUCAUUUUGAGGUACAAUAUUACUGGUUCCUGCUAAAAUAUUUUAUUAAAUUUAAGAUAAUUAAAACUAAUCAACCAGUGUAUGUUCUUUAAGUGAAGACUGAGGUUAUUUUCCACUGAAACUAAUCCACAUUUGUGCUUUCAUUCUCUUUCACUUUCCUUUCUCCUACAGCAUACUUAUAAUAGAUCUACUUAUAAUAGAUCUCAUUUUAACGAUUUAGUUAUUCUGAUCCAUGAAAUUUGAAGAUUUGAUAUUAUUAAGUUUGUGUGGAUGAUAAUGGUGUUGAAAUCUUCAAUGAAUUUCUUAAAUGUUGUUAUAUAGUGCAUAGUUGUUGUUGCCUAGGGUGGCAUGGAUUGGAUUUUCCAAAAUCCAAUCUAGAUCCAAAUCCAAAUAAGGGGAUUGGAUUUCAAAUCCAUAUCCACUUUAACUAGAUCAAAUAUAUUUGGAUUUUUUAAAAAUCCAUUUAAAGUGGAUUGAAUCCAAAUUAAAUCCAUUUUGUUAAUUAUAUUAAAUCCACUUGUUCAAUUACAUUAAAUCCAUUUUGAUAUGGAUAAAGACUAACUUGGCUCGAACUGGGCCUAAGCCGACUCAACCUGAACACAGACCAACUCAGCUCUACAUCGGCCCCGACCCAGACGACUCGACAUCGGUCCGGGCCCGGACGACUCGACAUUGGUCCGGGCCUGGACGACUCGACAUCGGCUUGGGCCCAGACAACUCAACAGAAUCCUCGACCCGGACGACUCGGCAUCGGCCCGGGCCCGAACGACUGUACAUCGGCUCGGCCCGAACGACUCGACAUCAGCCUAGGCCCGAACAACUCGACAUCAGCCUCGGCCGAACGACUCGACAUCAGUCCGGGCCCCCUCGACUCGACAUCGGCCCGGGCCCACUCGACUCGACAUUGGCCCGAGUCCGGUCGGCUCGACAACGGCCCGGGCCCGAUCGACUCGACAAAGGCCCGGACCCGGUCGACUCGACAAUGGCACGGGCUCGCUCGACUCGACAUCUGACCUAGCCCAGUUUGCUUGACAUCGGCCCGGGCCCGCUCGCCUCGACAUAGGCCCAGGCCCGCUCAACUCGAAAUCGGCUCGGGCCGGCUCAACUCGACAAUGGCACGGGCUCGCUCGACUCGACAUCUGACCGAGCUCAGUUUGCUCGACAUCGGCCCAGGCCUAGUCGUCUCGACAUCUGCUCAGGCCCACUCGCCUCGAAAUCGGUCUAGUCUCGCUCGCCUCGAAAUCGGCCUGGGCCCGCUCGACUUGACAUCGACCCGGGCCCAGUUGACUCGACAUCGGCCCGGGUCCGGUCAGCUUGAAAUCGGCCCGGGCCCGCUUGACUCGACAUCUACCCGGGCCCAGUUUGCUUGACAUCGGCCCAGGCCAGGUCAGCUCGACAUCGGCCCGGGCCCGGUCGGCUCGACAUCUGCUCGGGCCCGCUCACCUCUACAUCGGUCUGGUCCCGAUCGUCUCGACAUCGACCAUACCCGCUCAUUUCGACAUCGAUUUGGAUUCGCUCGGCUCGACAUCGGCCUGGGCCUGAAUGACUCAAAAUCGACCAGAGCCCGCACGACUAGACAUCGGCCCGGGCUCGCACGACUCAACAUUGGCCCAAGCUCGAAUGACUAGAUAUCGGCCCUGGCCCCCUCUGCUCGACAUCGGCUUGAACCCGCUUGGCUCGACAUCAGUCCGGGCCCGCUCGGCUCGACAUCGGCUUGGACUCGCUUGGCUCGACAUCAAUCCGGGCCCGCUCGGCUUGACAUCGGUCUGGGCCCAUUCAGCUCGACGUGGACUUGGGUCAACUUUGCUCAACCUGCGCCUGAAUUGUCUUGGCUCAACCUGGAUCGGGCCAAGUCAAAAUCCAACCCAAAAUACAAAUUGGAUAAUCCAAAAAUGUAUUCAAUCCAUAUCUAAUCCAUAUCCAAUUAAAUGGAUUGGAUUUAAAAUCCUAAAAUAUGGAUUUGGUUUUGAAAUAAAUCCAUUUAAAUGGAUCAAAACUAAUAUGGAUUUGGAUAAUUAUGGAUUGGAUUUUGUAAUUUGGAUUUUUUGUCCACCCUUAUUGGCUAUGAGUCGGCAUGUAAGUUAGGAUAUGCCAGAUGGGGCCUCAAACUAGUAUUGGAUGAACUAGUUGGUCUAAUGAUAAUGGGCCUUAAGUGUAUGUCUAGGAGAGGGAUGCUUCUUCCUGCACCCCUUCAAUUAUGUGUAAUAACUAAAUUAUCCCUAGAGUUUUGAAAAAACUUGAAGGCAUUGCUUUUUUUUUUUUUAUCAGCAAACUUGAAGGAAUUGCUUAGUGCAUUGUUUUGGGUUGGUUUGCUAGAUUGAGGAUUCCGUAAUUCAACUUUUGUGCAUUAAUCACGUGAAUCAGAAGGUCUAAUACUUCUCCUUCUCCAUUACUUCAAUCCCAUUGUGACCAUUUCCUAAGUUAAUAUGUUAUGAUUGGCUACUGAUUUGGACCCUUGUAGUUCUGGAUUUCAUUAUGAGCCUUGGCGUGACACUCGGACAUCUUGUGCCACCUGUGGUAUUGGUUGGCCUCAUGCAAAUCUACCGCUACAAGAAAAUAAUGAAAUAGAAAUCAAUUUGUAGAAAUCAAAAUAAUUAGUUGCAAUAGUAACUAAAUUAGAGAUCAUUUUAAAAACUAAAAAAAAAAUUAAUUUCUAAAUUAGUUUCUAUUAUUGUUAAAUAGUUUCUAAAUUGGUAUCUAAUUAGCAACCAAGAUUUUUUUACCAAAUUUAUAAACUAAAUAAUUGGUAGUUAAAACCUUAAUUGCUAAUUAGAUACCAAUUUAGAAACUAUUUAACAAUAAUAGAAAAUAACAUAAACUAGUUUAGAAACCAAUUUUUGUUUAGUUUCUAAAAUAGUCUCUAUUUUAGUUCCUAUUAUAACUAAUUAUUUUGAUCUCUAAAAAUUGAUUUAUAUUUCAUGAUUUUCUUGUAGUGCACGUUGCACUUCUCAACUAGACAAUACAGCAUGGCAAACGAAUUACCAUCUUAUCAUAAAUUUCAAUAAAUUAUUAAAAACUAUAAUUAAACAUAAAAAAGUUUUAAAAAAUCAUUCUAACUUUACCAAUCCCUAAAUUAAAAAAUACAUUAUAGAUACACUAAUCUGUAAAUUAAAAACAAUAUUUUGGAUUUACCAAUCUAUAAGUCAAAAAAUUAUUCCAAAUCUACCAAUUUAUAAGUCAAAAAAUACAUUCUAGAUCUACCAAUUUAUAAGUCAAAAAAUUCAUUCUAGAUCUAUCAAUUCAUAAGUUAAAAAAAUGAUUUCAGAUUCACUAAUCCAUAGACGUUAUGGAACCAAAUUUUCAGAAACCUUUAAAUCCCAUGAUGGUGUUUUUUCAAAUAAAAAUAACAAUGGCUAGUUUUAGUAUUUUAAAAAUAUAGGAGUGCAGAAAGAAAAAUGUAGAGGUGCAAGAAAAAAACAAACACCCGUAGGAGAGAGGACCUAGUUGGAGUAAUGAAAAUGGGCCUUAUGUAUAAGGGGGCUCUUCAUUGUAUAUGUGAAAAGAUCAAAAUAGCCCUCCCAUAUAUUUAUAUUAAACCUACAUUUUCUUUUUCUCCUAUCUCAUCGUCUUCCAUCUCCGUUGCAGUCCCUUACAGCACCCCUUCGAUUUUUCCUUCCUUCAUCUCUUCAUGAGUGGGAGACCCUUGUCGAAAAUGCAAGGGCCACUACUAUCGACGACUAUGUUGCACUGUCGUACCCGUUGAAGAGGUAAGUCUUAUGUAUUUUUUUUCUUGUUGAUUAUAUGUUAUCUCUAAUUUUCAAUUUUGAAAAUACAUUAUGCAAUGGAUAGUCCAGGAUAUAUUUAUGAAUUUAAAAAAUUAUUUUGUUUGUGAUUAUUAUUGGCAGAGAUAUGAUUAGGAUAGAGGUGAAUCACCAUCUCAAGCACAAACUAGUAAAGAUCAUAUCAGCCUUUGUUAAGAGGUGACACCAUGAUAUCAAAAAUUUUCAUUUCUUUGAUGGUGAGAUGACCAUCACUUUGGAUGAUGUGUUAGAAUUGUUACAUCUAAUAAUUGUGGGGUAGUUUAAUUCGUAUGUGACAUUAGAUUUCACAUCAACAUCAUUAUUGUUCGUUGAAAUGCAUCGGGGGAGCUCGAUGAUGUUGCAGAAAAGUUAAGGUAGUGUCGUGGUGGAUUGAGUUACACGAGUAGUGCAUUAUACACCACAUGGGAUUUUCCACACUGCUUUUGAUAGAUAAAACAAUUAGGUCAUUAUUACAAGUACAUAAUACACAUUAUUUGAAGAAAUUUAGAUUUAUUAUUAGUUCACUACAAGAAACAUAUGUUUGUGUGGGUCAAGCGUGGAUGUCAUUUGUGUCGGCCAAAACCAUGCAACUCUGAUACAAAAUCUUUUUUCCCUGACCUUUUGACGCUGGACCUUUUGAUGCAUGUGGGACGCACAAAGAGAAAGUGAAAAUAAUAAUAAUAAUAAUCUUGUGUCGACAAGACCAAUUCAUAAUUUGAGUCGUACGACGGGCUGAAAAACAUAUAUUUAAAUAUUUUUAUUACAUGUAUAGAUUUAUUUAUUUUAAAUAUAAUAAAUUUUUAAUAUUGUAAUAAAUAUUUUAGUUUCAAAUACUUUAUUUUGGAGUAAAAUUUAAAAUAAAUUUAAAUUUUGAUACAAGUUAAUUAAAUUAAAUUUAUUUAAAGAAAUUAUCAUAAAAAUAUUAGAAAAAACUGAAAAAUGUAGAAAAAUAAUGAUUGAGUAAAUAAAAAAGGCAUAUUUAAAUUUUGUAAAUGUUAUAUAAAAUAUAAAAUAUACAUAAAUUUAGGAAUAUAAAUUUGACAUGAAGUAAUUAAUGUAAAAUUUAGUGAAUUUAUUUAAAAAUAAAGAAGUAAUAUUAUCACAAAAUAUGGAAGUAAACUUAAGAAAAGAAAGAGUGAGGAUAAAACUUUUGAUUGGUCACUUAAAUAAAUUUUAAUCUCAUAAUAUCUCUAUAAUGGAUGAAGGAAAGAUUUAUUUUGAACUUAGAAUCGUCCUUGGAGACACUACGUGAGAAAACAUAUGUGAGUAAAUUGUCGUCAGUGGGAACACUACUCGAGAAACAAAUAUUAAUGUCGUCUAAACUUAUGCCAAAUAUAAUAAAAUAUUAAUUUGCAUUCACUUUGUAUCCCCAUUUUGGACGCAAUAUCACUCUGCAACUUAUUUUUUGAUUGCAUCUACUUUGUGUCUCCAUUUUAGACGCUAACUCAUUAAUAUUAUUUUAAUAAUUUUUACUUACAUCCACUUUGUGUCUCCAUUCUAGACUCAAUUUUAUUCUAUUACUUAAUUUUUUUAUUACAUCUAUUUUGACAUUUAUUUUGUUAUCCAACUUGAGUAGACUUCACAUUUACUAGUGAUUUCUUUUUUAUGGUCCUCACUUUUUGUUGGCAGCUAAAAUAAAUUUUAUUUUAGUGUCUAGGUCACUAGCUAAUUCAAUUCAUACGAGAAUAUGAGAACACUUUUCAGUUGAAUUUCAUAAAUAAAAGUAAACAUUCUAAAUUUUUAAAAAAAUAUUGAAUAUAAAGAUUGAAAAAGUAAUAUAUAUAUAUAUAAAUAUAAUGAUUUCAAUGGAGUUUUCUCAAUUUUUUUAUAGAUUGCCACGAGUUUACUUCACUUAAAGUACCUUUCUUUUUGUUUAAAGAUAUAGGUAUAUAACUUUCAAAAUAGAAAAGUGAUUUUUUUAACAAAUAUCAAAGAUUAAAUUUACUAAGGGUAUAUUUAAACCUAAGCUUUUCUAAAUUCUUUACUGUAGAUUUCACUUAGCAAACUUUUUCCAAAUUUGUUACUUGUUUUUUCUAUUCGUUAAGUGAAAUAAAUUCUUUCAACAAAUUUACUCUAGUAUUUCGUCUAAGUUUCUCCACCUAAAAUUUUAUUAAGCUAAAUUAAUUUGCUUAGCAAAUUUUGGACAGAAAAUAUAUUUAUUUUAAUUCUUUAUCUUCGUUGGUAAAAAUAAAUUCCUUAUAUAUAUAUAUAUAUAUAUAUAUAUAUAUCUAUCUUGAAUCCAAGUUUCUUCAAUGAUUUUUUAUAAACAGAAUUAUUAAAUUAAUGCACCAAACUACUUAUUUUAACAAAAUAUCUAUUUUUAGUAAAUUGUUUACAAAACUUAAAAUGACACGUUGAAAUCUAACAUUGUUUUCUUAUUUGAGUUAUUUUGCCUUUAUACGUUGAAGUUGUUGACGUCGGAUUAAUCGGUCAAAAAACAUAGGAAAGUUUACACACAUGUAAUUUUAUGAUUACUAAUCCUAAGAAUCUUAAUUGAAUUAAAAUAUUUUCCUUAUAAAAUUCUACAUUACAGAAAAGACGAAGAGAAGAAUAUUAUAAUAUUUAGGUUUUUUAUUUCAACAUGUUAUUUAAAAAUUAAGCCAUUUGUAUUUAAAUAUAAUUUUUUGCGUUUUUUAUGUAAAUUAUUGACUAUGUACCAUUCUAAUUUAACAAAUUUCGUGACAUUGUAAUUAAGUAAUCUUGAUGGAUGUGACAUUAUUUACAUGGAGUGCCAUUAGUCACAUCAUAUUUUUGUGUCAUAAACUGGGAGCCAAAACACAAACCAUUGAUUUGGAAUUUGCACACACAAAAGAGUAUUCUUUCAUAACAAGAUAUUUGAAUUUAAAUAUAAUUACAUAUAUGAAAACCACUCAAGUCUCAAGUCACUUUGAAGACUCUCUAUUUGCCAGAGUGGAGGAAUAUGAGAAGAGACAAAACUAAAAUUUAAAUUGAAGAAAUAUUGAGAAGGAUUUUUUUUUUUUUAAAAAUAUCUCACUUCCUUUUUUUUCUCUUCAAUUAAAUAAAAAUAUAUCAUCAUCUUUAUUUUUUUUCUUCUCCGAACAUUGGUCCUAGACUCUUGUUCUUACUCUUUUUUUUUUUUUUUUUUUUUAUCAAUUAAAUAAAAAUAUAUCAUCAUCUAUAUUUUUUUUCUUUUCCGAACAUUGGUCCCAGGCUCUUGUUCUUACGUUUUUUUUACCUUUUUUAUCGAGGAUAUUUAAGAUGGGUGUCCAAAUUAGAUUAAUGAAUUGAUUUUUGGGAAGGAUUGUCGAACUUAUAAUUAUAUAUUGAAUAGUAAUUUAUUUGCAGAAGACUUUUACGCUUUAAGUUAGUAAGAAUUUAUAAGAUAAUUAAGUACAAGUGAAUGAGAAAAUAAUUCAUAUCCAUAGUAAUAAGAAUAUUCACUAAUAUCAUAUUUAUAGCCUUAUAUAAUAUCUAGAUAACUGAUUCUUUUAUCAAAUGUGUAGUUGAGUUCUAUAAAAACGAGUCAAUUAUUUUUUAGUACUAAUAGGAUACAUAAUAACUACAAUAACUACACGUGUUUAAUAUCUGCGGUUAUGAAUAGUUAAUAGAUGAUCGGUCCUCAGUAGUAAAGUAUUUUUCAUGUUUAAAUAAGAGAUGAAGCAGAAAAAUAAAUUUCCAAAGUAAGGAAAAUAAAAUUAAGUUGUAAACAUAGUGUUAUUAUUGUGUCAGGAGUUAGGAUAACAGUACCUACCGGUUGAACAACUGAAUUUUUUAUUUUUUUUGUCUUUUUUUUUUAUUUUUUUUGUUGAGAUUUUGAUAUGAGGACACUUCCAAAUGUUAUCUUAUGUUGAAAUAAUUAUUUAAUUCGGUGAAAUAAAUAUUGUAAUAAUGAUAUAUAUUAGUUUAUUUAUCAUAUGUGAUACUGAUAGACCUAAAUUAAAACGUGCAUUACAAAUAAUGUUCACAUUUUUUAUACCAUUUAACUAUGAUUAAUAUACACUUAGAUUUGUAUGGUUCGAUCAGUAUCACAUACGAAGAGACAUUUGAUCUUUGACGGUACACAUAGAUUUUUUAACUCCAACAACAUAAUAUAGAUAAAGUGAAAAACUUGGUCUCUCUAGUUUCUUCAGCCCACAAGCUAGAAAAGGAGAAACCGAAGGGUUAUGAGAUGAACUACUCAUGAAAAGUUGCAGCUUCUGGGGAAGGAAAGAUAAAAUGCCAGGGCAUAUAAGCAUUAGUUUUGUUAGGCAUUGCACCAAAGUGAUGACUCGUUAUGGUUACAUCAAUCCCUUUGAGGAGCUGAUAGAUGUAGAAAAGCUAUGCUAUAAAGCUUUGUUAAGUACUUGUUUUUUAAUGCAUACAUUUCUUUAUGGCUAAUCACUUUUUUCUUCCAAUCAACCCUGAAUGAAAGGGUCACACACCAGAACUAAUCCUUUUAUGCAAACUAAAAUAGCCAUUAUUAAUUUCAAAUUGUUGUUAACCAACAACUUACCAUUAAUCGACAUCGUACGAUGUUUCUCAUAUCUUUGAGCAUUGCAUACACACGCCAACAACAACUUAUAUAUAAUCAAAUCAUGCCCUACGCCCCAAGCAGACAUGUCUAUCACCCUGAACAUCCAUUAAUGGUAAAAUAAAAGCAUUGCAGAGAACCACAUGACUGCCAGCUACCUAGUUAAUUGUUCAAACGAAGUAACUUGACUCAUACUUUAUUAAGCAAAAAUCCUAGUUGCUUAGGGUGUGACAGUUUUUGUGGUAGGAAAUGGAAAAGUUUUAUGUAUCCAGAUUUACAAAUUUGUAAUCUAGUAAUUACACUUUCUUUCUGUAUUCCAGGUGUGGUUUAUUGCUAGUAUAGUAAAGGUUAUAACUCGUGACAUAAAAGUAAGUGAAAAAAAUUGUAAAGUAUAAAAUAGUUUUAUAUCUCUUCCUACUAGGAAGAUGAUACCUAUAAAACUAUUGAAGUCUUCUUCUACUUCCUUCGGUCGGUCAGGUUGCUGGGUGAUGAACUGAGAUUCUUCUCGUCCUCCUGCUUCUCUUUUGACACUCGGUCUCGGAUGAACGGAUGGUGGGGUACCUGCGAAGGCACUCCGACGCUCAAGUCAGUAAAGCGGAUGAUGGUGUUUUGGUAGGCGAACAAUAAUAAAUGACAUACCUUUUCCUUGGGAUGCGUGCCAUUUAUAUUAUUCUAAUGGGCCUACCUUGUUGGGCCCGUUUAUCGGAGUGGAUACUGCUUAGGAUUUUAUUACCUAAUUCUUAAUGACGGAUUAACUUCACUGACCUUGGUUUGAGCAUUAACGGUAAUAUGGGUUGGCCGUCGGACAGGAUUCCAUGGUCUCGGUCGUCUCGGCCAAGUCUCUAAGGUCUUGGCCAGGUUUUCCUGGUCUCGAUCGGGUAGACCGUCGGCCUCGUCCUCUCGGCCAAGUCUCUUAGGUCUCGGCCAAGGUUCCCUGGUCUCGGUCAUGUAGAUCAGGUCUCGGGCAACCAUGUGGGUCUCGAUCAGGAAGACCAGGAGUCGGUCUCGCCCCAUAUCGUUAUCCAAUCAAUGCAUAUCAUGAGUGUGUUGAUUUUUAUAAUAAUUAUUUAAAAAAGUAUAUUAAUAUUAAUUUGUGGUUUGAUAAAAGUAUAUGAUAUACAAUUAUCAUUCAACUCAAUAUUUAAAUCGGAAGAUAUGAUCCAUAAUAGGAAAUGAAUACUUAUGAGGCGGGUAUAUAUUUUUAGCACUCUCGAAUAGUGAAAAACACGAAUGAAAGGUGUUGGACUUGAAAGUAAUGAAAGUGUGAUGAGGUGUUGAGAUGGAUGUGUUGGGGAGUGCCCGUUUUAUACCAAUAAUUGGAACUUCUAAGACUUAGUUUAUUUGAGUUUAAGGCAGCAUGAUGAAGCUAAAUCUAGUGGCAACCUAUCUUUACACGUAUGAGAAUGAAGCCAUAUGGGUUCUGAGGCUUGGAAGCAUGUUGGUGUCCCCAUUAAGCAUCCCAAUAUCUUCUGAAAAUCAACCACUUUGAGUGGAUUCCAACUCCUCCUCAACCAUUUAUAAGAUUCACAAAGUAGUGGGUUUCCCUUUCACACACCUAACCCUUUCAAAAUAACCCAUUAAACUAAAUAUCAGAUCUCUUCCAUUUAAUAAAAUAUUACUAUUUUUAGAUUCCAUUUUGUGGAUAUUUGUUUCAGAGCUCUCAUAAAUCUGGGUGCCCAAUGGUUUAGUACCAUCUCUUUUUGAGCAAUUAAAGGUUCUAUUUCGAUUCAAUAUCCCAAUUAAACAUCUUCCAAUUGUUAAUACUAAGAGAUGUUGGGAGUUAGAGUCAAUAAUAUCAAUCCUCUGCCGUUAUAAGUGCUUCUCUUAAUUAAUUUAUUUUCUCAGAUAUCUUCACUUUAUAGCUUUAGGAACUGUUUUAAAUAUAUAAGAUUACAAUUAUAAAAAUAUUCUCCACACUCAGAGUUCCUGCCUCCCUGUUAUGGUGGCAACUCCUAGCUCAAACUCUCAACUCAAUCUCAUUAUAUUUAAUUAAUUAAGAAUUCAAUAUAUUUUUCUCCAUAUAUUUUUAUUAUAAAUUUUUUUUUUCUAUUUUAAACUUUAAAUCUUCUAAAUAUUUAUAGUAACAAAAUUAAGAUUGUCAAUUUUUUUACAUAAUAAUUUUCAGUGUGAACUAGUAUAUUAAAAUAUUUUGUACUGAUUUAUUACGGUCGUUAUAAUAUUAUAAUAUGGUUUAUUCUAAAAUUCGUUUAUUAUAUCGAUUUUUUAUUUUUUAAAAAUUCAUUCUAAUAAUAUUUUUUACGUCAAAAUUUUGGAUUAGAUACAAAACUCAAUUUUACAUAAAUUUUACGUUAUAAGUUAUAGAAGAUGGUUAGACCCAUUAAUAAUCUGUUGUGACUAUGUUACUUUAUAACUUUUGUCUACAAAAGGAUAAUAGAUGGAGGAACAGGAAGGAGCUGUUUAUUAGUGAGAAUCUGAGAGCAUUAUUGUAAUGUAGUAUAUAUCUCCAUGAGUUUUAAUUCCCUGUGAUUGGUAACUACGUGACUAUGUUCGCAGCACUUGGACCAUGUGAUGGAAUAGGAUGGAUAGUUGGAGCAUGUGAUGGAAUAGGAUUGAUGGUUGACAAUAAUUGAAGUGUCUUCAAGGGCUUUAUGAUUCUGGAUGGAUGUAGACUGGUUAAUCCUUUGACAUGUUGCUUGUCUUAUUUGCUAGUUUAGUGAUUUUAUGCAUAAUUCAUCAGGACACAAAAUAGUAGGAAAGCCAAGUACAAUCAUGGAUAAUGAUCGAUAACAAAAAGAGGAGCCAUCACAAUGGGUACGGUUAUGAUCAUAUAAUUUUUCAAAUAUUUAACCACAUCAUGACUCCACCCUCUAGCCUCUACUGCCAUGUCUACGUUUUGUGCGCCUCUAACAUGCGUCUCACCUCGUCAUUGCCCAAGUUGCCUCGUCCUACCACAUCAUCAUGUUGUUACCCCCCACAUUCCCCUCCUUGUGUAUUCCUGUGCACAUUUUCCUUUGGAGUUUACAUAGUAUUUUCUCAUUUUAUAGUUGCUUUUUUUAUAAUCUUUUUAAAAAUCGUAGAGUAAGUGAAUUUCAUUUAAUAAAUUUUAUUACAUUGAAUUUGCAUAAUGUUAUUACAUUGAAUUUGCAUAAUGUUAUGUAUUCUAAUAUCAAAUUUUGAUAUUUUAAUACUUAUUCUGGAUAUAGCAUAUUGAGUGGUAGAUUAAGUGAAAGAUCAAUAAAACUUAUUUAGAUACAUCUUAAGGUAUUUAUAGUAAAUAUAUUCAUAACUUUUGUAUUGUCAUUUAUUGAUAUAAUAAUGUUUAUUUUGAGUUGUAGUACAAUAAGCAAAUUCGAUGUAUGAGUGUGUCUAAUAUGUGAUGUAGUAUAUGACGACCAUUGUUCGAGUUGAUAUUAAUAAAGACUUAUAUGCUAUAACCCACCAAUAACACUCUUAAAUUGGAUUAUUAAUUAUAGACUUAUGUUAAUUUAAUUUAAAAUAUUUUACUUUCUCAAAAUAUACAACUGUUAGAUUCAUAAGUAAUUAAAUAUGUCACAAUGAUAUGAAUCCAAAUAGAAAUGGUAGCAAAAUUGGGAAUUUAGGGUUACAUGACGGAAUAAAUUCAAAACAGUAACAAUAGAAAUAUGGAUAAAGGAAGGCGCCACAAACAAAGUUUGAUAAGCCUAAGGAUGAUCGUCACAAGAAAUGGUGAAUUCUUGAUAAGAUCGCAAGAUGCAGGGAAAAACCCUAGCAGAUAAAUACUCCCUCUUGCCAAAAUAUUUGUCCUUCUUUCUGAUUUCCAAAAGAGUAUAAAUAUAAAUUGAGUUAUGUGUCUUGACUCAUUUGUAAGUAAGUAAAAUAAAAAUACAAUCCCUAAAUUUCAAGAAGUGAUCAUUUGUUUCAGGGAUUAGGUUGAUACCUUGUAAUUGGUUAUGAGUUCAAAUCCUAACUCUAAAUAAAAUAAUAAGUAUUGCAAGUCUUGUCUCGUGUAAUCAAUUUAGUUUUUUUAGACUGAAUAUGCUUAAGUUUUUAUGGAAUAUUUUGUUGCUUUAAAACUUUGUUUUAAUUCAUAAAUUAUAUUUUAUAUACAUUUGUACAUGUGAAUUACAGUUAGAUUCGUUAUAUAUGUUUGAGAUGGAAUCCACUAUUUGCAGGUUCAAAUUUUAUGAAAAAAAAGUUUUUUUUUUUAAAAAAGCAACACAUAUGAUGAAGGUAUGGAGCAAACCGUCAUCGUAUUAACACUUUUAAUAACGAUUUAUAAGAAUUAUGUUGCGUUUACAUAAUUUUAAAGACAACUUCGUUGUCAUUUUCUCAAUUUGUUUAUGAUAGAUAAGAGUCAACUUCUUAUUAUUAAUUUUUCUUACGAUAACGAUUUAUUACAAAAUCGUCUUUAAAACUCUAUUCUACUACAUUGACAUUUUUAUUAAAAUAUUCUAAAACUAAUUUUAAAAAGCUAUUUUAGACGUUAUGAAAAGUCUAAUGUACUUUAAUGAUAGAUAAAAAAAUAUAUUUAUUUUAUUUUAUUAAUAAUUAAUUAUUUCUUCUUGUUCUUAAAACAGGAUAAUUAGAAAAAUGUUUAUUUACUGAUUACUGUUUUCGACAACAUUUCAAUUACUGUUAGAAUUUAGAAUUUAUACAGACACUUUAAAUGCCAUAAAUUUCCCUUUGUUGCAACAUCAACUGCAAAAAUUAAAUUAAUUAGAAGGUCGAUAAGAAACAACUUUACAGAAUUAAUACACAACUAUGAAUUAUUUUAAUAAACGUAUUUCUUUAUUAUUUAAUUUAUUAAAAGGCAUAAAUUAGAUGUAAUUACAUGGUUCCUUUUAAAAAAUUACGAAAAUACAUUAAAAAAUAAUUUAAAUAGAAGAAAUACAUUAUUCCGUAAAAGAGUUUUAGUAAGUAAUAAAAAUAGUUUUGGGGAAGUACAUUAUUCUGCAUUUUAACUUAUGCAACGUUCCAAACUAUGUUAAUGUUACUUGGAUUUGGAUUGCAGUUAUUGGAGACAUCUGGAGACAUAAGGAGAAUUACAUCUUUAAAGGAGCAGUGAUUAAUCAUUUAGAGAUUUUUUUCUUGGUUCUUGGUUAACUUCCAAAUGUAAUUAUACUUGUUUUUUUUAUUUUGAUUGGUGUCUUUAUCUGAGAACUUGCUUGUUUAUUAUAAGAAGAACUGUUAGUUUGAGUAGGUGGUAUUGUGAUGUUUCUUAUAAUAGUCUUUAGUGAGUUCUGAGGUAUUUUUUUUAUUUGUAGUUGUAUGUAUAAGGAUUGAAUCACCCCUAAAAUGAUUUUUAUUAAUUUAUUAUUUUUUGUUGAUAACAAAAAUGUAAUAAAAAUAGUUUUAAGAAUAUAAUUAUUUACAAAAAUGAGACUAAAUGAUAAAACCAUUAAAUCAAGUUUUUAUUUUAAAAUUUUAGCUAAGACGUUUAGAAAAUAUCAUCCGACAAACAAAAUUUAUCUAUUCCAUACCUGCCUUUUGAAUUUAAACACUUCUAACAGUUACUGCAUGGUGAUGGAAAAAGACCCAAACCAGGGUUAAGGUUUUCUGUGUAGAUCAUAUACACCGUGAUUUAUUUAUUGACACAGUGUGCCUGAAUUAUAUUUGUCUGAGUUGGAUUUUAUAUAUAUAUAUAUAUAUAUAUGCUUGUUUACAAUACUACCCCUCCCGAUUAUAAGUACGUACUUGUGGAAAGUAAAUAAGAGAAGAAUGGAUAAAACACAACAAAACCUUCACUCCUAUUUCUUUACCAUUCUUUUACCCACCACCGCUCAUUUUUUUUAAAUUUCUUAUCUACAAAACAUUUCUACUUUAUUUUUAUAAUAUUUUAUUUUAAUAAAUAUUAAAAUAAAAUAAAUAUAAUAAAUAAUAAAAAUAUUGAUAAAAUAUGUAAAAGAAGAAAAUAAAAAUAUUUUUUUAUAUUUUUUUUCUAGUUUGUACUUACCUGUUAUAAAGUCAGAAACACCUUCAAAGUAAUUGUACAUAUCCGAUAAUUAGACUUUAAUUACAUCAAUGACAAUUAUAAACGGCUUAUUCAAAUAAUUUACUACUGACUAUUUAUGAAUAUAAUGCAAGAUCUAUAAAUACAAACUCUCAUAAAUAUAAUAGAUCGUAUUCAAUACUUGUACACUCAUAUAUUUUGCAUAUAUACUACUGUAAUUGCGCUCUAAUUACUUAAACAUCCGAAACGCACAUACUUGUAAAAUAAUACAAAGAUUUUCAUCAAAACAUAAUUAUUUUUUAAAAUAGUAAAACACAAACUUUUACUUCUUCAUAUCCCUCCCCUUGUUUAAUUUUUUUAAGAAAAAGAGAAAGAAAAUUUUAAUUUUUUUAUUUAUUUAUUCUAUUUUUGAAAAUAUUAGUUUCAUAUUAUUAUUAGUAUCUAUGAUAUAUAAUUUUUUCUUUUAAUGUUUCUUAUUCAAAUUUUUUAUCUAUUAAUAAUGUUUAAAAUAUAAUAAUUUAAAUAUAGUUAUAUUUUUUUAAGUUCUUAUAUUCUAAUUAAUUAAAGUUUUUUUUUCUAAAAAUAUUUUUGUAUGCAAAUUAUUUUUAGGAAAAAAAUAAAAUCUUAAUUGCUAUAAUUUUUUAUAAGUACUUUUAACUCUAACUUAUUUAUCAUAAGUUUUUCUUUUAACAAUCACGUUUCUCAUAAUUUAAUUUUGAUUCAAUUAUUGAAGAGUUCAAAAAUUAGUACAGUAAAGAACCAAAUGAAAAUUAAUUAAACUGAGUACGAAUUAAUGUACAAAUUGAUUUAAUAUUAUUUAUUAUGUAUACUUUAAAACUAAAUAAAACUCAUAAUAUGUACAUACACAUUAAACAAAAACAUUAUAUUGCCUAAUUGGUUAGAAAUCAUAGAUGUUUUAAUAAAUACUUAUAAUAAUAAUAAAAAAUAAUGUUAUAUAAAUGUUUUUACUUUGAGUCUCUAAAGGCAAAACAAAAUAAAAUAUGAAAAGAGAUAUGACUGACUAUGGUUUAGAUGAUUUGGAACCAUGUGAAUAAUAUUAUAUUUAAAAGUAUAAUAAGGUUGAUGUUGAAGAAUUAUUCUACAUGGCACAACUUUUGACUGGAUAUAGAUGAUCCAUAAAACUUCUAGAACUAUAUUCUCUUACUCAACUCUUAAAAUUUAUAAUGUAUAUGAUUAUAUAAUGUCAUUAAUGUAUUGAGUAUGUGUAGGUGCUAUCAUAUACUUGUGUUGUAUGUGAUUAUUAUUGCAGAUGGAAUAAAGUAACCAUGUGCAGCAUAAACUUAUGUUGGUGGGAGGAAAACUUGUAAAUUAAAUGCAAGAUAUUAUGAUAUUGUGUUUGAUAGUUUGUUUUUUUAAGUUAGUAUGUGUUGUAUGAGUUCAAAUUGUGGGAGAGAAACACUUUUGUUCUCGAACUGGUUUGGGGACAAGGAGAACUAUCAACUUCGGAUGAUACGCGGUCGGUCUUGACGUGUUCGGCUCUCCUUCAAGCUUCUUCGUCGAAUGGUUCCUCGGAUGUGUGGGGUACCUGUAGAUGACACUCAAACGCUCAAGUCAGUAGGGUAUCGUAUUCGACUGUCAGAAUACUGUAGUUAAUGACGUACCUUUUUCCUUGGAAUGCGUGAUAUUUAUAUUACCUUGAUGGGCCCUUGCUGUUGGGCCGAAUUAGGGGGUUACUUAGUGACUAGGGUUGAAUUAGGUCAUCCCUUAACCAUGAGUUAACCUUUGCUAAUCGGGUCAAUUUUUGACUUGAGCAUCCUAUGCUGGUCGGCCACGUACGCCACGUGGUCGACCUUGUAACUUAAGGUGGGAUCUGGGCGUAUGGGUUGACCGGGUCAAGGGGACCGGUCAGUCGGCCCAAUACAACUUUAAAAUUGAAGAAAGAGGUUUGUACUAUUUUCUUAUCUUUGUAAGUUGAGGUAUUUGGGAUAGUCAAAUUUUUGUUGUAACUGAAACUAAUGCAGAAUUUUAAUAGAUCUUAUUUUGUACACAAUUAAAACAUCCCUUAAAUAUUCUAUUUUUAAUGUUAUCAUUAUUUGUGGAUAAAAAAAUACUUACAAAAAGUGAUUUACAAAUAUUUUAUUAAAAUUAAAAAAAUUAUCACUAUUUUAAAACCAUCUUAAACUAGACUUUAAAAAGUAACGAAGGUGAGAAGUAGUAUUUUCCUUAAUGGGACAUUAGUUAAAAUUUUGAGAAAAAAGUAUGGACCCAAUAACUUUUAUUGUCGAAGUAAGUGUCAGACACCAAUAUCAAGAUUUCAUAAAUGGUUUUUGUAACUUUAGUUUUCUUUUAAUUGGAUGCCAAAUGGACUAAGCGGUAGUUCCCGGCAACAAUGCUACCCAUAGUUUAAGAUGUUUAUAGGAAGUUUAUGAGUAACCCUUAUCCAUAAACUUAUAUAUGUAUGCCACAGUCCAGGUCAAAAUAUAAACUCAAUGAAGAAUCAAUAUGCUAUUAAAAUAAACCUUUUAUAUAGCUAUUUUAGACAUUUUGUAUCAGUUAUAAAUUCAAUACACAUCACUAAUAUAAAAAAUGGGAAGUUUUUUUUAUAUCAAUUAAAAAUCAAUAUAAAAAAUUUGAUAUAUAACAUCCAUUCUAAAACAUUCGAUGUUAUAUAUCACUUAGAAGACCCAAAGCAUAAAAAAAAUGUCAUUAUAAAUCUUUUUUCGACAUGAAUUAUUUCUAAGUAUAUCAACAUCAAAUGUAAAGGGUAAUUUAAAAGUAAUUCCAACUAUAACUACUAAUUAAAACUAAGUUAAACAUAAUUAGUAAUUAAAAAUGAAUUAACUGUAUAUUGAAACUAAACUAACUAUUGCACAUAAUUCAAAGAUUAAUUCUUCACAAAAUGCUAACUUCUAUUAUUUAAAAGAUAUAUUGCCCACUUUAAGGUCAUGUGUCUAGCCCGAUUGUUGAUCAUUUAUGAUGGUUGGUUGACCCUUAUAACUGAUGUAAAGAUAUAGCAUACAUUGGGGAUCUCAAUAACUUAGCUUUAACUACCCAAUUAGAGUCGAAUCAUAACGAUGGCAGAAGGUUAAGGGUUUGAUCCAUAUAUAACACAAUACAAAAUAUGAUAUAUAAUACACACAGAAAAAUGAUACACUUAUUCUUUACCAUCUUCAAUGCUCUAAAUCGGAGGUCAUACAUCCUCUUGUCUAGAACACCCACUAAUAAUGAAUUUAUUUAAUUAUCUUUAUAUCCAAAUGACUAAUAAUGAGUAAAAUAUUGCAAAAUAUUUAAUGGAUAUUAGUUUUUUAUAAUAACCACAACAAUCUUUUAUUUUUCCAAACAAAAAAAUUGAGUGUUAUAUUAUCCAUUCUAAGAAAUCUACAAUAAUCAAAGGGUUAUGGUCCACAUAUAAGCCACAAUAAACUUUUUUUAUUAGUUACAUUUGUAUUAAUAUAUAAAUUGAAUCAAGUUAAUUAAUUGAAAUUAGUUAGCACGAUUAUAAUAAGUUUAAUGACGAACUAAAUAUUUUAAGACAAACUUAACAUAAGUGAACCGAAAUUUAUCAUGAUGAUAUUAUUAAAAAAUUGUGUAAAUUAACUUUAUUAAGUGAUUCAUAUAAAAUAGAUUUUGGACUUAUAAAACGUUAAUGUGAGAAGUUAUUUGUUAAAUAAUAACAUAAUAAUAAAAGUUUGUUGAAAGUUGUUAUGAUAGCAAGAAUUAACAAGAAAACAAGUCAAAGAGUUUGUUGGUUAAAAUGUAAAAAUAGGGAUUGAGUUUCAACUUUCUCACUCUUUUGUAUUUUGAUUAGCAUGACAAUAUUGUGCCAUUUGAUUGAUAUUGGUGUCGGUAUAAAAAUCAUUUAUAUCGAUUCGUCGCAUAUAAAAUUAGUAAGAUGCUUCCUAAAUAUCAAUUAUUCACGUAUUUAUAAAAACAACUUAUCUUUUAAGAUUAGAUGUUGAUAGCAAUUAACAUUUCAAGUCUAUUCCUAACACUCAAAUAUGCUAAGUAUUAUUGUUUAGGUCAUAACCCUAAAAAUACUUUCAAGUCAAAUUUAAGAUUAUAGAUCAAGAAUUAGAAGCAAAACAAUAAUACCAAUAAUCAAUCAAGAACAAAAUAUUAUGUUAAGAUAUCACCUAAAUGCAUAAGAGUUUGAACAUAUUACUCUCAAUCCCAAAGGGUAGAAUUAGUCACACAUCUUCUAACACCUUCUAUUCUCCCAAUUGGGUUACAAGUCAUUCAAUGGUGUUUUCCUCUCAAUCUUCCACCCUAAGGUCGAGCCUCAAGCCCCCUAUUUAGCCUAAUUUUCUAGGAUUAGGUGACUUCAGUGUGUCGCGCUAAUGGGCUUGUUGAUUAAAACAUGAAAUGGCCCAAUAGUUCUGGUCCUUUCUCGCUCAAGCGAGAUAUAUCUUGCUUGGGUCAGAUGCUCUGAUGAUGAUUUGAGCUUUUUGUGCUUUUGUGCGUUGUGGGGCCUUCCAGCUUUCUCCUUUUAGCUUAUAUUAUUCCUCUUUAGCCCAAUCAUUUCCAUUCUUUCCUAAAAACCUGAAAUUAACACCAAAUUUGGAAAUAAAAUGUUCUUAUUCAAAUAAAGAUCAUAAAAUAUGUAAAAAGGUAAAAAUUCAUAAAUUAGAGAUUAUUUUAUAUAUAUUUUAGCAAUUCAUACUCAUAAGUGCCUUUAUUUUAAUAUGAAAUAUUACUGAAAUUAGGCACUUAUCACACUCCUUAGUGGUGUGCACAUUGUUCUUGUGAUACCGACACCUAGGAGUCUGGUCAGCGUUCUCGGGGCUCGCAGCCCUUCUCGACGGUGGGAUUAGAUUGAAACUUAAGGCCUCAUCUAGAAUCCUCCCACUUUCGACACUCAAAGGGGUGUACUUGUAAAUCGGUGUCCCCGAUUGUCCCUAUGCCUAUCUGCUCGACCAACAGUAGGUCGGCUUAGACGCUCGUUCUCCUUUUCCUUCCCCUUAUCCCCACCUGCCUCAGCCCUGACCUGAUUCAUGAACUCCCUAAACUCUUCCAACUGCAUGAACUUAGCAGCUUUCUACCUAAGCUCAUCUAGGUUCACAGUCGACCUCUUACAUAAGCUAUCGGCAAACGACCCUGGUCGUAGGGCGACCAUGUGAUGCAUGCCCACGUUCGGACUCAGAUUUCGAAUGUUCAGGGACACCUUACCAAACCUUUCCAUGAAUAACCUCAAAUAUUCGCCCUUCUCCUGGCGAAUGUUGACCAGGGCGAACUGUGUCCCGAACUUGGACACCAACGUUUCAAAACAGUCGAUAGAGUUUGGAGGAAGUCUCGCGAACUAGCUCAAGGCUCCUCCCUUCAGUGAGGUGGGGAACACUCGACACAGGAACACGUUAUCUGAGGUGUAUAGGCUUAUGUGUAUAGAUUCCCCCUCUACCCACUUCUUCUUCAUCUCUUCAUUCUCUUUUCGGAGAGCAAGAAUCUCCUUUUCACUCUUUCGUUGCAUCUCCUCAUUCUUUCUAUUCAUCUCGACCAUCUCUUUUUGUAGAGACGUCAAAAGUAUCAUCUGCUCAGCCUCAUAUAUCCUCUCUCUCACCAUACUUCUAGUUAACACCAUUUGUUCUUCCACUCCUCCUCUCCUUGAACUCUGGACUCGAAUGAUACCUACAAAAGACACUCUGACGCUCAAGACAUACUUUAGCACUCGACACUUAGUAUUUAGUAUAAGAUGAUUGCAUCCUAGAUCCUUUGGGAUCUGUGCUUAUUUAUAUAAUUAUCGUGGGCUUUUUGUCGUUAAUGGGUCUAAUAAAAACAUAUUAACAAAUGUUGGGUCAUUAAUCAGUUUCGUUGUUGACCAUGUCGGUCGGUCUGGAUCAGGUGCCGAAUAGAAGUCUUGGUCGUGCGAACCCUACCGGUACAGUAAUAAUCAAACAAUUAAGAAUAAAUUACUCAUUUACAUUCACUCUUAAUGUUUGUAUUAUAUACUUUGUGGAUAAAUCUUUAAAAUGACUUUAUGCUCUGUUUAUGAGAAGUCAACUCUUUAAAACCACAAUGGACAUCAAAGAAAAAUUUCAAUUUCAAAAUAAAUUGUUCCUUUAUACAUUCCAGAUAUUAGGAGUUUCAUAUUUUUUAAAGUUACCAAACAAAGAUUUUACUCUAACUUUUUCUUUUCUUUAAGUUUAGUUUCAAAUUUUAUCACAAUAUUUGCUUCUUUACUCAAUUAUUAUUUUUCUAUUUUUUUAAUUAUUUCUUAACUUUUUCAAAUAUUUUCUUUAAAUAUUUUUAAUAUUAAACACUUUAGUCAACUAAUUAAAUUUAAUUUAAUUAACUUAUAUUAAAAUUUAAAUUUCACUCCAAAAUAAAUUAUUCAAAACUAAAAUAUUUAAAAUAAUAUUAUAAAUUCAAUAAAUUUUAAAUAAAUAAAUCUAUACAGCAUAAUAUAAAAAAAUUAAAAAGUUACAUCUGUCGACGCAUAUUUUUUGUGCUGAACAUAUAUCGUCGGUCUUGACCAACGCACAUUCCAAAUUAAUUAUGCCGCCCCAUACGUCGGUCUAGCCGACACAAUUAAUUCAUGUUCACUCUUAGUCAACGCAAAUUUUAGACAACUAAUUCACCGUUUUCUUGUAGUAUUUAAUCACAUUUUUAACGAGUUGUAAUCUUUAAUUAUAACCCUAAUUAUGUUUCACCGUUUUCUUGUAGUAUCUAAUCACAUUUCUAAUAUGAAUUAUAAUAUUUAAUUACAGUCCCUCACUAUGUAAUCUUACUUUUGAAAAUUAAUUUGAAUAAAACUAUAAUAAUAAUUUUAAUUAAGAUUAACACAAUUAUACAACAAAUGUUGAAUCUAAUUGAAACACAAUACAAUUCAAUUAAUACUAAAAUAGAUACACAACUCACUGAUAUAUAGAAGGUGUUUUUGCUAUUACAGCAGCACUAUCUCAUUUUACAAACUGUUUUCUAAGUGACGUAGUAAUCAUGUUGUAGAAAACAUUUUUAGCACUCGUGAUAUAAUCAUAAACUUUUAAAGAUCCAAUUCUAUACUAUCCUUCUUGUUUUCCUUUUAGAAGAAAACUUUAUUUUUAAAAACACUAAUACUUUUAACAUUAUCGCUUAAAAUUUUUACUAUUUAAAAACGUGAUAUAGCAGCAAGUUAAAAAUAGCUUUACUGCAAUCACGUUAUGAAAUACUUUCUAAGUUUCAAAAUUAUUACAGUAUUAUUAUUUAGUAUUUUAAAAAUUAAUUUAUAAUAUCAUUUUCAAUGAAAUAUAUUUUUAAUUUAUAUUCUAAAUAAGUUAUGACAAUAUUUAUAUUUAUAACUUAACAUGUUUACCGAGAAAUUAAUUUUAUUUUGAUAAAAUUAAUAAUAUAAAAUAUUGUUUAAGUGUAGUUAUUGGGGGAGCAUAGAUGGUACUGCAUUUAAUCUAUAUUGCGGAUUUUUAUCAUGAUGGGGUUAUUUUUAUUUUUUUUUAUCAAAAUGGGGUCCGUUUAAAAAAAAUUACAAAUUUAGGCAAGUCGUGCCAAUUUGACACGACUUCAUAUGCACAAAUCGUUUCAAUUUGACACGACUCUUCCAUGUCAUACUAAAGUCGUGUCAACUUGACACGACUUUUGCCCUGUCAUACUGAAGUUGUGCCAACUUGGCACGACUUCUGCCACGUCAUAAUUUUUUUUUAAAAUUUUAUUGUUUAUAUAUUGGGUAGUAAGUUAUGUAAUACUGAGACGAUUUGUUCAUAUGAAGUCGUGCCAAAUUGGCACAACUUGCCUAAAUUUGUAUUUUUUUUAAACAGACCCCAUUUUGGUAAAAAAAAAUAAAAAAAUAACUCCAUCAUGGUCAAAACCUCCUAUAUUGCAUAUACAAUUACAAGAUGAACUUAAUAUGCGGUCUCUUUUAAUUGGAUUGAUUUGUCUUUUGUCUGCAAAUGUACCAAGUAUUUAGUGAUUUAGUUGAUAAUUAAAUUUAGUAUAAAGAAAUGAUUAAUAAUUGUUAAUAAGAUUCUUUUUUUUUCAUUUAAUUUUUUAUUAUUUACAAAAUUCAAAAUAAUGGGAGAAGUGACAAGAUGGAAAAUAAAUUGUAAAUAAAAUUUAAGAUUUACAAAAAUACGUAUAUGUGUCUUUAAUGUGGGAAAGGUACUUUAUUAAAGAAAUAAAUAGGGUAAUGUUAUGGUUGCAUAUUCACAUAGGCUUAUAAAGCAUUGGUGGAACACUUUUGGUAUGCAAGCAUUAUUACCACAUUAAAAUUUCUAAACCAACUAAUUUUGUAUUUGGGAAUGUCUAAAUCAGCUUUUGGUGUUGGAGAUUGCAGUCAUCUUUUUUCAGUAUAUAUUGGCCACAUAUACGAUAAGUACAAUUCAUUUCAUAGCAACAGUUGCAACUGCGGCAUAAAACAUCUGCCUUUCAAUAUCCGCAUGCGCAUGCAAUGCGAUCUUUUUGUUCGGACUUUGUCCUCAAAAAUUCAUAAUUUUAGAAAAUAGAAUAAUCCUAUUUCCAUUUUCAACAAUAAAGUCAUACAAUUCCAUCCACCCCUUCACCCUUCUAAGCCUUCUAAAGUGGUGUCAAUUCUUUAACUCAUCAUCCACAAUCUACAACUCUAUACACUUCACACUACUCGAUCUUUUCCAUUCCACCAAUCGCCCCAAGAAUUGCUCAACCUGGCUUUACGUGGACAACUGAAGGAACAAAUCAAGGACGUUGAUGCGGCACAAUCAAAGGCGGUUUCUGUGUUUUGGAUUGGCAUGGCUGAGGUAAACAAAUUCAAUAUUAAACUUCCAAAUGUUAAAUAAGAAUCUGUUCCCUCUCCCUCCCUUACCUCACAAAAAGGUUCAGCUUUGUCAAUAAACACUGGAGAAAUUUCUUUGCCUACAAAAGCUAUUUCAAACGUGAGAUUUGAUUUCUCUAGAAAAUGUAUCCCACUUACAAGUGUCAAAUAAGUACAUUAUUUUUUACAAAUUUGAUUUUCAGCGUCAGGUAUUGGGUUUAAAUGUUCAGGAUACAAAAUAGUUGCUCCGUGAAGCCAUGCAACAUUAUGGUAUACCCUGGCUUCAAAAGUUUAAUAUAUUUGAUAAUGCCUUGCCUAUUUGAACUUUCAUUUUCCAUCAGAGCGUGCNNNNNNNNNNNNNNNNNNNNNNNNNNNNNNNNNNNNNNNNNNNNNNNNNNNNNNNNNNNNNNNNNNNNNNNNNNNNNNNNNNNNNNNNNNNNNNNNNNNNAACUCUAGAAACAAGUAUCCCAAUUCCUUGACCCCUACUACGCAAAACCUGAUAAGAAUAUUAUACGCAUAAUGUUAACAAGUUGAUCAGUUAACAAACACAUGCAGGCGAAAAAUGAAAUAUGCUUUUAACUAUAACUAACUAAAAAACCAGUUGACAACAUUUAUUACCUUAAAAGCAUCCUCAUCAGUUCGAUCAUCUCCAAUAUAGAUUGGAAAUACAUCAUUCGAAUUCUCGUAUCCUACAAAUACGCAAACCAUAUUAUAUUGAGUCAGAACAAACAUGUGAGGUGAGGUAUGCAUGAAGUAAUAUAUGUAUGUAUAUAUAUACACUGACCUAAUGAUUCUAACAAAAAUUCAAGAGCCUUGCCCUUGUCCCAUUUGAUGGUUGGACGAAUCUCUAGCACUUUUCUUCCUUGGGUUAGCUUAAGGUGUGGGUAGUCAUUGAGCACCAAUCUAACUUUGUCCGCCAAGGAUGCCCAACUCUAAAGAAAAAGAAAAAGAAGAGGGGGGUAAAAAUGGUUAGAUAAAAUGAGGUUACCCAAAUGUCUUUUGGCGUGUGCGUGUGGGUUUGGUAAUUCUAUUGAUUCACAAUUGCAUAGUAAGUUGACCGGUACCUUUUCGUCAACACAACGAAAGUGAACGGACAAGCAAAACUUAUUGUUCUCGACCUUAGCCCCUGGGACAGACUUUGUUCUUUCUAACAAGAUCUUGUACACCUGAAAUUUAUUUUUUAUCAGUUACUAUCUUACACGUCAAUUAGGGGCAAAUACAGGAUUGCAUUUCAAACUAAAACCAAACCUCAUCGAUCAUGGGCAGGAAUUGACUCGCGGGUUGGAACAGUACACCUUUAUUGUUACCCUAACAAAGAAACAAAUUUCAACGUUAAGCAGAUAAGCAGAAAGAUAGAAUCUUCAACACACUUAUAAGUUUCAGAAACUCUCUCUCACUUGCUUUCCACUUCGGCUUUUUGUUGGCCCCUUGAUGUCCAUGCCAUGGCUCCCGGCAUAGUAAAGUUCUCCCAGUUUUACAAAGUUAUAGACCUGACCAAAAAAUCAGAAAGAAAGAACCAUAUUAAUUAUGAUUAUAAUUAAUAAAUAAUCAAUUAUAACUUAUAAGUCAUUUUUAUAUUUAUUUUGCUUUAAAGAAAAUGUACCUUGUCCCUGCACCUCCCGGUCACGAUUGCUGUGGGAAAAUGUCUUGCGAUUCCCUUAAGCGUCGCUCUCAUCUAAUAUGAAAAAACUAAGACGCGAAUUAAUCACCCACAUAAGGUCUAGUGUAUGUACCCGAAUAUGAAUGAGACAAGAGGGAACAAAAGAAAAACCUUUCUGCUCAUGAAAGCUUUAUCCGGAUCUGUGACUAUAGGGGAGAGAGUUCCAUCGUAGUCAAGAAAAACUACAAUCUGUUUGCCUUUGGAAUUAUAUGUUAUUUGCUCAAAGGUAUUCAGAGCUGAAGGGUGAUAAAGCUGCAAACAGUUGCGAAAUAGAAGCAGAGUCAGGUGAGCAGCACAACCACUUAUAAUCAUAAACCACAUGUUCAUAUCAUCAUAUCUUGUGCUUACAAUCCAAGAUCUUUUUUCUUGGCUUUCUGAUUUGCCACGAGUUGGGGAAGAGGCUCUCAUUGAAUCAAUCCAAGCACCAACUUUAGCUCCUUCCAACCUUUUCACAAGAUUCUUAUGGGGCAGGCCCCAAAACCCGCUAAGCACAGCCAUGGAUUGUGGCACGGUUGCACUUGGUAAGACGGUUGAGUUUGAAAUGGACGCUGUAACGGCAAUCAACGUGUUAAUAACCUCAUGAAUCACCACAUUUUAGUUGGUCAUCAUGUCCUCCAAAGUUCAAACCCUUUUGAUAGCUUAAUAGCCAGAAACUUGUGGAUAGAGAAGUUGGAAAUGCAAAAGGAAAAUAGGAAGCAGAAUAAGGGAAAUAGAGGGAGGGGUGUGGAGGAGGAGUGCAAAAGCAGAGAAGAGAAGAGAAGGUGAUUAUGGUACUUGGCUUGUUAUUCUUCGGUAUAAGGGGCUUUUAUAGAAUGAAAAAAGUUACGGGGGUAAAAAUCACAAGGGAUUUCACUAGUUGGCUUUGCAUAGCCAAGUCACGAACCAGCCAGGUGUGUCUGGUCAAUUUAUAAACUUAGGCUUCACGGCACAAACUGACGAAACAACCACUUCUCUCUCCCCCUGCUUCUUGUACUUUUCAGCAACCAUUACUAAAUAUGCAAAAUGGAGGGGCCACCAUGAUCCCACAGCUACCUUCCGUUUUAAUUUCUUUUUCUGCUAUAAAAAAGUGCAUAUAAUAAUUUGGAACCUUCACUGAAAGAUUAGUGUAGUUUCCUUACAUUUACCACUUAUCUGCAUUGCAUUAUUCUAUCCAUCUCUUUAUUGUUGUCAGAAAAGAUUCUUCGGUGAAUAUGAGGUUUGCAUACAUAGUUUUACUUACUCUAGUCAAUAAUCAAUAAUCCAAAUAGGUUGUUUGCGUCCCCAAUCAUCGAACAAAAUAAUGGAAUAGUGGUACCGAAAAUUUUAAAUUAAUUUACUAAAUAAAAAUCAAGGUCUAUUGAAUGUGGAGAACAUAAAUGGGAUUUUGCUAUUUCUGCACAGUGCAAAGCAAGACCUUGCAAAGUUGGACUCUCGGUUACACUCCUUAGGAAGUGGGGAAGGACAACAUAAUUUCCCCCACCUUAUAAUUUUUAGUGUCUUCAGCUUCAUGCAGGUUCAGAAAAAGAAAAUAAACUCUUAAAUGAGGGCAUAGUUGCGUUCAUAAUUGUAUUUUAUUUUACACUUUGCAAGAGUGUUAAUUAUGAGUGAAAGUAUAAAUUCAGCUAGAUCAACAACACAAUCAUGUAAUCUUAAAAAGAAGAUCUUAUCUUCUAGUAUCAAGUUGAUUCUAUAAAUUUAUAAUGAUUAUAAUUUAGUUAACUUAUAUAUAUGAUAGACCUCAUUUCUUAUGUUACCCUGAUUUAAGAUAUAUCCUAUCUCUUAUCAUCUUGUUUCUUAUCAACCAAUUAUCUGCACACUCUAAUCCUAUUCAAUACACUCUCAAAUCAUAUUUUAGGAAUCCAACUAUUUACUGACUGAAUUAGAUUUUGUUGAUAAAAAAUAUACUUAUCUAAUUGUUACUGCUUAGUUUAGAUUGAGAUAUGCACUAUUUCUUUAUCGUCUUGUCUUUUAGUAUUAGUUUAGUAAGAUAAAUCCAAUCUUUUAUUGAUCAGUCAGUUGGACACAGAAUGUGUAAAUAUACUCUACAAUGACAAUGAAAUGCAUAUGAUAAUUCACUAUAAACAUAAAAUCUAUUCACAAAAAUUGAGAGAGAGACGAACGUUAAAAGAACAGUAUUCAUAAUGCAUAAAUAUUUUCCUCGAGCAAUCAUUAGCGAAUCUUUUCAAUUUCACAAUUUUAGAAAAUACAAGAACAUAGUCAUCAUCCUUGAUUAGUUAUCCACUACCUAUCUUGCAACAAAGCAGUGAACUUGUUGGUGUCGUUUUUUACAACUAAUUGUGUAUUUAUAAAAACUGAUAUCCACGGCUAUUCGAAAAAAAUAAAAAAGAAAAUCAUUUUGAUAAAAACAUAAAUACAAAUAAACUUUAUCCUUUUCAAAUAUAAGUAUAAAAAAGCAAAGAAGAAGUAAAUUACCUCAUGAAAUAAAAAAAAAAAAGAUUCUCUCUUCUUCCACAACCUCAUGUUUUUUUUUAUCAGCCCACAACCUCAUGUUGAUUACUUUUAGUUUUAAAGAGAUUAUAUGGAAAUUUGGGGUGCAAUUUGGUUAAUGGUGCAAUUUGGGUUGGAGUUGUGAGUGGUAUUUGGAAUCAUAGGAAUUGUGUGUCCUUUAAUAGGGGGUGGUAGAUGCGCUCGAAGUAUUCGCCUUGGUACAGGUAAAGGUUUGGUCGUGGAUUUAUGCAAAGUCUCAUUGUGCUUCCUUCGGGUACUCUAAUUGGGUUUUGAACCCAGUGGAUUGUAUGAGGAUGAUAAUUUAAUGUUUUCCUAUAGUUAGUUUGGUUGUUCCUUAGAUAUUCAGGUAGGUGUUUCGUGGUAGGAGUAUGGUAAGGUGUUUUGCUCUUUAUGUAUAAGGGUUGAACCACCCCUGAAGUGGUUCCCAUUUAUUUAUUUUUUAUUGCCGAUAAAAGAAAAUAUGGGAAAAAAGAAUUCUAACAUAUGAGGUAUGAAGCAAAUCUAUGAUAGAUGAAGCACUUAAUCCCCUUGUAUAGUUUCACAGAAACUUAAACAAGCAGCACCUACCAACCUUGUUUAAGCAUACACUUGAAAAGCAGGGGCAUAAUUGGUAAGAACUUUUUCGAAUCAUACAUACCUAAAAUAUCAAGCAUUACUACUAGGACCUAAUUUAAGGGCUCUAUGUCUAUGACUUCUUAUAUUUAGAUAUUAACACAUACAUUAUUUAUACCAUUUUAUAGGUUUUGUGACAGUCAUGGACUGAAGUCUAACGCUGUGGAUUUUAGUUAAUCUUUAGUAUGGGUCUUGGAAUUAUUUUUUUUAAAACUUAUCACUUUUAUUGAUUUAUAUCUGAGAUUGAAAUAUUGUGAUUGAAUCCAAUAUUAUAAAAGUGGACUUUAAGUCUAACUUAACCCCAUAAAAUCGGCUCAAUGAUGUGAGGUUUGCACCCACUUAUAUACAAUGAAUUGUCCCCAUCUCUAGUCGAUGUGGGAUCUCCAUCACUCAAUAAUAGAGUAAAGUUAGGUUAAUACUGAUUUUUGUAAAUAAUAAAAAAAUUGUUUACUUUGAGAUUGAGGACAACGAUCAUGAAAAUUGACAGUAUGAUGGUAAUUAAUUUAGAAACAUAACUCAAUUUAGGAUCAGGUGUAAAGAGAAGAAGGANNNNNNNNNNNNNNNNNNNNNNNNNNNNNNNNNNNNNNNNNNNNNNNNNNNNNNNNNNNNNNNNNNNNNNNNNNNNNNNNNNNNNNNNNNNNNNNNNNNNNNNNNNNNNNNNNNNNNNNNNNNNNNNNNNNNNNNNNNNNNNNNNNNNNNNNNNNNNNNNNNNNNNNNNNNNNNNNNNNNNNNNNNNNNNNNNNNNNNNNNNNNNNNNNNNNNNNNNNNNNNNNNNNNNNNNNNNNNNNNNNNNNNNNNNNNNNNNNNNNNUUUCUAAUUUAGUUACUAUAACAACUAAUUUUUUUUCUCUCUAAAAUUUAUUACUAUUUCAUGUUUUUCUUGUAGUGUAAAUUUAAGAUUUAGUGAUAUUUUUUGUUAUCACAAAGAACUGAAUUCAUAUAAUAUGUAGUGUUUUUUUUUUAUCAGCAUGUAGUGUUACUCUUUUUAUAUAUAGAUUUAACGAUAGUAAUUAUUUUGUUUUUUUCCCUUAACUAUAUUUUUACCAAUCUCUAACAGUUGAUUAAAGUUCCGUUUGUAACAAGAGGAGAAAAGUAAAAAAAAAAUAUCAAUGAAAGGAAAGUUGGAAAAAUAAGAAAAAAAUAAAAUGAAAUCACAAAACACAAUACUUUUUUAUUCUUUCAAAUUUUUCUUUUGAUGAUUUGAGGAGAUUUGUGAAGAAAGUGGAUUUUUUUAAAAUUAAUUUUAUAUAAAUUAAUUCUAUAUAAAUUGAUUAUAUAUAAAAAUUAUGUUUUAAUAUAAAUAUAUAUAUAUAUAUAAUUUUUAUUUUAUAAUAAAAUGAAUAAUUAAAAAGUAAUGUAAAAUUUAAUUAUUAAUAUGUAUUUUUAUCAUUAUUUAUUAAUUUUUAAUUUUUAAUUUAAAAUUUAUUUUAAUUUUAAUUUUACCUUUUAAAGUUUUUAUAUUAAAUGAUUUUAAAUUAUUUUACAUUUAUUAUAUUUAUCAAAUCACUAACAAACUUUCACAUCAUUCAUUAACUUUAAUCGAAACAACUUCACUUUCAUAUUAAAUCACUCUAAAUUCAUUAUCUCGAAUUUUUUUCCAAUCACACCCUAAACAUAUAGAAUAAGUGAAUGUACUGAGCUACAAGCUACUUUGAUCAUAUGCAUAUUGUAUUUUAUUAUUAUUAUUCAGUAUAUUCCAAUAAUUGAUUUUUUUUAAUAAAUGUUACAAUCCUACGUAAACCAAUUUCCUAUAUAAUUGAUGAGAAAUGCUAUUUUUCAAGCAUCGUCCAAAUAAUUUGUUAGUCGAAUUAGUUGUUUAUUAAGUUAUUAGAAGAUUUAAUUGAGAGAUUGAAUGAGUUUAAUAUUUCCCAACGCUGCUAUUUUUUUUUAUUUCUUAUGAUAUAUUUAAACAAUUUUUUCACAGGUAUUUUUUGAGAGAAAAGUAAUAAAAAAAUGUUUUUUCUUCUAUAAGUUAAAAUUAGUCUAUGUUGAAGUUAAAAAAUAAAAUUUUAAAAAAAUAAUUACAAAUUAAUUUAAAUAAAUUUUAGAAUAAAAAUCUAUUUAUUAAUAAGUGGAUUUUAAGUCAAUAUCAAUAUUAACUGAAUCUGUGGUUUGAUAAACUUAAUAAAUUCACACUAUAAUAAAUUUUAAAUAAUUUUAAUAUUAUAUUAAAAAAAAUAUUUUAAAUCUAACUAAAUUUUAGAAAACUGAUUUAUAAAAUACACUUUGCCGUUUGCACUUAUGUGAAAUGUGUUAAUAUGUAGUUCAUAUGAGAUUUCCAAUACCAUUGAAAUUAAAUUAUAUUUUUUAAAAUAUUAUUGAAUAACUUUUAAAUAAUGUGAGAUUCACUUUCUUUUGAGUUGAUGAACGUAACAUUUAUUGAAUAGUAAAAGGUUAAUUAAGAAAAUGUGUGAAAAGUGUGCUAUUAAUCUUUUUAUUUGUUUCCAUGUCCACAAAUUCGUGGCGUACGUACAGUCAACCGGUGGCCUUGGAGAUUCUUCCAAACAAAUUUCCAUUUCAAAUCGGGACUAGAUUAAUUAAAAAUUAUGGUUUUAAUAUUCUUAUUUUUUCCAUUCAUAAUUAUUAUCUCAUGUACAUAUGAUUAGUUUUUUUAAAAAAAGAAAAUGUUAAUAAUAUUAGUGUUACAUUUAUAAUUUAUAAUAAAAAAACUUUUAUUUAAUUUCUCAAUGAUUUGUAGGUAAUAGCUGUCAAUAAAACUGGUAUGAAUGCUAUUAUGCUUUGUUAUUCAUAUCCCUCGUUCUAUAACUUCUUUCUACGUGUUUCCAAUUGCAUAAAGCGAAGGGGGAACAUAAUAGGUUAGCAUUGAACAUGAAAACAAAAUUUAAGUGGACCAAACUGCGAUAACUGCUUUGGACUUUGGAGGUCCUUUUUGAAAAAUAUUUGUCGUUGUUAUUAAAGAAUAGGAAAAAGGUCAAAUAAUCUGACCAAGCAAAGUUUCAAUGUUGCUUCCAAUGGAAACCAAAGAGCGAAAAUUUAACAGCAAAAGGUCCCAAAACGACGAAGGAAUUUUGGCAACUAGGAUGCCUUUGUCUAUACGUGACUACUUUUCUUAUGUGUAAAUGUUCUCCUCUUCUCCCUCCAACUUUUCUAACAUUUUUUCAUACAAUUAAUAAACUUAAAUAAUACUUUUCUAAUUUGUUUAUAUAUAUUUAUCUCUAUCACAUCAAUCAUUUUAUCUUUUAUACUUUCUUUUUUCUAUAUCCUUUUAUGAACAACUUUGUUAACUAAAACUUUAUAUCAAUACAACUUGUUUUUCUUUUCUGUACAUGGAUUUUCGAGGAAAAUAAAAUAAAAAAAUUAAGGAGAAAAUGAUGGGGAUGAUGUUUGAUUGAAACGUGUGGGAUUUGUAAAAGGAUAGAUAGCUGUGAUGUGACCACGUGUAUCCAUCGUGUCCACUCUCUACAAUACAAUUGGGCCACUUUCAGUUGGCUGUUUCCAUUGGGUGGGAACUAGUUUUGAGGAUCUUUUACUUUUACCUUAACACUCUGUUUUGCGUCUGUGGUGUGUAAUUUUGUCUUUUUUCUUGGUUAUGAGAUGGUCUAUUUAAGUUAUGUAAUGAGUUCUUUAUAUCAAUAACAAAUUAUUUUAUGUUACAUUUUAUAAUUUUUUUUAAAUAUCUUCUCAACAAAUUUAAGCAUUUGAAAUAUAUCAGUAUUAUAAUUACUAUUUGAAGUGAAGGAAUAAUUUUAAGAUUGAGUUAGAUAUUGUCAAAUCACAUCUUAUUGUUUUGUUAUUUUAAUAUAUAAAAUAAGAAGAGAAUAUAUCUUAACUUUUUUUAUAUAUUUUUUUAGUGUAUGUGCAUGUGUGUAUAUGAGAAUUCUUUAUUUUUUUAGCUGAAAUAUAUUAGUUACUUUUAUUUAAAAGUUAGAGAAAAGGGUCUACCAGUUCUUAUGUGAUAGUAAAAUUCUUUCAUGGAUAUCACCAGGUCAUUUAUCUUUUUUUAUAUCUCAAUCAACUCCAUAUUUAAAAGAUUCUUAAUCAACUCUUAACAUUGAAAAUUUUGGCAUUACAAUGUUUUAAGAAGAUAUAUGGAAUCUUAGAAAAUGGUCAGCAGUGUUUUUUUUAAUCUAUGAUUUCUUCUUUAAAGUUCAAUUAAACAAAACUAUUUAGAAGUUGUAUGAUUUUCUAAAUCUAAACAAAUUGUAAUUAUACUUACGUUCAUAUACAUAUGAUUUCAUCACAUGAUAUGUAUCAUGAACACAUUUUACUUUUUUAAAAGCUAAUAUUAAUUUUUUUGCACAAAUUAAAAAUAAAGAAUUGGGGAAACUAUAUAAAAGAGUUUUUACAAAUUAGUGAAUGCAUAACCUGUUUUAAACUUAUGAAAUAAGUAUAAGGGAGGUGAAAAUCUAGGAGAAAAGGAACAGGAGAAAUCUUGGAAGAUAUCUAUGCUUAAUGAAUCAUUGCUUAGUAAAACAAAUCUAGAUUUACAUGGUUAAAGGAAGGGUGAUUGCAAUAAUAAAUUUUACCAUGCAACGAUCAAUUGGAAAAGGAAGAAAAACUUGGUCAGAGGAAUAAUGUUGAUUCAUGGAAACUAUAGGUGGUGAAACAGAAUUUUCCAAAAGACCAGAAGUUUCACAUGGAGAGAGUUCUGCACAAACUUAAGAUAACUUGAGAAAGAGAAAUGUAUUUCACUCAGAAUCUGAAUUGUUAUGCCCAGCCCAUUCUAUCAAGCGGAAUAAAAACAUGCAAAUAAUGUCCUAAAUCAUUCUUUCACACUGUGUGGGGUAAUUGCUACAUACAGAUGGAUAAAUAUGAGUGCAAUUUUAUCAUCUUUUUUUGUCAGCAAGUGCAAUUUUACCUUGUAAUUUGAAUUUAUAUCAUUGUAAUUUUAAUUUAGAUUAUUGCUAACAUAAUGAAUUUAAAUAAACUAAAUGGAAAUUACAAUGAGAAUGUACAUUAUGUAACUCAGUAUGUCAAGUUCCGCUGAUCUUGGAAUAAUGUUGGGUCCUUGCAAUUUCAUUAUGCAUAUAUAGUGAGAAUGUAACCCAAGCUUGUGCAAAAAAUAUAAGAUAUUGCCCUUUGGUUGUUUGCAAGGUAUGAUGCAUUAAAGUAUAUCUUAUAAUUAGUCGUUGGUAUUAAACUUUACAAUUGUAUAUAUUGUUUUAGUUUUUGAAGUAAGUUCACUCAGUUAUCUAAUAUUUAUAUGAUUGUGUGUAAAUAGGUUAUAUUCACCUUCUUUAUGGUGAUAAUUUUCCUCUAUAUUAUAUACAUAAUGGAUUGGUAUUUUUUUUACCAAAGUUUAGAGGUUUUUUAACCUUGUAUAUAAGAGUUAGAAUAUUUCUCAAAUAUUUAUUAUAGUCUCUUGUGUCUUCCUCAAUUUAAGACGAAAGAGAAAUGGUAGGUAGUAGUACUUGAUUAGAAUUGCAUUAACAAGAUCCAAUGUUUCUUGGAUUCCAAUAUAAAUAUAUGUCUUACCUCUGAGUCAGUUUUUGAAUACAACUUUUUCUCCCUUCUUGGCUGCCAACCUAGCACAGGAAGAGUGGCAUCCGUAGGCCAUAGUGUCUUUAGAUUUUUGUAUAGUAGAUGCUAUAAUGCAUGAACCUCUUUGGGUCAAAGGUAGAAUCCAAUGCGUUUCAAAAUGUCCUUUGUCACAUAGGUUCCUUGCUAUUGGGAUCAUGAUAUUCGAAUAUGUUUGGCAACUUUAUAUAAUUUUUUUUAAAGAGAAAACAAAUACUUUUUUUUCUGUAAAUUAAAAAUAAUUUACUUAUAAACUUAAAAUAAAACAAGAAUUUAGGAAAAAAUAUAUGAAAUAUUUUUUAUAAAAUAAUUAAUACAUAUCUUAAUUUAAACUUAUAAUCAAAUUUAUUUUACUUUUUCUUUUCUUUUUAUAGUUUUUUUUUUCUAUUUUUCUCCCUCCAUCACUCUUUUCCUUUAGACAAAUAAUAACAUGUGUCCUUAAGAAGAAAAAAAAGGUAGAAGUUAUUUAAUACAAAAACACCCAUCAUAUUAAAAAGACAAAUGGAAAGCAUUUUUUUUAAGAGAGUAAAGAAGAAGAAAAUUAAAAUAAUACUAAUAUAUGAUAAUAAUGAAAAUCGUAAUAACCAUUAUACCAAAUCAUUAAAAAUAUAUUAAGUAGUUGUUGGUAUAAUAGAAAUUGUAUUAUUGUAAAAGAGAUUUUUAAUUUAAAUUAAUUUUAAUUUAAGUUUUUGUGUGAAAAGAGAAGAAACCUUUCGGUCAUUCAAAAAUUUGAGCGGAAGUUAAUUAUUUAUAAAAUCAAUAAAUAUUUUAUAUUAAUAAAGAUAAUACAUAAUAAUAUAUCAAUAUAAUAUAAUUGAAGAACCUACAAAUAAAUAUUUUAAUAUUUCAAGUGUUUAUAUAUUACAAUUUUUUAUUUUAUUUUCUUCAAUAGUUCUUGGAGUUCUAAUAUUGAGUAAGCAAUAUCUCAAGUUCUUAUUAUCUUGAGUGAGUAAUAUAAUAUGUAGAGUAGAGAUCAUCUUAUUCUGCUUUAACCCUUGUGAAAAGUGACACAAACUUUUUAAAGAAUUCUCAUAUAUUGAGUUUGUAAUCGUUCUUUCUUUAUUUAUAUGGCGCAAUCAAAUUAGAUUUAAAAUUUAAAAUUUUUUAGUUCAUAGUUUAAAGAGAAUAAUUCUUACUUAUCUAUAAUAUGUUUUAGAUUAGUUCGCAGUCAAGAAAAAAUUUAUGAAAAAUUGUUAGUGAUUGGAUUAAGUAACUUAAUUUAAUAUUUUAUUAUAGAUUAAGUCGAAGUAAUAGUAAAACAUAUCCUCUCAGUUUUAAUCAUUUUUAAUAAAUUAUAUUUAUAAACACGAUAUAUAUUAAAAAAAUAUUAUUAAAUAACAAUUAAAUUUAAAUAAAAAAAUAAUUAAUCACUAUAUAAAUUAACUUAGAUAUUAUUUUUUAUUUUGAUUUUGUUGUAGUGGUAAUGAAAGUGUAUUGGUAUUCAUUACUUUUACUUAUUUUUUAAAAUUUUGAAAAUUUAGAAAUUGCAUAUGCUAUUUAAAUUUUAAAGGUAAUAGAAGAAGUAAUGUAAACACUUCAGGGAAGUGAUAACUUUUAGAUUUGGAUCCACUCUUAGUUUUGCUUCCUGAUCCUCUUUCUUGGCUAUGCCCUUUCGCCAUAAGCAAUGCUCGCGCAACUUACGUUUGAAGUUGAUAGAUCCGUCAAUUUUUUUGACUCCAAAUUUUGAUAAUCACAUUUCGAAUUAAAGAUUUUUUAUACCACUUGUUAGAAAAUGAGAGGAAAGUACAUUCCAAAUGUAUUAACAAAAUAGAUAUAUUAGUGAAAAUAAAUGAUUGUUAAAGAACGACUAAAUAAUUUAUCUUUAUUAAAUAAUAAUUAAUAGAAGAGAUUUAGGGAAGAUUCUCUUCUACUGCAAUAUUAGAAUUAGAGAGCACUAAAUAAUAUAUAUAAAACAGUAGAAUUAGAGAGCACUAAAAGCAUAUCCAAAAUCCAUAACCCUCAUGAAAACUUUCUCUCACUAAUAAAACACUGAAAAAAACCACUUGCUUUCUUUAGAUGUUUUUUACACAUUGUUGUUCAUGAAAUAAACAUAACAAAUAUAUAAGAUAUCAUGGAUUCAUUUCUACCAGACACGCACAUGAACACAGACUGCUUCUAGCAAUUACAUAGAAAAUUCCUUGUUCGAAUUUUGACCAAUUAUAAGCCACAUUAAACAGUAUAGCAUAAACAUGUUUUGUUUUGAUUAGCAUAAGGGAAAUUUUGUUAAAGGGAUAUGCAAUUUGCAAGUAUGGCUCCAUUGUAGUGAAUUACAUCCACCAUUCAGAAAGCCUCUUCAAUCUCUCAUUCUCAAAGAUAAUUUAUCCCAAAUUAGAAACCCCACUGUGGGAGCACACAUCAGAUAUAUGGUAAUCAACUGAAAAAACUGCCAGCCACCAUUUGGAUAACCCAUCGAGGGAGGCCAAAUAUUCAUAACAUGAUUUUUUUAAUUUAUUUUUUAUUUUAUUGCAUCAUAUACAUGAGUAUAAUUUUUGUUCAGAUGCAAAAAUCUUGUAAAGCACAUAUUUUAAUAUUUAUUUAUUUAUUAAUAGAAAUACUAUUAAAAUAAAAUUAUUUUAUUUUUAUGACUUAAAAUAUUAUUUAAUAUAUAGAUCUUAAACUUUUUAGUAUGAUGAAAUAGAAAGGUAUUAUUAUUAUUGUUAACAAAUGAGUGGUCCCGUUAAAAAAAAGAAGAAGAAAAGCCAGUUGCAGCAGGCCAAGGGUCCACACAUAGUUGCCUUUCUGUGAUGUGACUUGCCAGCCACAAUGGCAAGGCAAUGAUUCAUCUUGGACCCACAAAUCAAGGCUUAGUGCUAAGCCCACUUAUGCCCACCAUGCCCACAUCUUUUCUGAGUGCAACGAGCUUUAUAAAUCAUUCAGUAAUCCAAAACAAAUAUACACUUAAAUUCUCUAAUCCCACCACCCUCUUACCUCUUCAUUUCUAAUCUGCAUUUCCGGAUAUCCACUCUCCCUCUUUAGUUUUUUUUUUAGAUUUUCAUUGCUUUCAGUUUUGUAUAUCCUAUGAUCUUCAAUGGGUCAUUGGAAAUUUUGGAAUGUAAUUCACUUGUCAAAGUUGGAAUGAUGCUAUUAGAGCAAGUUGGGGUGCUUUUUAAACCCCUUGCAUCAAUUCUCUUUUCAGUUUUAAGUCACAAAAAUCUAAAAGGCUACAGGUUUUAAUGCCUCCUCGCAUUUUUCAUCACAUAUCUCCUACUUGAAUAUGCAAAGAUUAGGUCCCCAAAAUCUUAUAGGGCACGCAUAGCAGAUUUAAUACCUCAAUGAGUGGCACCAAUAAGGUUGUGAUAGGAGAUUUGGAGUUGGAUCAAAAGAGAGUACUUGAUGCGUAUAAUCAUCACUUUUUUUCUAUUAGUAUAAAGUAAAUCGACCCACUACAUAAAUAUAAGAUUACUCCCUUCUUUUUUUAUUUUUUUUAUAUCAAAGAAUCUAGUUAAAUGUACUUAGUGAAACGAAUAAGAACAUUCUACGAACAAAUUAUUAUCAUAAAUGUAAUUUAUACACUGAUAAUGAGUAAAAAGGAUUGUUCCUUGAAUCUUUGUCAUUAUCUUAACGAAGUUUCCUUCCAUUGCUUGUGUUUUAUUAUUAGUGCAUGGAGCACUAGCUAGAAUGGUCCAAACUGUAAUUGAUUGCUCUACAAUGCUACCCCAUCUAAAACACAUUACAUCUAAUAAUUUAACGCUACUUUAUUUUACAAUUGCACAAUUUUUAGUUCUUGUAUAUUUUUAGAUAUAAGGGUGGGUCUGGACCAUUGAAUCUGACUAUUCAUUUGCAUCAAUGCCUUCCUCUGCACAUCAAUCACACAUCAGUAACAGGUGUUCUUCCUUAAAAAUAAAUUGUAUUUGGCCUAACUGCUAAUGAAAUGUACUAUUUUUAUAAGUAAUGUUCAUAAGAAAUCAUCUCAACUUUAAUAAAUAAAUAGAAGUUGAAUGAAGUGAACUCACAAAUUAUGUCUCCACACUAAAUAAGCAAAUAAGUGAAGUGAAUCUGGUAUAGGUUUUAAUUACUAAUCUUAUUUAUGUAAUUCGGAUUGCAAGAGAGAAAACAAAACCAAAACUUAAAUUAGGAACAAAUUUAGUGUCUGUUUUCUUGAAAAGGCAGUGCAGUUUAAAUGACCCUUUAUAGAACAUGAGAGAAACGACCCUUCUAGCUAACGAACAUCCAUAGUAAAUAGGAGACGUAGUGUAUAAAGUUUUUAUGCUCUCAACCCAUUACUAAUUGCCAUCUGGGUUGCUCAUAUAUUUUAUUAUAAUAACUUAAUAAUACGGCUAUACUAAGUUAAAAUUACGUAUCAUAUUUUUAUUUAAUCUAAAUUGUGUUGUUGUUUAUCACUCAAUUUCUGCUUCUCAUUUUUCUUAUCACAUCCAUAUCUUUUUUUUCUCUCCUCUUUUCUUACAGCUAAAUAUUGAUACACCUCCCAAAAAAGAGUACACAACCACUGUUUUUAAUUAUUUUAAGGGUUUUAUAUUUUUUUUAAUGGUGUGUUUGUUUUUCUCAAUAUUUCACUUCAAAGAGAUAAUUAAUUAUAUUUAUUUUAGUAUUUAUGUUUAUUAUAAUAAAAUAAUUAAAUUAAAGCAGAAAUAUUUAAAUAAUGUAUUAAACAAAUUAAAUUAUUUUAAGAUAAUUUUAAAUUAUUUUUAAAUUUUAUUUUACAAAUUUUAUUUUAAAUAUAUUAAUAUGAAAAAAAAUUAUACUAUAUUAAUCAAAUCACCUACAAUUUUUCUAUUAAAAUCUAAAAUCCUUUUCAUAAUCCAAACAAUCUCAUUUUUUAUACACUUUUUUCUUAAAUCAAUUAUUUUUCAUUUUCUUACCUCCAAACAAAGUAUAAAUAAUUUUAUUGAAAAGUUAAAAUAAUAUUAUCACACUGUUUAAAAGAGAAUAAGAGAAUGUUCUUCUUAUUAUUCUCAACUUCAACAUUAAAUUUUGAUUUGGCAAAAUUUGAAGGUCAAUUAUAGUUUUAAAUUUUUAAGCAUUUUUAUCUAAAUAUAAUAAAGAUUUUAUUCGUUACAAUUGUUACCAUGAGUUUUAAAAUUUUAAAUAUCAUUUUCCAUACCAACGUUCUAAUCUCGUAUCUUUCAUUUAAUUUACAUAUUUUUAUUAUAUUAUUGGUAACAUAGAAUUUUCUGACUUUAUCAAUAAUUAAUAUUUCUUCAUGUAAUGUUAUUAAUUAUUGCCAAUAUUAUUAUUUAUUGUGUACAUAUGCUUGCUAUUAUAUAUAUAUCUUUAUCAAUGUAUUAAAUUUAAAUUUGAAUUCCUUUAUUUUGACUUGAUUUGUAUUCCUUAUCGAGCCAACACUUGUAUUAUGACAUUCAUUGAUGUCACACUUAAUUAGUUAAAAAUUGAUAUUAUGUGUGAGUGGCUAAAGAACUUGGUGGGUGUAAUUGGGUUAUAUACAUGUGCAGAAAUGAAAGUUAUAAAGGGAUGUAGAGUACCAAAAAUAAUAACACAGAAAGGGCAGUGUUACAGCGACCGAAGCAGCUUAUGGAAAAAGGAAAAGGAGAUAAUAAGGGGACGUGCAUUGCUGCCAUAGAAUCUGAGUCAAAAUGCGCAUCUAGCUAUCAUGUAUGCCGAGGAACUCUGAGACACAGAAUAAACAAGAAAAAAAAUGUGGCAUUUUGGAUGAUCGUGGUUACUUCAACUAAGUUGUCAAGAACAAGAAUCCUUCUUCCCUCUGCAUGCCCUGUUGCAGAAUUUGAAACCCAACCCCACACCAAAAUAUAAACUAAUAACCUCCCCUCAUUGCUUUCCCUCUAACAUUUUUCAAUUUUAUCUCCUUUAAUAAUCCACUAAAUAUUGUGGUUCUAACUAACAUCUCCUUAUUCAUCGUACAAACACCCACGUUGGACCAGACUGGGCCUUUCUUAACAGCCUACCAUUCCUACUUACUCCUCACCACGUGCUUCUAUGCAACGAUAUUACAAGUACAAAGAAUCUAACGUUUAAUAUUUUCUCAGAUAAUAAGCAAGUUUUGGGACUUCUUGUUGUAUAAGAGUUAUACUUAAUUUUAUUUAUUUAUUGUUGAACACUUGCUUUUUUUAAGAUAAGAAAAUUAUUAAAUAUAAUUUAAUUUUAAAUAUUAAAAUAAUUAGUUAGUAUUUGAUUAAAUUAGAAACUAUUUUAUAAACUAAAAAAAUCGUUAGUAUUUAAAUUAAUUUUUAUUAUUAAUAAAAGUUUAUAAAAUAUUUUUUAAAUUAGUAUAUAAUUAUUAACUACAAAGAUUUUAACUACUUACUACCUUAUUUAUAGAUUAGUCUCUAUUAGUUUUUAGAGACUAAUUUAAAAUCUAAGAUAUUAAUAAAUAAUUAAAUAUGAAUUUAAAAAUUAUUUUUAACUUUUUUAUUAAUAAUAAAAAUUACUUUAUAUAUAAACAAUUUUUUAGUCUUUAAAUUAUUAUCUAAUUUAAUUAAUACAGUGAUUAAUUAUUUUUAAUUUAUAAAUUUAAUUUUUAUUUAAUAAUUUUUUUAUAGUAUUUAUUUAGUAAAGAAAAACUGUUCUUUAGAGUUUUACCCACCCUUCAUACACAUAUGAUGGAGAAGAAGGAAAAGUAAAAUCAGCAACAACCACUAUGAAAUAUAAAUUAAUUUUUAGAGAUCAAAAUAAUUAGUUGUAAUAGUAAUUAAAUUAGAGACCAUUUUGAAAACUAAAACAAAAAUUGGUUUCUAAAUUAAUUUCUAUUAUUGUUAAAUAGUUUCUAAAUUGGUAUCUAAUUAUCAACCAAGGUUUUAGAGACUAAAUUUAGAAACUAAAUAAUUGGUAGUUAAAAUCUUGGUUGCUAAUUAGAUACUAAUUUAAAAAUUAUUUAACAAUAAUAUAAAGUAAUUUAGAAACCAAUUUUUGUUUUAGUUUCUAAAAUGAUAUCUAAUUUAGUUAUUAUUGUAACUAAUUAUUUUGAUUUCUAAAAAUUAGUUUUUAUUUAAUUAUUUUAGUUUUUAAAAAUUAAUUUAUAUUUAAUGAUUUUCUUGUAGUAACCUGGUUAAUUUGUCAAUCACCCAAUGCACUCCAUAAAUUAGAUAUGUACAAGAAUAAAGAAUUACCUCCAAGAAAAAAGAAACUAAAUCUUUGAAAAUUUUCAUUUCAGGUGGAGGCUGUUUCAUUUGAUCGUGCGUCUACUUGUAAUUACAUGUUUACGUGAUCUGAUUCACAUUAUUAUUAUUGGCAUUAUCAUGUACGGCGAAAAUAAUUAGAAAGAGGAAAAUGAAGAAGAAAGGACAAAAAUUGAAUAGAGGAAUGAAGUGAAAGAAUGAAAAGCAAUGAUAUUGUGUUACGUACAUCCACAUUAAAUCAUUAGUCACAACUCAAAAACCAUUAUUCCAAAUAAGAAGAUACUUGCUUCCGGAUUACUAUCUGUCUUUAAGUGCCUGGGUAAUUAGCCAAGUGCGAUCAUGCAAAAAAUAAAAUUAAAUACCACGUAUCGCUGCUUCGUAUACCCUAAGAAUCGUAUGUACAUAAUAAUAAGAUAUUCUAAGUACGAUGAGUUACUUAACAAAUAUUCUAACCUACCUACCUUAGUUAAUUGUUAUCAUUUAAAAUAUGGACUCAUACUUCAAAUUCUAACUUACUUUGACUAACUAUACUUCAAAUUCUAACUUACUUUAACUAAGUCUUAUCACUAAUGAUUUAUUCACUCAUAAAUAAGAUUCUAAUUAUCUAUCAUUCAAAAUUAAUUAAAAAUCUCAAGAACAAUUUAAUCAAUCCUAACCCAAGUAAGCAGGACUAAAUAAUUUUUAAAUUAAUAUAAUAAAAUGAGACAAAAAUUAGUGAUGCAAACUUUAAUCUUUUAAAAAAAUAUACACUACAAGAAAAACGUGAAUUAUAUACGGAUCAAAAUCCGUAUGUAAAUAAAUAUUACAUACGUAUUUAUAUCGUAUGUAAACCAAGUUUCUUCCGUGAUCAAAGAAACUUUAAUCACUACAUCAGACAACUUUAGUAUUAUUAUGAUUUUUAUUAUACUUAUUAUUAUUAAUAAUAUUAUUAAUAUGAAUAAUAUGAAUAUAAUUUAUAUUAUUAUUAAUAAUAAUAAAAUUUAUAUCAUUAUUAUUAUUAAUAAAAUUUAUAUUAUUAUUAUCAAUAAUAAUAAUAAGUAUAAAUUAUAUUAAUAAUAAUAAGUAUAAUGAAAAUCAUAAUGUGACCAAAGAAUUUGUCUGGUCUAGUGGUUAAUGCUUCUUUCGUCACUGAAAAGACUUGGUUUCGAGUCUUGCCCUUGAUAUUAAUAAGGGACUUGGGUUCGAGUCCUAUACAUUGUCUUGUAGUGUGGAACAUGAAAAGACAAAAUUGUGUAAUUUCAUUUAUAAAUCCUCUAUAUUAGCUUAAUAGGUACUCAUAUAUCCUAUUUCAAUUAAAAUUUAAUGUCAUAAUAAUAUUACUAAACCAUAAUUAUUUCAUUUCUCACUUAAAUAGAUAAUUAAAUAAAUGUAACAUCGGAUUUGUGGUGUUUCCUUUAGUUGCCUUUGUUGGUUUUUAGUUGACAGCUUUUGAAGAGUUAUGGAGUCUCUCUCUUUUGUAAGGAGUUUUUUUUAAAAGGAUUGGAUUACCCUUAAAGUGGUUCAUAUUUAUUUAUUUAUUUAUUCUUACUGAUAAAAAAAACACCAUUUAGAUGUAAGAGCCCUAUAAUGACUAGUCCAUAAGAGCUCUAACCAAGCCAUUUAGACAAAAGAGCCUACAACAAUCAAUCAAUUAGAACUCUAAUUGUACCAUUGAGAUGUAAGAGUCCUACAACAACUAGUUAAUAAGAGCUCUAACCGAACCAUAUAGAUGUAAGAGCCUUAUAACAACCCGUCAUUAAGAACUCUGACUAAGCCAUUUAAAUGCAAGAACCCCCACAAUGGCCAAACAAUAAAAAUAAAUGUAACAAACUAACCUUUUUUUUUGUAAAGACAGUGUGUUAUUUGAUAAGGGGACAAAUAAUGCGUGAAAAGAUCAUAGUCUUAUGUUAGUUAAUAAAAAAGGAAUUAACAUGGAUAAAUCUAGAAAAACAAUUUUUUUUUUGCUAAAAGAAUGAAUUAGGUGUAAGAAAACUAUUAAUCCAUGCAAAUAAGAAGAUAUGUUCAAAGGUACGAUCAUACUAAAAAGUACUUGGUAAAUUUAAAGACGAAAAUAAAAAUAUAGUGCAAUACAAAUUGUUAAGCAUGUUCAUCCAUAAUCUUUCAAUGUUUAACAAUUGUAACGAUACCUAGGAUUCUAACUUACUUUAAGCAAGUCUUAGUGCUUAAGAUUAAGGACUUGUGUAGGGAUCGGUAGGAUUCUUGACUACCUUAAGCAAAUUUUAUCGUUGAACAUUGAGAGAUUGUGUAAUGAUAGGUAGGAUUUCAAUUUAUCAUAGUAACUCUUAUCGUUCAAGACUAAAGGAUUGUGUAGUAAUAAGUAGGAUUUUGACAAUCUACCGCUCAAGAUUAAUUAGAAAUAAUAAGAUACAAAUAUAUAUUAAUAAAUAAAUUGAAAUAUGUUUAUCUUGUAUAAAUAUAGAAAGAUUUUAUCAAAGUCGUGCUGAAAUAAAUACAUAAUAUAGAUAAUAUAGAACAAAUAUGAAGGAUAAUGUAAUCAAUUUUAUCAAAACCAAAUUAUUAUUAAAUUAAGGUAAUAAAAUAAGAUACAAAUAAGGAAUCUGAACAUUAAUUAAGAAAAUAAUUACAACCCAAGAAAAUAAUUAACUAUAUAUACACAUUUAUAAUGAUCUUACAUAUGUUACCUUAUUAUUUAUGCAUCAAGCUUAAAAAUGUUAGGCAUUAGAAGGUGUAUUAGUAAAAAACUUAAGUCUCAAAUUAAUAAAAGUUAAGGUUAAAAUGAUAGUUAGAAAAAAUCUCUUACCAAGAGGAAUGAGGUUUAACAUCAAUAAAAAUGAGUUAUUAUAAUAUGGGUUUAAUUAGUCUUAAAUUAGAAUGUAUGUGGUUAUAAGCUUGCUAACCAAGACUUUAUUCAUAGACAAUAUUUUGAUUGGUAUAGUAGACUCCCAUCUAAUUUUUCUUAGAAUUCUUUAUUAAUAGGUAUAAAUUACCUAUGUGCCGCUUUUGUUAAUAUAUGUGUUUUGGUUUAUUCUUCCCAUAUUUUCUUAUAUUUCCUUUCUUUUUUCUUUUAAUAAUAUUUUUUUCAUAUGGUGACAGAUGAUUGUUGUUAUUUGAGAUGUCAACAUAGCUGAGAUGUAAGAUUACAUAGUGAUACCUAACAUGAGAACUUAAAAAAAAAAUGGGAAACUUUAUUGAUUUUUUGUGAACAUAAAAUUUUCUACAUCAAUUUUAAUAAAAAUUUAUGUGAAUAAGUAAUUUUCUACUAAUUCAAAAUUAAAAUUUAUGUAAAAUAUUGAUUAUCUUUUAGUCAAAGUAACAUAAACAUGUUUGAGAAAACUUCUUCCUAAAUAAGUAUUUAAGAAAAUAAAAUAAAAUAAAUUGCAAUUAAAAAUAAAAUAAGUUUAUACAUAAAUUAAAGCUAAAAAAUAACUUAUACAAAGCAGUUCGUAAAUAAUAUAAUUUAAUUUACAGAAAAAAGAUUUUUUUUUUCUAUUUUUCUCUUUUACCUAAACCCUAAAAAUUUAUAGAAAAUUUGUUUAAAUUAAAAAAAACAUUAUGUUGAAUUUUAAAAUUGGUUGUUAAAUAAUUCAAUCUAAUUUUUUUAUAAGGUAUCUCGUUUUAAUAUAAGAGUCAUACAUCAUGAAUCUUAAAUAGUAAUGGAGUAUGUUUGUUAAGAUUUUCCUUUCAGCAAGUUAAUGCAAUACUUUUAACAAAUGAAUCAUAAUUUGUGUUUAACUUGGAGUGAAAAUUUACAAGGAUUUGCAUUUCAACAUGAUUUAUUCAAAAGUUUAACUUAUAAUACUAAGUUCAAAAAUAAACAUGGUUAAAACAAAAAUUAUAAUGAUGACAGCUAGUAUUGAGAUUAAAAUUCACAUAUUUUUUUUUCUAAUUUAUGUACUCUUCCAAUUAUAUAUAUAUAUAUAUAUAUAUAUAUUCAACUACUCAAUUUUGUUGAAAGUACAAUAAGCAUUCUAAAUCAAUUAUUGAUUUCAGAAUGGCUAAAGAUUUAGUUAUAACAUUUAAUUCCUCAAACCAUCAUAAUAAAAUUUGUUUUAACUUCAUAACAUGAUUCAAAUAACAAAUUCAAAUAUAUCCCUAACGUUCAAAGACAUUAGAUGAUGCAAUUCAAUUUUAGAGUUAAGAUAAGAAAAUCAUUGAAUAGAAACUUUUUUUUAAAAUAAAAGUUUUUAUGUUAGGCAUCAUUAUGCAACUUGACAUCUCAGUUACGAUGUCACGUCAAGUAACAACAAUCAUUUGUCAAUACAUGAGAAAAAAUAUUAUUAAAAAAAUUACCAAAAUAUGGGUGACUAGACCAAAACCCAUAUGCUAAAAAAAUGAUACAUAGGCAAACUAUAUUUAUUCAUAAAUAUUCAUAAAGAAUUCUAAGAAUAGACUAGAUGGUAGCCUAUUAUACCAAUGAAAAUGUUCUCUAUGAAUAAAUCCUAAAUUAACCAACUUAUCAGCACACACAUUUUCUUCACGGAAAAAUAUGAGUAACCCUAAACCUGAUUUUCUCACAGUAAUUAAGAUGAAUAUUUCAUCCAUUACGAAGCAUCCAAGGAACAUUGGUCCUAACAGUAAACGCAUUACAAACCAAAGCAGAAUCACAUUUCAAUCAAACAUUAGUAAGCUCCAUCUUUUGAGUUUCCUCCAUAGCAUGGAUAACCUAUAAAACUCAGUAACCAGAGCAGUAUGAACUUCAAGAAAUCUAGAGAAAGUUCCAAUAAAUUCCCAUACAUUAAUUUUAGAAACCAAAUAAUUAGUUACUAUAUUGACUAAAUUAGAGACUAAAAAAAAAUUAGUUUCUAAAUUAGUUUCUAUUAUUGAUAAAUAAUUUCUACAUUGGUAUCUAAUUAGCUACCAAAGUUUUUGCUACCAAAUUUAGAAUCUAAAUAAUUGGUAGUUAAAACAUUGGUAACUAAUUAGAUACCAAUUUAUAAAUCAUAACAAUAAUAGAAACUAAUUUAGAAACCAAUUUUUUUUUAGUCUCUAAAAUGGUCUUUAAUUUAGUCACUAUAGCAACUAUUAUUUUUGGUAUCUAAAAUUGAUUUUUAUUUCAUGAUUUACUUGUAUUGUUGGUUUCUACUUAGUGAUUUUUUCUUGUUGUGUAGAGGAUGAGUGGUUAACAAAAAUACAGAAACUUAUAUAUAUCUAAAGGAUUACAGAGAGUUUGAAGAUGUUACAUUCAAUCCCAAUACAACAUAAAUUAGCCCCCCAUACACUACAAAAAAAUUAUUAAAUAAAAAUAAUUUUAGAGACCAAAAUAAUUAGUCACUAUAUUAACUAAAUUAGAGAUCAUUUUAUAAAGUAAAAAAAUAUUAGUAUCUAAAGUAGUUUCUAUUAUUAAUUAAAAUUUACAAAAUAGUUUCUAAAUUGAUAUCUAACUAUUAGCUACCAAGAUUUUAGCUACUAAUUACUUCGGUUCUAAAUUAGUCUUUUUUAAAGUCUCUUUUAGUCUUUUAAAAUCUAAUUUAGAAUCUAAAUUAUUAGUAGUUAAUUUAGAUAUCAAUUUAAAAACUAUUUUAUAAUAUUUUUUUAAUAAGAACCACUUUAGAUAGUACUGAUUUUUUAGUCUCUAAAUUUGUAUCUAAUUAGUUAAUAUAGUGACUAAUUAUUAAAAAAAUAAUAUAUAUAUAUAUAUAUAUAUAUAUAUAUAUUAAAGUACUAAGNNNNNNNNNNNNNNNNNNNNNNNNNNNNNNNNNNNNNNNNNNNNNNNNNNNNNNNNNNNNNNNNNNNNNNNNNNNNNNNNNNNNNNNNNNNNNNNNNNNNAAACCAUUUUAAAGGACUUGAAUAAUGCGAAAAUUCUAAUGCUAAGAACUAUUUCCUAUAUUAUGGAUAAAUAGUUUUGGUAAUAAAAAUAAUAAGACUAUUUGUAGUAACAGUAUAAAUUAAACUAAGUAAUACUUAUAUGAAUGGAAAGAAGUUAAAUUAUUAGUACAUGUAUUUUCUUCAGGUGUGGUGGUCUUUUUGAAAAUUUACACGAGUAUGUGCAUCAACUACGUAAACAUUACAUGGGUUGAAAAGCGUGGAGUGUUUCGGUGGCGGAAAAAGCAGUAGGGGCUCUUAAUUUGGAUAGUGUUUAUUGGCAUUUGGAUGGUUUUCCCUUCUACUCUUCCAUGAUUAGGUGCCAACAUUUGUAGGUUCUAGUUCUUCUCCGCAACCUACGUGUCUCUGUUUUCAUCCUUUUGGCCGCAAUACAGCUAAAAUAAUCUACCACAAACUCGAAUGCUUUUCCUACCAUAACUGUCCUUCCUUCCCAUGAGAGUGACACGCACAGUUGUCAUAAUUGCAAGCUGGCAUUUUAAAACUCUUCCAUUUUGUUUUGCCCCAUCCAUUAUCCUUUAACUAGUAAGUUAGGUUCUUUUCAGGUUUCAAAGCUGUUCUGCUUCAGAUAUAUAUAAAAUCUGACAGACCAUCAUCAUCUUCACAGUUAAGGUUUUAAAUUAUCUUUUACUAAAUGAUUUGUUUAGUUGACAUUCUAUUUCUACACUCCAAAGCAUUGUUCUGUCCUUUAAACCACAGUUUGCAGUCAAUCACAUUGCACCCACAAUGUUAUACUUUUGAAACAAUAUUGAGAUCAUAAUUUCAUUCCCGAAAAAUAGCCAAAGAAAAGAUCAUUGGUAAGUUUUGAACAGGGCUGGGCUUCCAAGUUUAGCAGGACAACAAACCAUGAUAUGAUUUGUGAAUGAGUGAAUCUUUUAUCUAUCGGUGAUAGGUUAAGUCACAGUGACUAAUCAUUACUCAAAAGUGUUGCUAGCCACUCGCACAGUGGCACCAAUGUAGCCCACAAAGAGCAAUAGUAGUACAAAUAAUUUGUUAAAAAGUCUAGCGGCUGCUGAAGUAUAUCUUCGAAAGAGUUAGCACGAAGGCACGAACCAAAACAAUAAAUCAUAAAAAAAAAAGCUAAAGUAAAGGGACGGGGGAAGAACCUAACAGCUAGAAAAAGCUGAUAAUUUAUGCUACAUUUCAUUUAUAUUGUCGGUCACUAGGCUUUUGGCGUGAAAAGUUGGACAAUGACCUCUGGAACUUAGUCACCAAGAACACAACAAGUCCUUUGUAAUAUCGACUGGCCUCAACCAUGCAUCCUUCAAGUGCACUGCCGGAGACUAAUACAUCAGUAAUCCCACAAAAACACCUUCUCAUCAACUUUUUAUGAAGAUUUUGUUUUCUCAACUCUUAAGUCUUUCAAGAGUCCAAAGUUGUUUUCUCUAACAAAACCAAAGUAGCAAAAAAAGUUAAUCUAAUGAACAUCACACCUACUAUCUCAAUCAAUCAACUUAUUGGUUUUGUAUGUAUUGUCCAUCAACAAUACAAUACUAAAUGUAUUUAAUAACGGUUUUUUUGAUCAUGAUGGGAUUAUUUUUUUUUGUUUUUACCAAAAUGGGGUCCGUUUAAAAAAAAAUUACAAAUUUAGGCAAGUCGUGCCAAUUCGGUACGACUUCAUAUGCAGAAGUCGUCCCAAUUAGGCACGACUUCUGCCAUGUCAUACUAAAGUCGUGCCAACUUGGCACGACUUCUGCCCUAUUAUACUGAAGUCGUGCCAACUUGACACGACUUCUGCCCCGUCAUACAGAAGUCGUGCCAAUUUGGCACGACUUCUGCCACGUCAUAGUUGUCCACACAGACGAGCUUAAUAAUAAAAUUCAAUUCAAGUUUGAUUAUUAAUUUUCCUCAUUUUCUUUAUCUAUGUAUUUAUUCAUUCAUAACACUCUUAGAACAUUUUUUUUCUUUAUCUAUGUAUUUAUUCAUUCAAUUCAAACAUGAUCCAUACACAAUUAUCCAAUUUUUUGUUCCUUAAAACUAACACUCUUAGAAAAAUUAUGUAUCAAAUUAAUUUUUAACAUUACAUAACUUACUACCCAAUAUAUAAACAAUAAAAUUAAAAAAAAUUAUGACAUGGCAGAAGUCGUGCGUCGUGUCAAGUUGGCACGACUUCAGUAUGAUAGGGCAAAAGUCGUGUCAAGUUGGCACGACUUCAAUAUGACAGGGCAGAAAUCGUGUCAAGUUGGCACGACUUCAGUAUGACAGGGCAGAAGUCGUGCCAACUUGGCACGACUUUAGUAUGACAUGGCAGAAGUCGUGCCUAAUUGGGACGACUUCUGCAUAUGAAGUCGUGUCGAAUUGACACGACUUGCCUAAAUUUGUAAUUUUUUUUUAAACGAUCCCAUUUUGGUAAAAACCAAAAAAAAUAACCCCAUCAUGGUCAAAAAACCUUUAAUAACACUAUAUUUGUUCAUUUGCUUGUUUUUCUCUUUCUUACAAACUUGUUGGAAAUCCUCCUUAAUUAAUAAUUAAUGGGAAAUCAUGACCAAUGAAUUUUGGUAAUUGAUUCAUUGAGUAAUAAUACAUAUUCCAAAGUCUUGAAAUUAUAUCUCUCUUGAAUACUAUAAAGUUCAACCUAGAAAGUUGAAGAUAGUAUUUUGAAGGUAUCUUAAAAAUGUAAUGAGUAUUAAUUAUCCAUUAUCUUUUUAUGAAGGAAGAGAAAAUCAAACAAAGGAAAAGAAUAACAUAGAGAGUAAAUCAGAUAAUAGAUAUCCAUCACAAUGUGAGAUUCAAAAUUAUAGUGAGAUGCUAGAGAGACUUUAUAUUUCAUCCUUGUUAGGUGAAAUUAAGUGUUAUCUUCACAGGGGAAAAAUAAAUAUUUUAAUCUUACUUUCAGAGUAGAGACAUUUUCUAUUCCGUGACUUUUACUUCUCAAGUUGAGGAGGUUUUUCCAUGUCAUUAUUCUAUUUUUCUCUAUUUAUUUUUGUUUGUUUAUUGCUUUUGCAAGUGUCCAUUUUGUAUCUACACCAAGGAAGAAAAAUCUGUUCUGAUUUUCCCAAUAGGGAUGUGUUUAAAAAACAUUUGUAACAACAUGUGAAUCCCAUUACACAGCUCUAGUGAAUAUAAUUGUCAUGUUUUAACAACAUCAAUUGUUAUAUUUUUGUUCUAGAUCCUCUCUAUGAUAUCUUAUAUGUAUGUAUAUCUGACAUUUGAGAGCUGCUUUAUUGUUUGUGACAUUCUCUUCAUUGUUCUCUUUCAAAUUAACUAAUUUGUUUGUUGGUUUUACUAAACUUUUAAUCAUGUCAACAAACAUGGAAUGUUCAUUUUGAUUUUAAUAUACCAACAUAAGGGUGACAAAGUAAUGUAUCAGUCAAGUCAUGAUUAUGACUCUCACAUAUUACCUUCAACACUCAACCUUCUUCGUUGUGAACUAGUUUGCCUUACAAUUAAAAUGACAAUUACAUUUUCCUGCACCAGUUAUAGUGAGUUCCAAUUCAAAUAUAGUUUGUAUUUUCUAUGCUUACUCUCUUUCACAACCUAACAACACAUAUGUCUUCAUUUUUUUUGUCCAUUUGUGUUGUCAAACUUCAAAAUGACAAUUAUAAAAUCAAGUCUACACUCAUUGAAGUAAGUCAUCUCAUGUACAAAAUAUUCACAAAUACGUUAGUACAUGUCACAUCUUUUACACAAAUGGAUGAAAUUAUACUUGCAUCAUCUACUGUGAAAGGACGAACCUAAUCUCCACCAACUAAUUGAUCUUCAAUUGCCACAAACUUCAUUAUAUCCAAUCAUCCCUGUUAGAUAAUUCAUAUGCUCCAUUAGAUAUAUUUAACAAUUACUACUAAAGUUAUUUGUAUAGUAAUUACAAAACAAUGUAAUACCAAUAAUUUUUAUAGUUUCUAAAAUAGUAUCUAAUUUAAUCAAUAUAUUAAAUAAUUAUUUUUUAUCUCUAAAAUUGAAUUUUAUUUAAUAAUUUUUUUAUAGUGAAUCUAACAAACACUCCAACGUCACACUCAAUGCCGUAAUGUAUUUAUUUUCAAAAAGAUAAAUAUAAAAAAUUUAGAUGCACUUGGGUACAAGUUGAAAACAUGGAAAUUUUUAGAAAUUGCCCAUACUUUCUCGUAGCCUUUAAUAGUUUUUGUUUAUAUUUAUAUAUUUCAAAAUAAAAGCCACUAAAAUUAUGUUAGUAUUUAGUGUCAAUAGAAGAAAAUCAUGAAAUAGAAACUAAUUUUAAAAAAAAAAUAAUUAGUUGUUAUAAUGACUAAAUUAGAGACCAUUUUAUAAACUAAAAAAAUUGAUUUUUAAAUUAAUAUUACUAUUAAAUAGUUUCUAAAUUGAUAUAUAAUUUUAAUUACCAAUUAUUUAGAUUCCAAAUUUGAUAGUAAAAAUCUUGGUUGCUAAUUAGAUACCAAUUUAGAAACCAUUUAACAAUAAUUUAAUUACUAUAGCAACUAAUUAUUUUUUUUUCUAAAAUUGGUUUCUAUAUUUCAUGAUUUUCUUGUAAUGUAUGGUAAUGAGUUUAAAUAAUUUAUACAAUUCACACUUCAAAAGUUAUUAUAUUCGGGGAGAAAAAUAUUUUUACUUAUAAUAAUUAUAUACAAUUUAAUAAUUGCAUUUUUUUAUAUAAACAUGCUAUUUAAAAUACCAUUUAAAUAUUUUUAUUGACGAAUUUUCACGAUUUCAUGAAAAUUAAAAGGCAUUCUUCUGUAAUAUCGCUCCAAGUUUAUACUUCAAUAUUACCCAAUCUGGUGAUUUUCUUUGGGUAUGGAGAUUGACUUAACAAUUCCUUUUCGAAUUGUAAGCCCAAUGGCCCGUAAGCUUAUGCUUCUGUCUAGUUUUGCAUUCACUGGUGCACAAAUUCUUCAUGCACCUUACAAAUUGUCACAUGCAUCCAAUGCAUCUAGAAAUAUCCAAAAUUGUACUUCAUCUUAGAAUUAAAAAAAAAUACAUUUUGAAAAAAUAAAUCCAAAAUAGAACUUUGAGUUUUGAAAGUUAAAUUUCAAAAUAAAAUUAGAAAAUCAAAAUUUUGUUCCAGAAAUAAAAAAUAAAAAACAAAAUUUAAAAAUAUAUUUCAAAACAAAAAUUCAGAAAUAAAAAAGUGUUCCAGAAAUUCAAAUUCAAAAAUAUAUUUCAGAAAAAAAAAUUUGAAAUAUAUAUUUUGAUACGUACCCUUUUUAUUUAAAAAUAUUUUUAUCAUUUCACAAAAAAAUUAAUACAAAUUCAAAUUUCGUCGGAUGAAAAAAGUAAUUGUCGAAUAAAUUAUAUUGAGUUCACUACUCCACUACAAGAAAAUUAUGAAAUAGAAACCAAUUUUAGAUACCAAAAUAAUUAGUUGUAAUAGUAAUUAAAUUAGAGACUAUUUUAAAAACUAAAAAAAUUGGUUUUUAAAUUAAUUUUUAUUAUUGUUAAAUAGUUUCUAAAUUGGUAACUAAUUAGCAACCAAAGUUUUCGCUACCAAAUUUAGAAACUAAAUAAUUGGUAGUUAAAACCUUAGUUGCUAAUUAGAUACCAAUUUAGAAACUAUUUAACAAUAAUAGAAACUAAUUUAAAAACCAAUUUUUUUUGUAGUUUUAAAAUGGUCUCUAAUUGAGUUACUAUUGCAACUAAUUAUUUUGGUCUUUAAAAAUUGGUUUCUAUUUCAUAAUUUUCUUGUAGUGCUCUAACACGUUUUAAAUAAAAUUUCCCUUAAAAAAUAUGACCCCAAAAUGCCAUAAAUAUUAAACGAUCCAAUAUUUUAUUUAUUAGAACUAUGCCACAACUGAGUCCAGAUUUAUUUGGUUAUUGUGGAACCAUUGUUGUGCAUGGUUGGGCGUGCUGAGCGUAUUUCACAUCGUUCCAUUGUUAAAUUUUUUCCAGUUUAUGUUGAGCAACGCGUUUGAUUCUGUGAAUGAGGUUUGAGGUGUUAUUUGGAUCGCAAUAGUCAACGAGAUUUGAAAGCAUAGAAACAUGGUUAUUUUUAACGGGGGAGUAGUGGAUGUUCUGGAAGAUUUUACUUUGGUUCAAUUAAAGGCUUGGUCAUGGAUUACAUCCAAGUCACAGUUUGCGAAUUUUUCCUUUUUUGAUUGGUGCAUAAAUCCGUUGGUUUGUAUGAGGAUGAUCUUAUGACGUAUUCAUUCAAGCUGUUUGACUGUUUUCUCUAAGAUGUCUUCCUCUGGGUUAGCUAGGAGAGUUCUGUUUUGACAAACUUUGGAGUAAGUCUUGUGCUGAAGAUUAUGGAUGAGUUCUUGUAUAAGAGUUGAAUCACCCCUAAACUGAUUCAUAUUUAUUUUUUAUAAAAAAAAAACUAUACCACAACAAUACAUAAUGAGAUUAUCACAAUUUAUAUACAUAAUUCAUGUUUUUAUUUUUUCCUUUGUCAUAUUUUAAAAUUAACAUCUUGAAUCUCAAAAUUAUCAUUCUAUUUACAAAGAAGAAUAAAAAUAGUAGAGAAAAAUUACCACUCCACUCAAAUCUAUACAUUACUACAUAUAUCAAAUAUAAUAUAAUAUAUAAUAUAUAAUUAAAAUUAAUAUAAAUAUUAAAUUUUAAUUCAUUAUAAUAAUAUAUAAGUGUAAUCGAGCCUGUGUUUAUGCUAGUUUUUAUAAUAUCUUUAUAUAUAUUUCUUCUCUUUUUUUAUUGUAUAAUGUAUCUUAUUUAUAUCUUUCUUCAUCUAUCUUACUCGAAAAAAACUGUGAAAUAAUUUUUUUUAAUCAAUUUUUUAGAUCGUGAUAUAUUUUUAAAGAAGAUAUUUUUUAAAUCUUAUUAAAUUAUAAUAUAUAUAUAUAUAUAUAUAUAUAUAAAGUGGGGUGUAAACUUUAUUUAUUUAUGAUGUUUUUGUGAAGUUAAGUUUUAAGAUAUAUUUUAAGAUGGUGUAAGAAUUUAUUAGAGUAUAAAAGUUUAUUACAUAUAAAUUAUUUAUCAAACCCUUCUUUAUUUCUAUAUUUGAUAUUGUAGUAGGAGAAGAUGUGUUGAAAAUUUUAUAUUAUCUAAAAAUAUGAUAAAGUUUUAAAGAAUUUUUUUCAUGAAUUAUGUAAUUUUGGUAAGCUUCAAAUACUUGUGUAAUAUGAUACUUGUUUUGAAUAAUUGUUUAUUCCUAUCUCACCUUAUAAAUAUAAAAAGAAAUACAACGAAAAAAAUCAAAUUUUGCAAUCAAUUAUGCCUAAUUCACAUACACACCAAAAAGGUUUAUAGUACUCGUACUUAUAAACACUCCCUACUAAAAAAAAACUAUUAAAAUUAUUAUAUUUAAGUUAUAUACUACUUUAAAAACUAAAAAAUUAUUGAUAUCUAAAUUAGUUUCUAUUUAAUAAAUAAUUUUUAAAUUGAUAUGUAGCUAACUACCAAGAUUUUAACAACAAAAAUUAUAUAAAUUCUAAAAUUUUUAGCUAAAACCUUAAAAAUUAAUUAAAUAUCAAUUUAAAAACUAUUUAUCAAUAAUAAAAAUUAAUUUAAAUAGUAAUAAUUUUUAUAAUCUCUAACCUAAUAUAAAAUUUAAUUAAUAUAACAAUUAAUUUUUUUAUCUAAAUUUUAUUUCUAUUUAAGAAUUUUUGUAAUAAGUCUUCCACCAGAACAACUUUUAUUAACCAUCUGAGACUAUAAAUCGUCCAAAUACGAUAAGAACGUCCCAUCUCUUAGAAUUCGUGUUAAUUUUUUUUUUAGUUCUUUACCUAGUUAAAAUGAAAUCUAAUAAUACUUGAAUUCUUAGUAAAUAGUCAUAUAUGGACUCAAGCAUUUGUUUUAUCUCCUCAUCCUUAGAAAUAUUUCCAAAAAUCGAUUGUCUAUUCAAAUAUGAAUAAUCUCUUCAACUACUUUUAGAGAUUAUAUUAUUAAUCAUGUGAGGCAUAAUUGUUAUUGAUGUGAUUUGGAUUACCUACCCAUAUGUCAUACAUUAAAUAAGAUAACAUAUAAUUUAAAUUACAGAUAUAUUAAUUCACAAUACAAAACUCUUUCCUGUUGUUAUAUUUUAGCUUGCACUUAGCUUAUUGAUUAAAUAAACUAAUGCUCUAAUUUGUUUUGAGUAAAGAAUAUGAUACAAAGUUUAUUUUGAUUUCAAGAUUUAUAUAAAAUUACUAUAUUAGUUAAUUCACACAAACUUAAAUAUUUUACAUUUUGUUUUCAUAAAAUGAUAUACUUUUGUAAAAGAUUAUAAUAUUUUUCUCUUGCAUAAAUACUAUAAACUAUUCUUUAUCAACUUAAAGAAAAUUCCUGGAUCUAUCACUGUUUACAAAGAAAUUGCAUAUGUUACGAAACUAAAAGAAAAUGAUUGAAAACAUUUUUUUUUUGGUGAUGUAUACAUCUUUUCCAAAUUAUUUUUUAAAUUGAAGAGUCCUUUUUCUUAUUCUCAUUGUAUAUAUCCACCGAACCUGAAGUGAUUGAAAUAUGGUUUUCAGCUUCGAGAGCAUUAAUAUGGCCGAAUACGAAGCAUCUUGCUUUCCGUAAAGAGAUGUUAUAAUAAGUAAAUUAAUGCAUCAUGGGCCUAGUUACUCAAACUGUUUCAAAUUUAUAAUUAUAGGGCUACCCAACAAAAACUAUAAUUGCUGCACCACACUUCUCAUCCAAGAUAUCAUCUUGUUUUAAGAUACUUCUUUUCAAACUUUAUUUAAAAAUUAUAAAAGAAAAUUAUCGCCUAAAAUGCACUUAAUCGCAUGAUAUCAUCACGAAUUAUCAAUUACAACUUUUGCGCGCGUAUUUUCCAUUGCAACAUAUAAAGAAGUAAUAUGUAACUCGGUCUUCACAUGAAAAUCUAAAUCCAAUUAAACUAAUGUCUUAUUUAAGUAUGUAUUUUUUAUUUUUCUUUAAACUCGAUCUUUACAUGAAAUACUUUUUUUUAUCAGCAAAUAAUAAAUAAAAUAAAAUGAGACACCCUUAUACAAAAUUCCAAAACAGAUUUUCUAGAACCCUACAAACUAAGGAUCCAACAAAUAUUGUACUACCUAUCAAGCUAAAAUCUCAUAGGUAAAUAAACCCAACAAAUACAGUUAUAUCACCCCACCAGAGAGGUCACACCCUCAAACAAGAGCAUACAUCCAACAACUAAACAAGGUCUUUGCCAUCAAGUUGGAGGACCUUACCCAAGAGACAAACUCAACAAACCAAUACAAUACACACCAUUCAACAACUAAGUCAUAACUAUGAACCGACUAAGUUGUACCAAAAACCCAAUUGCUAACAAUGACAGACCGAUCCUUAUAAGAAAGAAACAUAAGCCAAAAAGCUUUUGCCACAUUCAAACACCGUAAAAAAUCCAGCACCAAACCAAAAAGCAUACAGCAAAAACACUUUCUUUACUGCAGCACAGAACAAAGUCAUCAAUCUGACCCCGUCAAAAAGGAAUUACCAAGACACCUGCACAUCCACGCAAUACCUUUCGUUAGUAUGUAUCUGCGUUGUUAGAAGAUACUAAGAAAUAAUAUAUUAAAGUAGAAAAUUGAAAUCUAACUCAACUUCAGAAAAUCAUUAAAUAUAAAUUAAUUUUAGAGAUUAAAAAUAAGUCAUCAUUAUAUUGAUUACAUUAUUUACUAUUUUAGAGACUAAAAAAUUAUUCGUAUCUAAAGUGGUUUCUAUUAUUAAUAAAAAUUUAUAAAAUGGUUUAUUGGUCCGUAUCUAAAUUGGUUACCAAAAUUUUAGGUACUAAUAUUUUAGAUUAUAAAUUAGUCUCUAAAAGAAUAGAACCUUAGUAGCUAAUGAUUAUAUACCAAUUUAAAAACUACAUUAUAAAUUUUUAUUAAUAAUGGAAAUUAGUGUGAAAUGGGUCUGAGUAGUUUUAAGACUUUUACAAAUAGGAAUAAAAUCGAUAAGGAAACAAUCUUAAAUAAUAAUAAAUAUUCAAUAUAGCAAUCACAUUAUUUUCUUCUCAUAUUAUUAUAAUAACUGAAAUAAAUAAAUUUGGCCUUAAAAUUGGAAUUAACAUUUAAUUUUGAAAAGGACUGAAAACAAGACUGGAUACAUAAGAGUAGGGAGGACAAGUAAAGCAUACAAAUGACACAUAUAAUAAAAAAAGGAAGAACAACUCGGCUGAAAAUCACUAUUUCUGGCUAAACUGAAUUAUCUAGUUGGAAGACAUCCUUCUUAAUUAGAAAUUUUGGCGCAUAUCAUGGAUAGGUAAAUCAAUCAUGCAUCAUUUUUAUCAUAUGUGCAGUUGAUUGAUAUUUGUAGUACCAUAUUGCUUUUGUGAAAGUAGUAGGAAAGGAAACAUAUCGUUUAGAAUCCUUAGACGGUGACCGUAUACCAAAAACAUGAAAUUUGACUAAUCUUUGUUUUCGUUUUAGUUUAUUAUAAACUCUUUUAUUUUUUGUGUUCACUAUUUUCUUUUUUAUUUUUUUUAUGUGUUUUACCUUUUAAUAGCAAUCCCUCUCCUAUUUUAAAGUAUUAUGCAAUUGGGGUGGUUUACAAACACAAAUUUUCCAAACCAACCAUUUCUUUUUUAAUUUGUGGAGUAGUAGGAAGAAAAACAUAUUGUUUGGACUCACCAAACGCUAAUCGUAUACCAAGAACAAGAAAUUGGAUUAAUCUUCAUUUCAAUUUUAUCUUAUUAUUAUGCACUUUUUUAUUUUUUGUGUUUCAAUGUUUAUUUUCUAUUUUAUUAUAUGGUUUUACUUUUUUUUAAUAGCAAUCACUCUUGUUUUAAAGUAUUAUUCAAUUGGGUGGGGGUGAUUCACAAACAAAUUUUCUCCAAACCAACCAACAAAAUUUAAUUAAUUUAAAUUUCCUUAAAUUAGCAUAUUUAUGAUUCACCCAAAUUUUUUAAUUCAUUUGAAUUCAAUUUUUGUUAAAUUAGAAUGUUUAUGUUUCUAUCUUAAGAUAGGUUUAUCUACAUUCAUUUUAAAUUUUGUCCAAAAUUUCAAUAAAGGUAGUUUACGUUUAUUUCACAGAAUAUAUUCAAAUAAAUGUUAUAUAUGUUUAGACUGUAAACUUUAAAAAUAUACAACUCUCACUUAAAAUGUGUAUUUUACAUAAUAUAUUUUAAUAUAAAUGUUAUAGAUAAAAUAUAAUAUAAUGCUACAGAAAAUUUAUUUAAAUUGUAUUAUUAAAAUACAAAGGUUUGAAAAAAUAUAUAUUUCAAGAGAACAUUACAUUAAGUUGGCUUAUGUAUGAGGUUAGGAGUUGUAGUGUCAUGGGCCGAAUCCGAUAUUUUGUAUAAAUAGAUCGCCUACUGAUAUUCAUUUUAAAGACAUUAAUGUCAUAUCAACCCAAAUAAAGGGAUCUCAGAUAAUCAGCUUAAAUAGGAUACACCAUUUAUUACUGAAUUAAGCCAAUAAUAAGACCAUAUACAAGGAGAAGGGGGGAGAGCACUACCCUAUAUAAGGGGAAGAAAACAACUCACAUAACACACAACACAAGAAGUAACUUUCAAUUCAUAUUUUACACUAUACUCGUUAUAUUUUAUGCUCUUACGAACUUGAGCGUGUAUCUUUUGCAGGUGGAGCCCCCUAUUUCCUUAGAGUCCAUGAAGCUUGCAAAGAUACGAUCAGUGUGACUAUCUCGAAAUUUAACCAACCUUAACUGAAUGUUUUAGGUUUGUGAUCGUCAAUACUCUUGUCUGGAACAUUUUCAUAUAUAAUCUAAUUUCAUCUUAAUAUAUAUCAAGUCUAAUUGUUUUCAAGUUUGAAUCAAACAAAUACUCCUUAAUGUUAGAGGGUGAGUUGGUAAGUUUUGUAAGUUGGACAUGUUGUUAUUUUGUUUUACAAGUUGAGCAUGUUUAUACAAAAUGAAUAAAGUUUGUUAUAUUGUUAGAAUUUAGUACACAAUCAGGAAAUGUAGAAUAUAUGCCAAGAACCAUGUCUAAGUCUUAACUUGACAUGGUGCUGAAACCAAACUCGGUCUAGUUCAUUAAAGAUCACGUAUAGGUUUUAACUUGAGGUGAAGAAAAACUAUGUACAGUCUUAACUUGAUAUGGUGUUGAGUUAUUACUCAGUCCAGUUUAUUGAAGGCCAUGUACAAGUCUUAACUUUACGUGAAAAAUAAUUAUGUACAAGUCUUAACUUGAUGUGGUGUCGAGCUAUUACUCGGUCUAGUUUAUUGAAGGCUGCAGUCCAAUUUAUUGAAAGCCACAUAUAGGUCUUACCUUGAGUGAAGAAAAACCAUAUACAAGUCUUAACUUGAUGUGGUGUUGAAUAUUACUCGGUUCAGUUUAUUGAAGGCCAUGUAUAAGUCUUAACUUGCACAUGAAGAAAAACUAUGUACAAGUCUUAACUUGAGGGUGUCGAGCUAUCGCUUGGUUCAGUUUAUUUAAGGCCAUAAAUAGGUCUUAACUUGAUGUGAAGAAAAACCAUGUACAAAUCUUAAGUGAUGUGGUGUUGAGCUAUCACUUGGUCCAGUUUAUUGAAUGUCACGUACAUGUCUUAACUUGACGUGAAGAAAAUUCAUGUACAAGUCUUAACAUGAUGUCGUGUCAAGCUAUCACUCGGUUCAAUUUAUUGAAGGUCGUGUACAAGUCUUAACUUGAAGUGAAGAAAAAACAUGUACAAGUCUUAAGUGAUGUGGUGCCGAUCGAGUUAUUACACUGUCCAAUUUAUUGAAGGUCACGUACAUGUCUUAAAUUGACGUGAAAAAAUAAUAAUGUACGAGUCUUAACUUGAGAUGGUGUCGAGUUAUAACUCAAUCCACAUACAAGUCGUAAUUUGACGUGAAGAAAAAUCAUGUACAAGUCUUAAUUUGACAUGAUGUCGAGUCAUAGUUCGGUCCAAUUUAUUGAAGGUCACGUAUAAGUUUUAACUUGACACGAAGAAAGACCAUAUACAAAUCAUAAUUUGACAUGGUGUCGAGCCCAAACUCGAUCCAUUAUUACUAACAAAAUUCUAAUUAGUUAGCCUCUAAGGCCUCGUUCUGUGGUUGGGGGCUUGUGAUGUCAUGGAUGGUUCUGAUUAGUUAGCCUCUAAUCUCUGGGCCUGAGGUUGAGGGGCUAGUGGUAUCAUUGGUCAGAUCCGAGUAGUUUUUAGACUCUUACGAAUAAAAAUAAAGUCGGUAUGAAAAUAAUCUUAAAAAAUAAUAAUAAUAAACAAUAUAACAAUCCUAUUUUUUAUAUAUUAUUAUAAUUACUGAAAUAACAGAAUUUGACCUUAAAAGAAGAAUUAACAUUUAAUAUAGAAAAAGAUUAAAAACAAAACUAAAUAUAUGAUAAAAAAAAAGGAGAACAACUCGACUAAAAAGUAACUCUGCCUAAACUGAAUAAUUUAAUUGGAAGACAUCCUUCUUUGUUAGAACAAUUUUUAUAUUAUAAUUUAAUUAAAUGAAAUUCCGUUGAGAUAAUGAAAGUUCACAUCAAACACACAUCACAAAUACAUCAAUUAUAGUAUGUUCUACUAACAAGUGAGAUAAUAGACACAACUUAAAGUCUACUAAUAGUCUCUUAGAAGAAUAAAAUGUAACUCUAUUUUAACCCGAAAGGUAAGAGGAUUUGAAAUCCACUGCAAGCUUGUAUACUUACAAAGUGAAUUAAAUCCACAUGUCUCAAUAUCAAUUGGAUUAUUAAAUCUUAUAAUGCAAGUUGGUUGCCAACUAGCUAUUCUUCGGUUUCAUGUAAGAAGUUGAGCUGUCUCUCUUCUGAAAAGCCAAAACUACAGUGCCGAAGAUGCAAACGUUUUAACACGCUUUCUUUUACUUUCUGUUUUCCACACUCUUAUUUGACGUGAUGUGGUCAGAAAAUGACUUCUUCAACCUCAUGCACACCUAUCUAUUGUAAGUCUCUUCUAAAUUGAAUGAACUAAAAGCAGUUAUAUAUUACUUCCAAAGUAGCACUUUGUCUGAUUUCUUUUAGCUUCAAACUUACUUUAAAACUAAAAUUAAAAAUAAAGAAUUUCAAGUUAAAGUUUAGGUUCUGAUAUUUGAAAUAAAGCAAUUUUUUUUGGGUAGAAGUCAAUAUUGAAAUUAGUUUUUAAGAACUCUUUUUAUUUCAAAGUUCUAUGGGAUAACAAAUAUUUUUUUUAAAAUUGUUUGACACAAAAGACAGAUACAUGUGUCUAACCCUUUUAACCAUGACUUUAUAUACCAUAUGCCCCCUACCAGAAACUUAAUUAUUUCAUAUUGCUUUCCAUGCAGCAAGUAAUUAACUGUUUCAAUUUGUCAUAUAUACGACAAAAUUGCAUACACAGAAAAACAUCUGUUGAGUUAAGGAGCAACACUGUGAUGAUGUAUUAUAUUGGCUAUGGUCUUUCGAUAUAGUCGCUGAUUUUUUCCCACACCAAUUGAUUGCAAAUUGUCACUAAAUCUUGGCUACCUUUAUCUCUCUUUGAUCUUUCUGGGAUAUUUUGAAAUUCUCCGAAAUUUGAAUUUAUUUAACAGAUUUCGCUAGUAAAAGUAAGUCUGUAAGUAAAGUUUAUUGUCAAACACGCAUGGGCAAUUAACUUUUCAAAAUUGAAAAGAUAAUUGAAAAGAUAAUUGAAAAGAUAAUUGAAAUAUGUUAGUUUGAGAGUGAAGCACGUGUAUGAGUCGAGGAAGUUACCUUACAAUCACCUUUUCUAAGCGUUAUUUGGCUUUGUUUAUAUGGCUGUAACAUGGAAUAUAUGUAAAUAGAAGUCUGGAAGAUCUCAAUAUGAUGAUGACAACUAUGAAUUAAAUGAUAAAGAUGAAGAAGAGUAUUAUAUGAUUCGUCCUGGUAAAGCAUAAAAUUAUAAUCCUAGUGCUACCUGCAUAAUGACUGGAGGGGACCAUUUUUCCCAUGCUCUCAAGUGCAUUACCGUCUUCAUUAUGAUAUCCUCACUUUAAUUAGUCCCCGUUUCACACCUUCAUAACUUUAGUUCGGCUGCAAUUUAACAUUCUCCCCGAUUCAGGAAAACAAAAGGAGUGAGAAAGAACAAAGGUACUUCAAAAUUUCCUUCAACCUAGGCCUAAGGAAAUUCCUGCUUGCAGCUGUCAAAUCAUAUUCAUACACUUACCAUCACUAUAUAUAUAUUUCUUUAAAUUUUACACUCAGUUCACGCCAACAUUUUUGGUUUCUUUAGAUAUAUUCACUUUUUAAAGACAAAAAGCACGAGACAAUUAGACAAGAAAGAUAAAGAAAAGGGUAAAAAAAUCUUAUGUGCACUAUUUUUAAUUAUGUUAUUGAAAUAAAAUGACUAAUAAUUUUACUGAUAACUACUUUUUUUUUAUAAAAAAAAUUAAUGACUCGUCUUUAAUAAAGUUUAUUACUAUUUGCAUAGAUUGAGCUACGCAUGAGUAUUCCAGUUGAAUAAUUUAUGGGCAUAAAAACGUUGGGACGUAUUUGUGUUAAAUAAUGGAAAGAAAAUAAUGUAAUGUAUGUAGUAGUGUAGCUAGUUGAUGUGGGAGCAUUGAAAUGUGGGUGUUGCGAAUGGUUGGAGUAGGAGAAAAUGGUUUGUUUGUUGUGUUGGGAUGGCAUGAUGAGUUGAAUUGAAUGAUGGUGCAGCAGCAGUUUGGUUUGGGAAGCAAUUAAGUGGAAGAUGAGUUGAAACUGAUCCCGAAGCAAUGCAAUGAUCUCUAUUCAUUCUGUUGAAAGAAGGACCCUUUUGCUUUCUUUAAAUAUUCUCACAGAAAGUUGUGGGUUCGAAAGGAGGGGUGGUUAGGAAGUUGAGGUGGAGAUGGAGUAGAGAGCAUGUGUAUUAGCAAGAGGGCAUGCAGGAGUGAACUCAACUAUCUGGCAUGGGCUCACAAGUUAUGGCCAUGAUUGGAUCAUGAAGCAAGCCUCGUGGGCUUUGCCUUUCCGUUUAACCUUUCUCUUUUUUAAAUACUUCCCUAACCAAGGAAGCACCAGUUUUUAUUUAUGUAUUUUAAAUAACCCCCCCGUGACCCGAAUUCAAAGAGUGGGGAGGGGGGGGACCAAAAGGCAGCGCAUUUAGAAUGAAUUGAACAAACCCAUGGAUAAAAGAGAAGGAACACCUAGAUAAAGGCUAAAGCAUAACUGCAUAAGCUGUCAUUGCUUCCCUCCUUUCUUUUAAAAGCCCCUCACACAUUCAUAUUUCCUACUUCUACUACUAUCACUACUCUACUCUUCCUAACCACCCUCAACAUCUAAGAUCAUUGCAACAUACACGUUAACCCAAAACAAAUUACAACCACAACAAAUAUGAUCAAAGGAAGGGAAGGCAAAGCAUUAGCACAAGCACCGCCCUCUGCUGAUCUCUUAGUUUGUUUCCCAUCUCGGGCUCAUCUUACUCUAAUGCCUAAGCCCAUUUGCAGCCCGGCCCGACCCUCCGAGCCCACCAAACGCCACCACAACAGCCACCACCACCACCGUAAGAAAUCCUUCUCCAGAGGCGGCGGCGGAGGCCAAGCCAGUCCUUUAUUAUGGGCCAAAACCAAGUCAAUGGGCUCUGAAAUCACGGAACCAACCUCCCCCAAAGUGACGUGCGCCGGUCAGAUCAAGGUCCGGCCCAAAACGACCGCGUGCAGGAGCUGGCAAUCGGUGAUGGAAGAGAUAGAGAAGAUCCACACCGACAAAAAACAGAGGAAGCGUCUCGGCUGGGCCGAGAGCCUCGGUUUCAAGAAGGAGAUAAUGCAGUUCUUGACUUGUUUGCGAAGCAUAAGGUUCGACUUCAGAUGCUUCGGCUCCUUCCCCGGAACUGACAUCGCCACCGAAGAAGAAGACGACGACGAGGAGGAAGAAGUCGAAGAGGAAGAGGAAAACCACGUGGGCGUGGGAGAGAACGAGAAUGAAGCAUCGAGAACUGUUUUCUCGAAAUGGUUCAUGGUGUUGCAAGAGAACCAAAACAAGCGGAGAGAAGAGACAGAGGAGAGAGGAAAUGACGAGGAAAGUGUGUCGGUGUCGGUUCCUCCUUCGAACGCAUUAUUGCUGAUGCGUUGUAGGUCUGCUCCGGCGAAAAGUUGGGUAAGAGAGAGGGAAGGUGGUGAAGAAGAGGAGAAUGUGGAGAGAGAAAAAGGAAAAGAAAAAGAUGAGGUGGCGGUAAAGAAGGGACAGAGUUUAAAGUCGUUGAUGGAGGAAGAGAAGAGAAAGACGGAGAAGGUGGUGGUGAUGCGAUACGACUCUGAUUUUUACGGCAUUUCUUCUGAUGUUGCCAAAGAGACGUGGAUUGUUGGCGGCCUCAGAGAUCUCAUGUCAAGGAGUCGAAGUUCCAAAAGAUAAGAUAUGAAUAUCAUCAUCUUCAUUCACGGUUACAGCUAUUUUUCCAAUAAUUUUUCUUUUACAACUUUGUGAGACUUCUCUUCAUCCUUUGGUGUGAAAACUGGGAAAUCUAAUACUAAAAUCCCAGUUUUAGCUUCUGGAAUUACUGAGUUCGUAAACCUGUACAGUUUAAUUUCUGAUUUAUUUGUAUAAGUUUCCGGUGAAAUAUUUUGGUGGCUGCCAACUACGUCAAUGAAUCUGCUACUCCCUUUGUGUUGUAGAGUGAGAGGAAUAUUUAAUUUUUGUUCAGUUCACAUUUGUUACUAUAAUCGAUAUCAAUACAUUAUGAUGAGUGCAGCAAACUUUAACAACACAACUCACUUUUUUUUAUAUAAUCAGAUAAUAAUUUUUAAUAAUUCUUUACAUCAUUUAAUUAUAAAUUUACUGGAUUGUUAAUCAAAAAAAUUUCAAACUGCAAACACCUUUUACAUAGUUUUAUAAAAGUGAAGAGAUUAAAUUAUGGAAAUUAUUUCAUUUCUUUAAUUUAUUUUAAAAUUACAAAAUUGAAGAAUAUUUGUUCAAAAUACAAAAUUAUCAUUUCCUUUAUUUUUCCACUCUCGAGUACACCGUUGAAGAUCGAAAGUUUUGGUAUAACUUAUACAUAGUAACAAACAUUCCUUUAACAAUUUAAUAACUAAAUAUUUUAAUAUAUUUAAUUUAUUUUUUAAUUAAAAAUAUUAUUAUAAUGGGUGAUGAGGAUGUGUUUUACUUUUUGAGUUUCAAACUAAUCUUUUCCAUUUUUCAAUGGAUAGUAUCAAAUCAGAUCCUCUGCAGCAAAUUUUCUUUAUAGCCAUUGUGCAGCUAAAUCCAAUCCACUGAUUAGUUAAUACUCUAUAGAGUUAAUAGUUCAGAUUUUGGCCGCAGAGACAAUAGAGGAUCUGGUUCAGACACACCUCUAUGAUGUGUGGGUAAAGAUAUAUUUAUUUUUCUAUUUUUUUAUAAUUUAUUCAGUAUCUUAAUUCAAAAGUUAUUUGUAUGAUUUUUGUUACAUUUAUAUUUUAAUGGUAUUAAUACUAUUUGGUCAAAUUUUAGUUUUUAUACUACUUAUCUUUAUUAUCAUUAUUUCAGCCAGAUAAUUAUUAAUUGUAAUAAUAUUUUUAAUAUAAGCUUAUACAAAUAGUGUAUUUUUGCAUUGUAACUUUCAUUUAGGAAAUCUUAUAUGCAUGGUUUAAAUAAAAGUACAUCGCAUCACUGAAAAAAAAAAUAUCAUAUUCAAUAAUACUUGAUAUUAAAAGUGUUUUUUUUCUUAAAGUAUUUUAUUUGGUUUGUGAAUCAGGUGUUCUUCUCAACAUUUAAACAUGAUAAAGAGUUGUACACAUAUUUUGAAUAUCCGUGUGUGACACAUGUUAUGGAUACUCAAACAUUAUAAAGUAGUGGAUGAUUUCUUUAGAACUUUUUGGAUUGCAUUCUAAUAUGUGAUUGGUGUUUAAGUGUUGGCUACAUCACUAAAAUGUUAGACAUUCAAGUGAUGAGGUAGUUAUUGAAGUGAGAAAAAUUCUAGAAGAGAAUUAGUCUCGAGUUGUAGUUUACUCAAGUAGCAAGUACAUUGCUCCAACGAGAUGGUUGAUGUCUUGGUCAUAUUGAAAAGGUCGCUCCAACAAUGAUGUGCUAGGAGUGUGAUGAUGUUAUGUUACAUUAUAUAUUUUUAUACAUGCUUCUACUGAUGACAUAGUGUAUAAAAUGUGAGAUUAAUUAUAUAUGGUCUUAAAUGUAUGUGAUUAAUAUGUAUGCAUUUAUAUGGGCUUUUGUGGGUGGUGAAUCCUAUUUGAAUCGCUUAUAUACAUGUAUAUAUUGGUAUAUAAGGCUUGAUCUUGGAUGGAUAGCUCAAAUUGAAUGGUUUACAUGGUCCUUGAUGGGAUACCCAGGAUAGAAUCAUACCAUAGGUGUCAUUGAAAAACAUGAAACUCAUGUUAACAUAUGUAUUUUUGUUUCUCUAGUGUCUAGUCAUGUAGAUAAAACUUUAGGUAGUGAAAAAUUGAGAGACACUAACAUUUGGUUUGAUAUCAGGGUACAACCUAUAACAAAUAUUUUAUUUGACAUUGGAUGUAAGUUAAGAUCUAGUGGUUCAAGAAAUAUCAAGUAUUAUACUAUGGUGGAACUUAUUUAUGUGGAGGUUGCCUUUCAUUUUUGUUAUGACAAAGAUGUGAGACUAAAUGUGAUUUCAUUAGCUUUCAUCAUGAUGAUGAUUAUAUAUGAGCAUGAUUACGAUAUUAUAGGUUAUGUUUUAAUUUCAUUAGCUCAAAUCACAUGUGUAACAAAUACUAUAUGUAAAAAUUAAUAUUUCACGGUCAAAUGAAUUAAGAGAGUGUUAUAUUUUUCAUAAAGAGAAUAGAACAAAUAAGAAAUGAGUAGAAACAAUAUACUUCUUUUAGUGAUGGAACUUAACAUGAAGUAAUGAAAAGAAGAAACAAUGAAUUUAUGUUUUAUUGUUGAAAAAUAAUAAUAAACUGAGUAGGUGAGAAGAGAAAAUAUAUAAAAAAUAAUAAUUUUCUUCUCUUUUACAUUUUAUCACUUUUUUAUUGUUUAUUAUAUUUAAUUUUAUAGAUUAAUAUUUAUUAAAAUUAAGUGAGUCUAGGUAACAAAGGAAUAUAAGUUUUUUUUUUUAAGAAAACUAAUAUUGAUUUUGUAUUUUAUAAUUCUUAGUUGUUGUUUUUAUAUAUGUGUAGCUUUUUUUUUAUUCUAACAUUGAUUUUUUUUUUACAUUUUGUCUUUUUAGCUAUACCUAUAAUGAGUGUAUACUCAGACUAUUUGUUUUAAUUUAAAUAAGAAAAAAAUAUUCUUUUUCAUAUUCUUGGAUUUCUCUUGUUUUUAUAAUAGUAAAUUAUAAAACAAAUUGAUUUUUUUUUAAUUUAAUCCUCAUUAUUAUAUAUAUCAGAGCAUUUAAAGAUAUUACACUACCUACCUGGUUUUUAAAUUAGUUUCUAUUACUAUUAAAUGGUUUCUAGAUUGAUAUCUAAUUAGCUACCAAAGUUUUUUCUAUCAAAUUUAAAAUCUAAAUAAUUGGUAGUUAAAACUUUGGUAGCUAAUCAGAUACUAAUUUAGAAACUAUUUAACCAUAAUAGAAACUAAUUUAGAAACAAUUUUUUUUAGUAUUAAGAUGGUCUCUAAUUUAGUUAUUAUAACAACUAAUUAUUUUUAGUCUAUAAAAUUGGUUUCUAUUUCAUGAUUUUCUUGUAGUGUAUAUUAACAUAUGAAACAUUUUUAUUUCCAUGAAAGUUUGGAGUGUCGUUUGUUAUUCACAAUGACUCUUUGGUAAACUUCCAACAAUCCAGUGGUUAAUGACGUUUGGGGACGAUUUGGGUUGGUGUUGUGAGUGGAAUUUAGAGACAUAGGAACUCGGUGACCUUCGACAGGGGCGUGGUAGAUGCGCUCGAGGUAUUUGCACUGGUACAGGUAAAUGUUUGGUCUUUGCAAAGUCCUGUUGUAAUUCCUUUACGUACCCCAACUGGGUUUUGAACCUAGUGGAUUGUAUGAGGCUGAUUGUUUAAUGCUUUCUUGAGUUGCUUUGGUUGUUCCUUUUUUAAGUUGGAAGGUGUUUCUUGGUUGGAGGUUGGUAGGACGCUAACUAUUUAUGUAUAAGGGUUGGACCAUCCCUGAAGUGGUUCCCAUUUAUUUAUUUUUUAUUGAUGAUAAAAAACAAAAUUUGAAAGUUAUAAAAGAUCAACUAGCUAACUUAUCGCUUAUGAGUUAGCUUAACACGUAAGAGUUAGUUUAUCAGCAUACAUUUAAAAUCAAAAAAUAUUUUAAAAGUAAAACUAAAUAACCAAGUUAUAGUUGUAAAGAUUAAAAACAUUUUAAAACCAAGUUAUAUGUUAUAUUAAAUAAAUUACAUAGAUACCAUAUUUAUUACUAUGUUACUAGUAUAAUUUGAUUCUGCUGCAACCUAUAUAAAUAAAGGAAACAGAAUUUUGCGGGUUCAUUUCUUUUUGUGAAAUUGUAAAUCAAAUUAGCGCGGUAAUGUUUGUUUACACGAAAAUAGAAGUAAAACAAUCAUGGUUAGGAAUCUUAUUUGAUUUUUAAAAAGGAGAUAACAUAUUUUAAUUACUGCUCUAAUUUGGUUUACGAUUUUAAAAAGAAAACAAAAAAUAUACUGUAGAGGAAUCUAAAGGGAAGAAGUUAUCUUCUCCCAUUAAGUAACGUUACUCCUCUCCCGUUAAUCAACGAACAUAGUAAGCAUCCUCCUCGAUCAGUGUAGCCUGAAAGACUUUGAACACACAUCUAACGUCAGUAAUCCUGUCAGUACAAUAAACACUGCCAAUUUUUGUAUGUUCAGCUGCUAAGGUAAUAAAUAAGUAAUAGCACAAGAAGGGAUAGAAGAAAGAUUUUGAAUCUGUGAAUAUGUGAUGGUUAAUAGCAAAUCGAUUAAUCAACUGUAAGAAGAAGAAGAUUAUAUAUAUGUUCGUCGUGCCCUGAUUGAUGUUUGAUCAUUUAUGGGUCGUUUUUCGAUUUUUGUAUCUCCCAUUAUUAUGAAGGAGCACAAGUCAAGGGAUCUCAAUCAAUCAGACUUAAUCAUUCUUAAUGACUCAAUUAAAACAGAAUCAUGACUAAAGAUGGAGAUGUUACAAUUCAGUUUAUAUAUAUAUAUGCUCUACAGAAAGACAUCAUCUAAACAUAUAAUAAACAACACAGGGAGUACUCUCAACUCCUAUUUCAUAUUAUACUCAUUAUAUUAUACUCUUACUGACUUAAGCGUCGGAGUGUCAUCGCAGGAGGAGCUCCUCUCAUUUUCAAAAGGUUUUGCUCAUCCAGAUUCCAUCCUUAAGUUAGGUAGAACAAUAUAUAUUAAUUUUAUUUUAUUUAAAAUAGAUAAGUCAUGUUAUUUUAAUACACCUAUGGAGUGGCACACAUAUAUAUAUAUGAGUCACUGUCACACGUGGUUUUACUUAUUUCUGCAUCAGGCUUGGCAGUUAAAGCUUGUCUACUUUCAUUAAUAAAGAGGUCUGAAAAAGUGAGAUUCUGUACAAGCUACUGGAAGGUCCAGUCAAUGCAGUUGAUGAGUCGAGUUGAAUGCAGAUCUUGGUCUUAGAUAAGAGUCAAGACAAUUCACCACUUGCUUUGCAUGGCAUCUUUUGUACUUCCAAUUUCCUUGUCCGUUUCCAAAAGAUACACAUGAGAACUAUUUAUUGUAGCACUCAACGUUGAGCAUUGAAAAUAAAUAAAUAAAAAUUAAAACUGCUUGACUGAUAUCAUUGAUAAAGUGCUAUUUAUGUGCCUCCAAUUUGGCUGCUGAAGUGUACAUGAUAAAACAAAACAAAGAAAAGAAAAGAAAAGGGAUUACUGAUUCAGGUGUGAAUCUUCUGGUGAUACUUCUGAGGUAGGAGGCACCUUUCUUACUUUUUCACGCAAGAGAUGUCAGCUUAGGAAUAUAUAUUUGUUGAACACUUGAGACUCCUCUCAAACGUUGAAGCCUGACAGCAUCAGAGGCAUCCACGCCACUCCUAUCAUACAAACACAAACACUCUUCUGAUUCACAACCCUUCACGAGGAGUGAUGCAUUAUCUAUUGGACUUUGAGUAACCUUCCCAUUAGACACCUGUGAAGACAUGCAAGUUGGCAGGGUACAUUUUUUUUGUCUCUCAAGGGAACUUUUGUCUUUUUCUCUGUAUCUCAGCUGCUUUCAAUCCUCUCAUUUCAUCCAUUGUAGAGGGAGAAGAAAAAUACAAAUAGUAAUAAAUGUUAACAGAGAGCUUGUAGUGAAAAUUAGUUUAUAUAUUAUUACUGUUAUGAUAUGAUAUGUCACAUGUACAUUUUUCUUUGAGAAUCACAACACAUCACACGUUUCAAUUUGUUUGAAAGUAUCAAAACUAGACUUGUUAUGCUACUUUAUUUACUGUAUAAAAAAUGAUCAUGGAAACUUUUAUUGAUUGUAAUUUUUAAAAUAAACAUUUAAAUAUAAAUUAGGAUUGCAAAUUUGUCUAGAUGGCAAUGUCUUUCAACAACGAAAACGGUCGGAUUGGUCGGUCAAAAAUAGAUAAAAAAAUGAAAUUAUUUAUUUUAUAAAAUUAAUUUAAAUAGAUAAAUUUAAUUAAGAUAUGUAAAAUAUUUUAAUAAUUUAAUUUAAAUUUUAUUAGAUAUUAUUUUUAUUAGUAUUAAAAAAUUAACUUUAAACAGUAAAUUAUUAAUGACAACAAUAAAUAUAUUUUUAUUGGUGAGAAAAACAACAACAAAUAUAUAUUGAAAUUUCUAAAAUAAUAAAAUAUUAAAAGUAUACAACAGAAAAAUUAAAUUUAAAUUUUUAAUAUAUAUUUUAUUUAUUUAAAAGAACGGACUAAUAGAUUAAGUAUGAGAGUAAACAAAAGGGACCAAGAAAUCGACAAGUUGAAUUAUCCAUUCCCACCCACCAUUUUUAACCCAUUAAUUAGCCUAACAUAUUUUGCUAAUCCCAAUUUUGUCUGCUAUACAAAUCUAACGUACACUUUGCUUAUAACUUUGUAUAUUUUCCAUUAUCGCUACGUUUACUUCAAUAUUAUGAAAUAUUGUAUUUUCAAGGUCUAGUUAACUUACCAAUAACAUUUGAAACAACUAUUUCUUUUUCGACCGAUAUGUGUUUUCCAAAAAUAUAUUUAGAUAUUCAAAUUAGUUGUGGUAAGAGUGAAAUAAUAAAUAAUAUUUUUCAUUUAGAAAAUUUUACUUAUUUACUUUCUUAGUUUCUUUUUAACCAUUUUUUUAUUUUUUUGGAUAAAUAAUUAAAUAUAAUACCUUUUUAUUUUAUUAAAAUAUUUAUACAUUUUUAAUUUACUAUUUUCAUUUCUAUGUUAUAAUAAGUAUAUAUUUAAAUUAAUUAAUUAUUAGGUGUAAAAGCAAGAAUGUGUCAAAAAUCAACACUUCAAAAAAAUAGGGUAUAUUCUCUUUCCAUUGUCAUUUCAAACUUUAAUCAGGUUAUAGCUAAUUAUUCUGUUUCUAAAUAUAACUUAUUCCAUUUAUUUAUUUAUUUUAACUAGUAAAAAUAAGUAUUAUAGUAAACUUUUACCAGUAAUAUUUUAACCAACGUGAACUGAUAACAAAAAAAAGUAAAGAAAGAGUAACAGAAAUCGAAAAAACAGCAGAGUGUAAAAAGUCACAAAACAAGGUAUGUACAAACACUCAUCACUAGUAUUUUCUUUUUCAAUUAAUCUUCCUUCCGCUGAAACAUUACAUCAAGCUUUAUCCUACAGUCAAACAUGUUCUUAGAUUUGCUUGCCAAGCUAUGAGUAGUUGGUUGAAGAAUUUAUCUUUCAGUUUUAACUAAGGCCAGACUAUAAAGCAAAUAUUUUGUAGCACCUCAUCUUCAUCAACUACCUUAUUUAUGAAUACUAUGUUGUCCAAAUGCUCCAAGUUGCUCACACCAAAUAGUGUACCAUCAUCUCUCCUUCAUUUGUCUAGGUUCCAUUCUAAAUUCGUGUUGCAAGAAAUGGUCAAGAGUAUUACCUAGGAAGCAUGUCCUCCUUCCACCCAUGAGUAGCAGUUUUUCUAGAUUCUAUCAACUUUGCUACAUGUGAACAAAAUAUAUAUAAGAUAAAGUUUCUUCUUAGUCACCACAUAAGGGGAAUUUAUCAAUAUAUUUAAAGAGAACACCCCUCCUUUUGAGGUUUUCUUUUGUUGGACUCUGUCAUUAAAACAUCUCCACUAAAAUAAGUGGAACUUUGAUGCUUCAAAGAAAGCUCCAAAGAGUGGGAAUGUUGUGUGCAUCCCUUCUCCGAUCUUCCAUGAAGCAGAUUUCCUAAACCAAUUUUCUUGGUUAUUUGAACUGCGUAUACUCUUUAAAAUCUCUACCAAAUAAAUGCAUUUUUAUUUGCCAUUGUUCCAUUGUAUGAGUUUCUCCCACCACCAUACUUUGCUUCCAAUAUUGAUCCCCACAAACAAUCAUCGAUGUCUUAUAUAUUCCAUACCUGUUCUGCUAGAAGUGCCGGAAUGAUAUAAUUCGAGAGUUCAACAUCUUGACCACUAACAAAGUUCUGGGCCAUGUAGCUGCUAUAGCAUCGCACCUACAUUUUGGUGAAGUUCACCUUAAGGUCGAAUACUAGUUCAAAACACCUCAACAUACUCUUAAUCAUUCGAGCAUUCUACACAUAAACCUGACCAAGGAAAAUAAUAUCAUCAACAAAUUGCAAUAAGUUAGUUUCUAUAUUUCUAUGCUUCCUGAUGCCACCAUAUAUCCUUUUUACAUUCCUUUUCCACAUGCUUUUUUCGUCAAGCCGUGAAAAUGAAGGGAACAAUAGGAUCCCUUUUGCGCAAGCCUCUUUGCAUUUGGAACUCAUGUCUUUGAAAAUUCAAGUCUUACUAACAUGUAAAAUAGUAUAUGAAAGAAAUUGUUUUUUUGGGUAUAAUCAAUUACCCAUUAUUUUUUAAGCUCUAGUCGAUUGUGUAGGGGUUGAUUUUUUGACCAUAAUCGAUUAUAUACUAUAACUAUGCCUUUGAUCGAUUUUCUGCACAAGAACACUGUGAUCACGUUGUCACGCACAGAUAAAAGCUGGGGCAAAAGCGAAAAUAAACAAUUACCUAUGUGAUUUUCCGUUAUUUUCUCAACAUGUAGGAGGGGACUGCUUUCACUAUUUACACACUCAUCUCCUUUCCCACCCACAUCCGUUCUUGAAGCAAACAUAGAGGAUCCUAAUUUUUCCAUCUUCACACACCUCUCAGGUUGAACCAAACACAACAUAGUAUAUAAAAAAAUUGAUAACUUUGUAUAUAACUUUUUGAUGCAGAUAAAACUCUGAUUUUUUUUUUCAACAUAACCUUUCAUCAGAUUCCCCUCAAAUUUAUAUUAGCAUAAUAGGACCCUUAGCCCAAAUGCUCUGAUCCAAGACCCCAAUGAAAAAACAGUAUAGAAUUUUUUUUAAGGCUUUAUGAGAAGUUAACUUAUUUAGUAUGUUAUCAAAUUAUUUCAAAUUGAAUAGUAAAGUUCUUAUGCUUUAAAAAAAUAUAAUUAAAUUCUUAAAUUUAUAAAAUAUUUCUAGUCGGGUUCCAAAUUGAGUUCUUGAAGUUAUAAAUUAUUUGUAAUUGUACCCUAACAUGGUGAUUUACUAUUACUGAGAAAUAAUAUAUUAAAUAAGGAAAAAUAUAAGAAAAACAUUAAUUGAACUUUCAAACUUUAAAACAUCAAAAGUAUUUAAAAAAGACAAAAUUAACAAAAAUAAAAUAAAAAUCGCGAAGUUAAAUAAAUCACUUUAAUCUGAAUUACAAUCUUGGUAUGCAUAUUAUUUUAUUUGAACAUUUUAAAAAGGGUGGUCACUAGAUUAAUCAAUCAAUAUAUUUCUAAAUUAUCUGAGAGAAAAAAAGGUCUUAGUAUUUUUAAAAUUAGAUUAGCAAAACCUUGGGAUUUAUUAGUUCAAAAGUAGUUGGAUUAAUACUAAUUCAAAUCAUAUUUUAAUAUAUAAUAUUUUAAGUGAUAAAGUAAUUCAAAAUUAAAAAAUUUAGACAUAAAAGUUGUAUAAUUGACAAAAUAGCAUAUGUUUAUGUAUUCUAUUAGUUACUAAAAAAAAUAUCGGCGAAGCUAUGCAAGGGGUCAACAUGAUCGCCGGUUGAUGAAGCGGCGUUCUCCUUGGGCUAACAUGAUCGCCGAUCGGUAGCGGGAUUCUAUAUGUGUGUAGUUGGUGGUCGCCGAAGUUAUGCAAAGGUCAACAUGAUUGCCGGUCGAGGAAGCGGUGUUCUCCAUAUAUGCGUAGUCGGUGGUCGCCUAUGUUUUGCAACGUGCAUGGGUAACUCAUCGCAUGGCGAGGUGAAUGUAGGUGGCCUCGGUUCUGGGUGUCUCGGUAUAGCUGAAUGUUGCUUUGAGGCUGUUGGUUAUUUUUUGGAUAUGGUUUUCUUACUUUAUGGUUGUUAUGCUCCAACCAUAGAGGAGAGUUUCUUUUGUGGAUUUGUGAAUGAUAUAUGAAGUCCACUUCUGGUGUCUGUAUAUGGGUUGGGUUACCCCUGAAGUAUCCCUUUUAUUUUAUUUAUUCAUUGCUGAUAAAAAAAAAAGUUACUAAAAAAAAUCUUUUAGCGAUCACUAAAUUCGAUCAUUAAAAGUACGGUCCCUAAACAUAUUUGCAACCAAAACCGUCACCAAAUAAACAUAUGCUAGAUAUAUAUAGAUAUAUCUUAUAUAGAUAUAUAUUUUCGGUUAUUAAAUUCGAUGACUAAAUUAUUAUUUUCUUGUGGUGUUAUAUCAGAAAAAUUAUCUAAUCACAAUUCCAAACCAAUAAUAUUUUGUUAAUUUUUAGAAUGAUUAUUUUAAAAUGAUAUCAAAGCGGAUGAAAUUUCAUUCUUUGACUAUUAACCUUGCCUUUAUAUUUUAUUUAUAUCUUUUUUAUAAGAAAAUGAUGAAAAAUGAUAAGAAGAAGAGAUGUUUCUUAUUCUCUUAUGUGUAUACAUUACUUUCAUGUAUAGAAAAUAUAUAGGGAGUUUCUUUCUCCAAAUUACAAUCUAAUUAGGUAGGAUAUUAAUAAUGAGAUUCUAUCAUUAUUAAAUUAAUUGCAUAUAAUUAGGUAUAAUAUCGUACAAUAUUGCAUACAAUAAUUGCAUAUAAUUUGAUAAUUAUUAUUUCCUUAAUACUCCCCACAAGUUGGUAGGUGAAGAUCAUGAACCCCAACUUGUGUCGUAGCGUCAAAAACUCGUUCCUUACCCAGUGCCUUUGUAAAAAAUAUAUGCGAGUUGAUAUUGUGUUAGUACAUAUGAAUGACUGAUUAUUCUAGCUUGUAAUUUUUCUCGCACAAUGUGACAGUCUAUCUCAAUGUGUUUUGUGCGUUCAUGAAAUACUGGGUUUGUUGCUAUAUGUAAUGCCGCUUGAUUGUCACAGAAAAGUUGAGCUGGCAAGUUACAUGACACCUUUAAAUUCUGCAAAAGAUAUCGCAGUCAAACUAUCUUCAAACAAGUAUUGGCCAUCGCGCGGUAUUCUGCUUCCGUUGAUGAUCUUGAUACGUUUGUCUGUUUUUUUAACUUCCAUGAGAUAAUAGAAGAACCAAGAAAAAUGCAAUAUCUAGAUACUGAUAUCCGAGUUGUCUGACAACCUCCCCAGUCUGAGUCGCAAUAAGCUUUCAUGUCAGAUUGUUUUCGGAUAGCAAUAAAAAUCCUUGUCCUGGUGAUCCUUUGAUGUACUGUAGGACUCGAAUUGCGGCAUCCCAAUGAGGUUUCCAUGGAUCCUGUAUAUAUUGACUUAGGGUUCGAACCGAAAAGGCUAUGUCAAGCCGAGUAACCGUGAGGUAUAUCAGUCGUCCCAGGAGGUCGCCUGUAUUUGACUGUUUCCUUUAAUAACUCUCCAUCGUCUGGUGUGAGUUUUAGGUAUUGCUCCAUUGGAAAUUUGUCUGGACGAGCACCUGUGAGUCCCGUAUCCUGCAAAAUAUCAAACACAUAUUUUCUUUGGGACAUGUAAAUACUAGCUUUGGAACGGGAAAAUUCAAUCCCUAGAAAAUAUUUUAGGUCUCCAAGAUCUUUAAUGCGAAAUUGUUGUAAUAGACAAUCUUUAACACGCUGAAUUUCUGUCAAAUCAUUUCCUGUCAAAAGAAUAUCAUCCACAUAAAUCAAAAGGGCAGUAAAUGAUGAGUUAUUAUGUCUUGUGAAUAGAGAGUAAUAUGUCUUGAACUGUUGAAAUCCUACAUAUUUAAUCACAUGAGAAAAUGUUGAAAACCAUGUUCGAGAUGCUUGUUUGAGACCAUAAAGGGAUUUGUUGAGUCGACAUACAAUGUUCUCCCUCUGUCGAUGAUGCCUGAGUGACAAGUCCAUGUAAAUAAUUUCAUGUAAUGUGUCAUGUAAGAAGGCAUUUUGCACAUCUAGCUGGUGAGUAAACCAAUUUUUGGUUGCUGCAAUGGUGAGGAGACACCUCAAAGUUGUUAGUUUUACUGUUGGUGAAAAAGUUUCAGAAUAGUUGACACCUACAAUUUGAGUGUACCCCUUUGCGACAAGGCGCACCUUAUAUCUGUCGACGCUACCAUCUGAGUUGUACUUUAUUUUAUAGACCCAUUUGCAUCCGAUGGGUUUCUGCCCAGCGGGUAACGAUGUCAAGGUCCACGUUUGAUUUAGCUGCAAGGUGGAAAGCUCUUCGUCCAUUGCUUUUUGCCAAUUUGGAUCAAUGAUAGCUUGAUCAUAAGUGUGAGAUUAUUCGGUGGUUGUGAUGUUAGGAUACCUGGUUUCAUUCGGUCGGUCUUAGGCAGUGAUCGAAUGAUUGGCUUGGGAUCCCAUUACGUAGUCUUGAAGCUAGGAAUGUGAGGUUGAUGUGCGACUGGAUCGUCGAAGAGGAAGGUCGGUUGGAGAAGGUUUGGUAAUGGGUGCAAGAUUUCUUGGCAUGGGAGAAGAAGGUUGGUCUACUGGAGGUUCAGGUGUAUUAUGACGAGUAGGAAAAGAAGGUUGGUUUGAUGGAGGUUCAGGUGCAUCGUGUCGAGUAGAAGAAUAGAGUUGAUUUGAUGGAGGUUCAGGUGUAUUGUGAUGAGUAGGAAAAGAAGGUUGGUUUGAUGGAGGUUCAGGUGCAUUGUGAUGAGUAAGAGAAGAAGGUUGAUCAAGUGAAUGUUGGACAGGAGUGGGUAAGUCAAUGUCAAUAGUGGGCAAAAUACAUUGUAAUGGAGGUGAUGAUAGUGCCUGUGACUGUUGGCAGAAUGAGAAAACAUUUUCAUGCAAGAUGACAUCCCGACUUGUAAAAAAAGUGUCUGCAUCUAUAUCAAAUAAUUUGUAUGCUUUUUGACUAUGAGGAUAACCAAUGAAGAUGCAUUGUCGGGCGUGCGGAUCAAAUUUUUGCUUAGGUGAAACAACAGUUGCGUAACAGAGGCAACCAAAAGUUUUUAGGUGAGAAAGUGAAGGUGGUUGAUUAUAUAGUAGCUCAAAAGGUGAUUUAUUUUUUAGUAAAAGUGAUGGCAAGCGAUUAAUGAUAUAUGUGGCGGUUAAAACACAUUCUCCCCAAAAUUCUAAUGGUAAAUUGGACUGAAAUAGGAGGGCUCGUGUUGUGUUUAAAACGUGUUUAUGUUUGCGUUCUACUACUCCAUUUUGUUAAGGAGUGUAGACGCAAGUGCAUUAACAUUCAAUACCUUUUUUGAGAAAAAAAUCAUACAUUGAAAUAAAUUUCAAUCCGUUGUAAAUGCAGAUGGUUUUAAUAGAUGCCUAAAAUUGAUUGUGCAAAUGUAAUGAAUGAUUCUAAGAGAUGUUGGGUUUUAGAUUUGUCAUUCAUAAGAAAUAGUCAAGUACAUCUAGAAUAUGAGAAAAAAACGUUUUCUGAGUUGGAGUUUUAUGAGGACCCCAAAUGUCACAAUGCAAUAGAUUAAAUGGAGAAUGAGAUUUUAUUGUGCUUAAAGGAAAGGGUAGCCUUGUCUGUUUAGCUUUGGGAUAAAUACUAUAAUUAUGAAUGAGAAUGAGAUUUUUGGUAGUAAGGAAGAUGCAAGUUGUAGACACGUCGGAGAAGGAUGUCUGAGGUGCUUGUGCCAUAAAUCAGGUUCGGUCGAUAUUUGAUAUGCGUGGGCUUGGUUUGGAAGAGGGGACAUGUUUACUCGAGCCAAUCAUCCUCCCUGUAGCCAAGCCCUGUAAAAACGCAACCAUGUGGAUUAAAAACGACACAACAAUUUAGUGAAUUGGUUAUCUUACUAAUGGACACAAAGAACACAAAGAACAUCUUUGAGAGUGAUUUGUCAUUGAAUUUAAUUGUGCCUAUAGAUGAGAUGGACGCAGUUGAGUCUGUGGGCAAAUUAACAUUUGAAAUAUAUGAUGAUGAAGUGUGUGUGAAAAAUUGUGAAUCAGAUGCAAUGUGAUCGGUUGCUCCGCUAUCUAAUAUCCAUGGUUUCGUAAAAGCAGAAUUAGAAGAGGAGUUAUGGGCAAGCAGACCUGCAGAGCUAACAAACGUGUCACUUUUACCGUUAUUGUUGAACGAGUAAAUAGCCUUUGUCAAUUGCUGAAUUUGCUCGGCACUGAAGCCUUGUACGAUGAGGUUUCUAUCGGUCGUUACUGAUGUCUUUUUUGCCAGACAUGAUUUUUUUAUUUAGGAGAUAAAAAUGGAGAGGUUGUCAGGCACCAAGAUCGGUGUUUUGAUAUCAUAUAAGAAAAUGAUGAAUAGAAUAAUUGUAGGAAGAAGAGGAUGUGUAUGAAGUUUCUAUCUCCAAAUUACAAUGAGAUUCUAUCAUUAUUAAAUUAAAUUAAUUGCAUAUAAUUGGGUACAAUAUCGUACAAUAUUGCAUACAAUAAUUACAUAUAAUUUAAUAAUUAUUAUUUUCUUAAUAUUUUUCUCCUUCUUCUCCUCCAUAUAAAUUACAUAUCAUUUCAAUUUAGACUUUUUUUUUAAAUUCAAUGCUAUCUCUCUUUUACGUUAAAUCAAACCCAUGACAAGAUUUUUUUAGAGAAUUAAAUGAACAUUUUAAAAAUAUAAAAAUGAAAAAUGAAUUUUGAAAAUUGAUAUGACAACUUUAGGAUUUUAAGUCAGUAAUUUCUAGAUAGUUCAUUCGUACUUUCUCUGCUCUCUUUUUAUAUAAUUUAUUGUCAGUUCUCUCUAGUAGUAGUGUAGUCUCUUUUUUAGUUAAGGUUAGUUUCUGUUAUUAUUUUUUAUUAAAAAAAUAAUUAAUUAUUAUAUUAAUUAAAUUAGAUGCUAAAAUUAAAAAAAUUAUUAAUAUUUAAAUUAAUUUUUAAAUUGAUAUCUAGUUAUAUUUAUUAAAUUAGAUAUUAAUUUAAAAAUUAUUUAUCAAUAAUAUAAAUUAAUUUAAAUUUAUAAUUUUUAAAAUAAAAUUUAAUUUAAUCAAUAUAACAAUUAUUUUUUUUAUAAAAUUUAUUUUUAUUUAAUAAUUUUCGUAUUUUUUUUGAGUAAUUAUCAUAUCAGUUAUUAAUUAUACUAUAUGUAAUUUUCUCGUGAUAUUGAAGUAAUUGUAAUCUAUCAUUUUAAAAUGUCUAUCACAAAUUAUGGGUAGCGGGAACACAGGCACGUCAGUGACUGUGUAUCCGCAUUUUUUAUUUCUGUAGUAUUUUUUUUAUUUUUCAAAAACAAUUUCUCUUAAUAACAUUAAAAUGAGAAGUUAAAGAGUAGUGGAGAGAGUGGGAAGUAGAUACUAUAUAGGAGAGAGAAAGUGGGAAGUAGGAUAGGUGGGUUAUGUGUAGUGGAGAAUCAUAAAAUCGGUUUCUUAAAUCAAUUUUAAUAAAAAAAAAUAUCAGUUUAAAUUAGAAAAGUAACGUAUCAAAUCUUCACUCUCCUGCUAAAGUGGUCCACAAAAUAAUCAAUCUCUUCAUUUUCUCCACUCUCCCAGUUAAAUAAUAACAAAUAAAAUAAAUUUUAAAAUUAUUUUAUUAAUUUUUGAAAUUAUAAAAUGUUCAAAUAACCAAAAUGGAAAAAAAAAUGACACAAAAUAGAAAAACAAAUUAAGAACAAUUAAGAGGGCAAUCCUUUAGGUAUAAGUAUAGAUGAUAGUCCAAUGAUAUUCCACUAACUGUCCCACAUUCGGAACUGAUCAUAAAUAAAUAAUAAAGUAAAAUGAAUUUAACUUUUUUACAUGAAAAUAAAAAAGUGUUAACCAUUAGUAAGCGAAAGUUCCACACAGGAGGCCUUAAUUAGAAUAAUGAAGGUUUGAUAUGAUAUGAGAAUGGGUUAACUAUCCGCGGCGCAAUCUGCGACCACACUUUUCACUCAUCUUUUUCGUAUGUCCCACACUCAUCAUUUUACUUUCACUCUCCUCUAUUUUUCUCCUACAUUUCUCACUCAACUUUCUUAACGAUCAAGGUUUGGGUGUACAAACAAACUUCUGAAUUUGGAUUCAAGUUUCCUGUAAAAUUACUCUAACUUCAAAUUUAUUUCACUUAAAACUGAGUGUAUAAAAAUAGUUUACAAGUGAGUCUAAUAGGCUGUCCACAAAUUUCACAAAUCCCUUCCCACUUGCUUCCUAUCCUUUUAAACUUUAGGUUUAAUCGUAAACAGAUCCUCCUUUCACUUAUUCCAAAAUAGAUUUGAACUUUGGCCCAUAGUACAUUUAUCGAUACGCAAAAAAACUAGCUUUUGACCGCUUCAACAGUAAAUUUUAUGUACUACACACAUUUUCUAUUUUGGUUCAGACGUAGCUUCCAUUACUUACACAAUGGGCUACUAAUGCCUCCAUAAGCAUGCUCUGGGUGGGACCCUCAAUUCAUCAGUGAGUUACGCUCAAUUAACACCUAUAAAUUAAAAUAUGAAAUUUCAUAUUUAUUCAAAAUAUAUUUUAAUUUGAAGUUAAAAUUAUUUUGAAUAAUAAUACUAGAUUGGAUUAAUUUUUUUUAUGUUUUAGCUCCGAAACUACUAACCGUUUUGAAGUUUGAAAAGAAUUUAUUCAAACAUAUAUAUUGUACAACAAGUAUAAUAGUAUAUGCUACAAGUUUGCAUAUAAUAAAAUGUACAACAAUCGUGUUCCUUUUACUAUAUUGCUCAUAACUUCAUUGCAACCUAAAUAAUCACUCAUGUAAAGAAUAAAUAACUCAAACGAAAAAAACUGUUUAGGUUUCCCAAACCAAUAUACACCGAAUAUGAAGAAUUAAAAGACUGCUCAGACAUUCAUCAAAGUAUUAAAAAAAUCAAUUUCUAACACAAAGAAUUGCUCCUAUACACUUUUCUACAGGCUGUAAGCAAGGUGACCAAAUUUAUGAAGCAGGUAUGAUAAGCUAAUUCAGCUUGAUUUAUUCAGAGCUGAUUCAUUUGAAGAAGUGUGAUUAUCUUCAACUGCUAUAUAAUUUAACUAAUUUUUCUAACAACUCGUGGUUGUUGCCUGGAAUUUCUUUAACCCUUGAUCCAUUCUUGUAUAUUUUAAAGGCUGGGAUGCAGUUCACACCUUCUGAUUUUGCCAAGUAGGGGUGGUCUUCAAUCUCCACCUGAAAAUGUAAAUCAAUUAUAAGUAUGAGACAAUGUAAUUCUUUUUUCAAUUCACCAUAUAGGCAUUUGGUUUUGUAAAACUUUGUUUUGCUCCUACAUAAAGAUGCUAUGCUGUUUUCUCACAUGCUUGUCCAUGUUAAUACCACCCUAACAGUCCUUUAGAGAGUUCAAGAAUUUCUAUUUCAAUCUUUCAGUGAACAAUACCACAAACUGCAAGGCCUAGAGCAUUCAAAAUUACCAACCUUAAGAAAAUUAACCGAUGGAAAUCUCUUGCAGGUUUGCUCCAACACCAACAAUACUUGUUUGUGGGUUGCCUUGUUGCAAAAGAGCACCACAGACAUCCCUGUUCAAAUUUUCCACAUCUGAUCAGAAUUUGUUAUUUGUAAGGCCAAAUACAAUUACAUAAAAGACGCAGUCAAAAGUGACUUACCAGGUGAUGUUACGUAGUGUCUGAACCGGUCAUUGGUUGAGAUGAAAAACAAAUUUGAACCAAAUUUCAAGUCCUUAAUAUCUUCUCCACGCAGCAUCUUGAGCUGAAGCUGAGUCUCAAACAGAGCUCUGGCCACCUCCUCAUCCCCUGGCUUUUCUCUUAAUAGCAUUUCAUAGUCUUGAAUCGCAGCUUCCCAUCGCUCCAACUAUUAUAUGUCCAAAAAAAUAAUUAUUAACUGAAAACAAGUAUAAUAGUAUAUGCUACAAACAAGUUAGUAUUGAAGUAGAUAUUAAAGCACCUUGGCAUUACAAUCUGCCCUUCUCAACCUUGCCUUGCUAUAACUAGGCUGAACUAUAAGUGCUACGUUGCAAUCUUCAAUUGCUUUCUCAAAUUGACCUAGCUUAGAACGACAUGCUGCCCUAUUGCAUAGAAGAACUGAGUUGUAUGGAUCAUGCUCUAGUCCUUCAUUGUAUACAGCGCAUGCUUCCGUCAAUUUUGAUGCCUUGAAGAGUAAGUUACCACUCAUUCUGGCUGAUGUCACUGCUCUGGCUUUCCUCACCACUGCAUUCACCUCAAAGUUACUUGGAUCUAGUUUAGCUGCUUGCUGAGAUGUCCUUACAGCAUCCUCAAACCUGUCGGCACACAAAGAACCAAUAUAACUUAGGGUCAUUUACUCAUUACUAGUUAGACUCAAUAUAUUACGUAUUAUCAUUCAAUACAAACAACUAAUAGCAGGGAGAAAUAACGAUUUUCUCUGACCUUUUGGCAUCUAACAUAUAAUAUUUGUUCAAGUGAGAUUGGACUAUAAACACAAAGUACCAACUAUAUAGUCACCGUUAUCACACAAACUUUAUAAAAUAAAUUAAAAAAAUGGAAAACCCAAUUGUUGGCACUUCUCACUAUUUAGCCUGCUUUUAGAUGUUCAUAGGUCCCUUAUUUUUUAAAAUUAGCAUGUUUGCUUACAUAUCAUGUAAAAUACAGAAAUCAUGAUUGAAUAAUAAGAUAAUCGUCAUCAAAAUAAAACACUUCCACCAACCUGCCGGCUGCCAAGUAAAUUUGCGCAGCUAUCAUCAUGAGGUAAGCACUACGAGCUGGGCCGAAUAUUUUCUUACAACUAUCAAGGUCAAAUUUUGGCAUUUUCUCGUAGGUAGCGUAUGCCUCUUGAUGUCUUAGGAGCUUCAGCAAGGCUUCAGUUUGUAAACAAUAGACCUGAUAUGCAUAGUCAUUUUUCAAUCAGCAUAAGGCAUACCACAGCCGUUUAUUCAUCAAUCAAUCACUAUAGAACCUUUUAUGUUAAAACAAAGUGGAAAACAUUACAUGAAAUUCGAAAUCAAGGGUAAGAAAACGUUGUUGUACAAAAUGUUUAGGCGUUGGAAAGAAACCUAAAAAAAAUGUGAAACCAAGGAAACUAACCUGUGGAGCUGAAUCAGCACCUAAAGAUACUGCAGCCUGUGUUUCCUUUAAUAUAGCUUUCCAGUCUUUGGCUUUCCGAGCUUCAGUGCAUUUGGUAAGGUGAUUUUGAAGAGCCUGCGCUUGUAAAGUGAGAACGGAAUCAACACAUGGGCUUGUUUCAUUGCAAUUCAGUGCCUUUUCUGCUUCUCCCAGUCUGCAAUCAAAUUAUCAAUUCUGUAAGGAAAAGUAAUAAAUAAUAAAACAAACACCACGGCAUCUAGAGUUCUUUUGUUUACAUUAGUCCAUGGAAAAUUGAAUGAAGCAUAUUACCAACACCAUCAUCAUUAUUAUCUUUUGAGUACCUGAAAUAAAUUGUUGCCAAACGGUCGUGGGCUCUGCCAUAAGAAGGCUCCAAUCUGAUAGCUUCCUCGCACUCGACAAUUGCCUGCAGAAACCUUCCCAACCCCAUCAAAGCUGCGCUCUUAUUGCAAUGAUAGGUUGCCUUAUUGGAGUCAAGAGCAAUGGCUCUGUCAUACAAAACCAAAGCCUCUUCAAAUCUUCCUAGCUUGUAGGCUUCAUUCCCCAUCGACUUCAUCUCCUCCGGGUCCGCUCUGCUGUUCCUUGGACUUCGAAAUUGCGCAAGCUCAUUGCUGUUCUUCCUCAUGAUAUUCCCCAUCACGCCUUUGUUGCCGUUACUACUGUAAGCAGAGGAACCGGACUUGAAGUUCGACUCCUUGCUCUUGGUAACACUAGUUCGGGGGCUGCUAUUCACAAGCAAAUUCCCAGUUAUUGGUAACACAAAUUCUUUGGCUGGGGAUUUGGUCUCGUUGUUCUGAUGAUGACUAGCACUUGUACUUAUCCUAGCAAGUUCCAGAGAAUUACCAGAGUUCUCUUUCUGUUGCUUACUCUCGUCAUUUGGGUCAUGGGCUUGUCGAAUUGAGGUUCUUGCAGCGUCUGAGGGUCUCUCAUUUGGAGUGUUUCGGUAUGCAGAAGGUGCACGGUGACUAGAGCUACUCUUUCUCGCAGGAUUCUGCUCCCCCUUCAGUGUAGGAUUGAUUCCAAUGGCGCUAUCCCGUGGAACCUUUGGUUCAUGGUUUAGAGGGGAUUUGAGCUCGUUUUUAGCCUGCUCUCUCUGUUGUGCAGUGUUGCAAGCCUUCAUGGGUAGUGAAUGAACAGAGGAUUUUCUUGGCCUGUUAUUGGUUUUGAGGUGGAAAAUUUUCCCCACCAAACCGCAACCCACAUCAAAGUCCACCCUGUCCUUGGUUUUCCCUUCCAUGCUUGAAGAUGAUUCUGAAUAGAGCAAAUACGAGUUUCACAGAAAGAAGUGAACGUAUGCAAAGAAGCUGAGAGAAAUUUGAGAAAGGUUAUGAAAAUGAAACAAUCAAGUAGUGGCUUGCUUGAAUACGAUGGAGUUUAUGUAAGACGUGUCGUUUGCGGGUGGAUAUAUAUAAAGGUGUAGAAGCCUUCAAGAGUGGCUUCCAAGAAACCUACUUGAGCUCUUUUUGAGUCUUUGGAGAAACAAUGCCAAGUGUUGUCGAUUCAAAAGAAUAGUAACUCACGCAUGAAUUUGUAUCAUUACAAUCUUCUUCAUGCUUUCUUCAAUUGCUAUAAAAAAAUAUAAACCCACAAAUUUUAGCUUAGAUCUCCUGUUCUUAACAGGAUAUGAUCCUGCCACAAAAAUAGCCAAAUAUAAUUUUUAACCAUAAAAAAGUACACCUCGUGAUUAAUUAUCGUGGCUUCUACGCCCCAAAAUUGUGAAUUAAAGAGGGUUCUUUUAACAAGUUCAUAAAACAUAUGGAAAGAAAUUAAAAAAAAAAACAAUGUUGAGAUUUAUCAGUGUAGAAUGUUUGAUGUAGCAUUUGAGUUACAAAUUUACAUCUAGGGAUGGAUGAAAAAUAAUUUGAGAAAUUUUAGCAUUCCCUCAAACUUUUAGCACAAGCUUCUGAAGAGAAUUAAAAAAGAAAAUGUGCGGAGAGGAAAAGAGAGCUUAAAAAUUUACAGCUCACGGUAUUGCAAUCCGCGGGAUUUAAAUGGUAUGGUUGGUCCAUAAUUACUGGCCUAUUUUAACACAAAGCAGUAACUUUUAAUGACCACGUAAGUAUAUGUGUGUGAUGUCACAAAUGCAGAAAACUAUUAUUGUAUUUUGUAGAGUUAAUUUGACUUCCAUUGUCUGUUAGAAUCAAUUGGUUAAAAUGUACCCUCAAUCCAUCUCAAGGGCCCACCCUAAAUUGAUUUAAUUCUAAUUUAAGAGCAAAACUUUAUUGGAUCAUAAUAAUUGAGUCUAAUACCGCUAUCAUUAGGACCAAAUAGAAGUAAACACAUUUGACGUUUUAUAUUAGGAUCCAUAGAAAUAUAUAAUUAAUCGUCUUAUCAAGUACCGGUAGCACCUUAUUUUCUUUCCACCUUCUCUCAUAUAAAAACAAAUACCUAGUAUUUCCUGCGUCUAUUGUAACUAAUCUGGAUAAAUAAAUUAUUUAUUGUUAUGAAACAAAUCAAAAUUUAAUAUAACUAUGAAAAUAAAAUCAAAACUUACGGUUUAGAGGAAAAAAUAAAAAUUGAUAUAAAAUGAAACUAUAAAAAAAUAGAUAAUAGCGGAACCAUUUGCCAUAAAAAAACAAAGAAUCGAGAAAAUGAUUGAACGAUAUGUAACAAGUUUUACAUUUAAGUACCCCAUCUCGCCUUUUUGGAUUAUAUAUUAUAAAUUUUGGAAGUUAAAUUUCUUUUUAAUAAUUAAGAUAUUGACACGUCGGUUUUCAAUUAAAAAAAAGUGAGUGCAAAUAAUCUAAUACAAUGUCUUGGAUCGGUUAAUGUUUGAAAUAAACGGUAAUGCAUCAAAACUUAAUAGAAUUAUAGUAUAGAUAGGUUUAUUCAAUUCAAUAUUCUUCUAACAAAUUCAAUUAUAAUCAUGUUUAAAAAAAAUUCAUGUCUUGUAUUAAAAGAAUGUUAAUUAUAAAAAUAAAUGAAAAUGAGUUCUAUCGUUGAAAUUAAAAUAAAUAAGAAUAAUGAAUUAGAAAAUAGAUUCAUUCUCGAGUUCAUUUAUUUUUAAAUUAUUCAUUAAUUAUCAUAUAAUUAUCAUUCAUUAAAUGUUAAUCAAAUUUAAUUAAUAAAAUAAAUAUCAACAAAUUCAUUUAAUUAAUACCUCACUCGUCUUCAAGUAUCUAUUCAUGAGAUUUGUAGUCUUUUACAUCUUGAAUUAAGAAAAAAAUACAUUUUUUAUAAUAAAGAAAAAUAAACAAGAAUUCUAAUUAAAUAACAUAAUUGAAUUAUCAACGGGUGUUCAAAAAAUAAUUCAAAUAACAAAAAUUAUAAUUAAAAAAAAAAUCAUAACGUUUAGCAUAAAUGGUUACAGAAAUUUAAGAACAAAAUUAAAUUGAGCAAAACCUUAUAAUUUAACGUGAAAUUACAAGAGAAUCAACUAAAAAAAAGUUUAAUCUUUCAUGUGGAUGACAAAAGGAAGAUUACAAGAGAAGAAAGUAGAAAACUAAGAAAAACAUUCAAGCAAUGAUAAAAUGUCUCUAAGAAAUGCCCUUCUCCUCUUUAUGUAUCCAUUUGUAAAUUUUUUUUCUUUAUAAUUUUCAUAUUGUGAUUAAGUUUCAAAUAUUGUUUUUAAUAUACUUUUUAUCAGAUUUUCUUUGUGUGAAUUUGUUUCCAAUAUUUUUUUUUUGAUAUUGUAGAUUUGAUUCUUCAAUUUAUUUCUCAAAAUUUUACUUUUAGGUUUCAUGAUUUUUUAGUCUACCAUGUCGAUGGCAAGAAUACUUUCUCAUAAGAUAAGAUUGUCUAUUGUGUCAAGAAUUAGACCAUUUGCUUAUGAAAAAUUUGAGAUUAAUCAAUAAUUACAUUUAAAAUUCAAAUAAAUCUGAUUAAGUAAAUUCCAAUAAAAUUAUUCAUAGUUAUAGGCCAAAAAGACUAAAAUUAAAUGCUCUGAGUGUGAGUAGAAAUCUGUUAAUAAUAUAUAUAUAUAUAUAUAUAUAUAUAUAAUCCAAAAAAAUUAAUAAGAAAACUGUUGAAAGUCCUUAAAAUUGCUGUGGUUUAAGUAGUUUGUUAGUUACUCUCAUUGAAGUGGAACCAUAAUAAAAAACGAUGGAGGAGAUGGCUCUUCUUUGUUUUAAAAUUGAAUAAAUUAAUUUUAAAUUAUUAAACACGAUUGAUAAAUGUACUUAAACUAUUUUCAAACAUAAAUUUGCAUCUAAACACUUUUAUUAAAAAUUGAAUGAAUUAAUUAAUUUUCUGACUAUUGAGACAGUCUUAGGCGCCUUACUAGAAUUGAAAAUUUAGAUUAGCUUUAUCGAAACUUUUAUCUCUUCCCCUGGAUCACAAGUUUCGAAUCCUAAAACAUCCACUGUUUCAAUUAUGUUUUGUAAAAUAAUAGUAGUGAAAUAAAUAGUAGUGUUGUGGUUUCCUUUUAGUUAUUCGAGAACCAUGCUGAUGUUUAAAAAUCACUAAUGAUUAAGGAUUUGUCCUAACGCUGAAAUAGAAAGAACCUUACUUUAAUAACCAUAUUAAAAGAAUCGCAUGUCUGUCCCAUAAAAAAUUAUAUCUAUUAUGGUUUUUAAUGUACUGAAUGCGUGUUUGGUUCAAAGUUGUGAAACAAUUUAUCCAUAACAAACUAAAACUAUCAUAAACAACUACUAAAAUGUUCAUGUGACUUCAAUAUAAAAACUGACGACAUCAAUCUAAAUACACGAAUAAUUUAAAGGAAGAAUAAUCAGUUGUGUCUCCACAUGUGUUUUUUUAAACAAUGAUCUCAUAACUAUUUUUUUUAACACUUAACUGAUCACCUUCUAUGAAAUAUCUUUUCUCAGCAUUUUCAUAUUCAAGAUUCGAAUUUAAAAAUAUUUGGGUCAUAAAUAGAAUAUAAGGUUAUUACUUACAUUUUAUAAGAUCUCUCUGAAAUUUAACACCAAAAUGUUUUAAAUAAGACUCUAAGUUAUAAGAAUUAUUAUUUUGUUUAGAAAUAUAUAUUUAUGUAAAAAAUAAAACAAAAUAUUAAUUAGAGUAUUAGAGAUCAUCUUCAAAAGUACAAAAUUGAAUGUUUAAUCGAUAAUCUCUAUUUAAUUCUCUAUUAAAUUGAUUAAAAUAAAUUAAACUGGUAGAGAAAACUUAUGUGUGGUCUACGUUUGGUAGGUAUAUUUAUAUACACUGACUUUGAAACAGUCACAGUGUAGAUGCUGGUAGCUAUGAAACUUAAAUUUGAAGCAUGAAAAACUUGGGUGUAAACUAUUACACAAUUGUGUGCAUUUGACAUACCUUUGUGUUUUUUUUUCUCUGGUUAGAAGACAUAUAUAAUCAUGUGUUAUAUAUACUAAUAGACGAAAUUAAAAAUACGUUUACGUGUAAGUUGGGGGACAAACCUUUUUGACCACAAAUAAAGCAUUGAAAAGCAAAUAUAAGAUUCUCGUAAUCACGGAAAACAAUUAAUUUGUUAGCAUACUAAAGUGAGUCUUUUCAAUUGUUGUGAAAAAAAUAGCAUCGCCAUCCAUUUGAAAAUGUGGGUUAGUUGUGGGUAGAAUAUAUAUUGAAUUGAUAUAAUGGACACGUUGGCGAAACCAUCAAAUAUGAUUGCACAUUUGUAUCUUUCCUCGGAGGGUAAGAAUCGAUGAGAAACUUUGUUAUAAUAGCUGGUAACAACUUCCCCUAUUGAAAAGAAAAGAAAAGAAAAGGGUCUAGGUUUGGUAACAUCGCUGAAUAUGAUGGCUGUUUUGAUUUGUUGCCAAGGCACAACUACAGAGCCCUUUCCCAAAUUCAACUUUUACACACAUUCAUUCAUUCUUGUUUAAUCUAUUGCAUAAUAACUUUUCUUUUUCUUUCCAUUGAAUUUGGCAAGCAACAAAUAAAUUUUGUUUGGCCUCAAGACCCCACCAAAAUAUAUAGGAGGAAGAGGGCCUGAAGUUGCAUCCACAUAAACUAUUUUGGUUACUUUUGCUCCUAACUAUUCCAUUUUGGUGGUUGGUGAGGAUUCUUGUUGCCUAUUGAUUUUGUGCGAGAUUUAGGCGCGGAGGAGUUCAUUCGUUUUCAUUAGUUAGAAAGUGUUUGGGGCCAUCCAAUUACAGACAAUUCAGAUCUUAUCUGAAGCAAUUUGUCAUACAGUUUACCCACAUCCUGUCCCGUUUACUGUUCGUCGGUGCCGGCUUCUAAAUGCUUGGCACCACCCCGCACCAGACGGCACGCCAUAUAAUUCAACAUUCUACAUGCACUAUAGCUAAAUUCCAACCGUGCAUUAUUUUUUAGGUUCACCAAAUUUCAGACUGUAAUCAUUGUAAGGGCUUCAAAACACUAAAUUAUGGCAUGUUGAAUUAGACUAGAAAGGAACUACAACUGCACCCAACUACACCAAUUCAGAUGGACAUUCCUCUCAAUUUUCUAAAAUUACAAUAAAAUAUAUGAAAAUUUUAAAUAAACUCGUAUGUUAACAUAAAAAGGUAUAAUUAUGCAAAAGAUGUAGCAAAUUUGUUGUUUAUUACUUAAUUUGAUAUAUUGGCCACGUACGUUCUAACUUUUAUAUAUUGGCUACGUAUGUUUGGGGAGUGAUUUGGGUUGGUGUUGUGAGUGGAAUUUGAAGACAUAGGAACUCGGUGACCUUCGAUAGGAAUAGGAGUUUGGUUGUUCCUUAUUUAAGUUGGAAGGUGUUCCUUGGUUGGAAGUGGUAAGGCGCUAACUCUUUAUGUAUAAGGAUUUGACCACCUCUAAAGUGGUUUCCAUUUAUUUAUAUUUUAUUACUGAUAAAAAAAAGGACGAGAUACUUUUUUUAAAAAAAAACAAGAUAUUUCCAUAAUCGCUAUGCAUCAAACUAAUGUUUUGCAUGAAGAGAUGCUCGAUUUUAUCUUUUUCAAUAAUUGGUUAAAAAAGGAUAAAAUAUAUAUAUGAAUAAUACCUAAAAUAAAGCGAUAUUUAAGAGUAUUGUUUUUAAGUUUUAUUCAUUAAUAAAAGGUGCCGGAAUCUGUUACUCAUUUAUCACGCGGCUUGAAUUUAAUUAUUGGUUGACACCAUUGAUGUAAAGAUGAAAGUCAGAAUUGAAUGCUAGAAGAGCUCAUAUAUGCUUUUCAGAAUCUUAUUUCUCAGUUAGUUCUUCUGCUGUUAGGGUAAAAAAUAUGGAAACACGACGAGACAAACUGAUUUUCUCUGAUUCAGUGAAGUGGAAAGAUGAAGUACACGUAUCCCAACAAGGAUCACGUGUGCAUACACUUCAACACAGCAUGUAGUCAAAGUUCUACAACGAUCAGAUAUACAUGUUCUUCUUCAAGAUUUUGUCAUUUGUUUAAAGGAAAAUGAAGGUACAUGCUAUAAAGUUUAUAGUAUCAGUGUUGAAAUUAUAAAUAGAGAGGAGAAACAAUGUGUAGCCAUAGGGCAUAUACGACGAUGAUACGCAAAAAGAAAACGAGAAAUUUGUGGAUAAUUUAGGUUGUUCCUUGUUGUAACCUAACAUAGACGGUAAGCAACAAAACGACACAGGAAUAUUGCAGUGUCGUCGGUGGGCAUGAUAAUAAUUGUGGUGGGUCUGUUUGUGAAAAAAAAGAGGUGUGGGGUAGGAGAAGGAUGGGGGAGGAAAAGACACGAGUGAUUAGAAUAUUUGAAGGUGAAGGUUUUGUAGCCAUUUGUUUACUCUCUCAUACACAGUCAUUGAACCAAUCAACUCACUUAAUGCCUUUCCCAACUCCUUCUAAACCUCUUAAUUCUUCCUCCUAUCUCUUUCUAUAAAUUAAUUCCAAUGACGUGUCAAACACCAAAACCCUAUUAAAUAGAGAGUUAGAAGGUAUUAUCACAAAUUAAAACUCUGAAUUGCAAUAUAAUCAUAAAAAUUUCUGAGCCAUCUUUUCUCUCCUUUGCAUUAUCAUAGAAUUACAAAUAAAAUAAUGCUCGUGUCAGUAUUCACUGUACUAAAUAAUUAAUCAAGACCUGACUCAUCAAGACGUCACUGUGUCUCCAUUAAUAAUCACUAUUAGUUAGAAAACUCCUUAUUAUGUAUGUUUAUGGUAAAUAGAUAUGUUAACGUUGUGGCACUUUUGGGUUUAUUUUGUGGACUAGCUAGAUAGCAAAUAUUAUAAUCAUGUGUGUUACUAAUUAAAUGUUAAAUUACAUAAUUACAUUUAGGAACUACAACUUAAUUUAUAAAUUUUUAAUAAUAAAUUUAAAAUUAAUUUGAGGUUUUCAAAAUUAAAUACAAUGAAAUAAGAAUAGAUCUUUUUUUUUUCAAACCAAUCCAUUCUUUUAGGGUGUGGUUGGAUUAGGGAGGGAUUUGAGGGAGAGGAUUUAGAAUGAUUUGAGAGUAAAGUGAGGUUGUUUGGAUUGGGGUAUAUUAGAGUAGAUUUGUGAGAAAAGUUUAUUGAAGUUUGUAAUGGAUGUGAUAUUGGGAAAGAUUAUUUUAAUUUUUUAAAAUGUAUAAAAUAUAAGUUUACAAAUUUAAUAAAUAAUAAUUUUAAAAAAAAAUUAUUAAAGAAUUUAUUAUAAAAGAAUUUAUUAUAAAAGAAUUUAUUAUAAAAGAAUUUUAAAAUAUAUAUUAGAAUUAAAAUAAUUUAAAAUAAAAAAUUAAUAUUAAAUUAAAUAAAAAUAUACAUUAAUAAUUAAAAUUAAUAUUUUAUUUAUUAUUUAUUUUAUUAUAAUAUGAAAAUUAAUAUUAAUAAUUAAUAAAGAAAUUAUAAAUGUUAUAUAUAUAUAUAUAUAUUAAGAUAUAAUUUACAUACUUAAUUAUAUAAGAAUUAUUAAUUUUAAAAAGAAAAUAGUGCCAUGUCAUCUUUCUUAGCAAAUCUUCUCAUAGAGAAAGAAAGAGAAAAUUUUAAGACAUAAAAAUUACAUCGUUUUUUGUGUUUUUAUUUUUAUUUUUUUUGUUUUUCUAACUUUUUGUGCUCUCCUCCAUUCUCCGCUUUUCCGCACCACGAUACAAACAGACCCUUAAUUUUCACAACAAACAAGUCUUAACAUGAGAUAAUAAAAUGUGUUGUAAGGACGCGUUUUUAUAAAUACAUAUAAGAAGAUUCAAGAUACUUAAAAAAUAAUAUUUUAAUUUUAUAAGAUUCUCUCUCUAUAUAUAUAUAAAAAAAAUUCAUUCUUUAUUUAUUAAAAUUCUUUUUUUCUUUAAAUUUUAUUUUAUAAGUUGGCUAAUUUAUAAUUUAUUCAAAGAGAAUCAUUUCAUUGAUAUAAUAGGCUUCCAUCCAAUUUGUUCUUAGAAUUCUUUAUGAAUAUGUAUAGUCUACCUUUGUAUCGUUUUUGUUAAUAUAUGUGUUUUUGUCUAGUCUCCCAAUAUUUGUGUAUUUUCUUUUUAAUAAUAUUUUUUUCAUAUGAUGACAAAUGAUUGUUGUUACUUGAGGUGUCAAUCUAGCUGAGAUAUCAAGUUGCAUAGUGAUGUCUAACAUGAAAACUUUUAUAAAAAUAAGUGUAAUUUUAUAUUACAAAUAAGUUUUCUAAAGUUUCAAAAAUUUAUUUUAAAAACUCAGCAAAAUAAUCUUGAAUAAUAAGUAUUUCAACAGUAUUUGCAUAUUUUUUAUGAUUAAUGGUAGAUGAUUUAUAAAUUCCUAGUUAUUUUUUAUUACGAGCUCAUACUUCAAAAAACUUGACUUAUUUUGUUUUAGUUUUUGAUAUAUGUAUAUUUUAUGUGCAAUUUUAGUUUUAGUUAUAAUUGUUAAUAUUUAAUUCUCAUAAUUUUGAAAUAUUUUAAAUUAAGGCCUUUAUUUUAAAAUGCAUAUAAUAAUUAAUUCACUGUGAAAGUGAGAAGUGAUAAAGUUAAUUUCUCCUUGCAAUAUGUUCUUGCAAUCUUUAACCAAGAACACACAUGUCUUUGAAGCCUACAUCUGAUAGAUAAUGCAAUUAUUUAGGAUAUAUAAAGCAGUGAUAAACAUUAGUUGUUGUCGAGUUAGGUAACAGUGGCUUGUGACCAAGUUGAGGCAGUAAGGUGAUGGAAGAAGCAAUAUUGGAGUAAGAAGAAGAUAAUGUCUUAUUUAGUGUUUAUUCUCCUUAGAUAUAAUAAACAUAAGUGUAGCUGAAUUGUGAUUCUUGAUUGAUUAUUGAUAUUGUUGUUUUACUUUUAACUUUCCGUGACAAAUUGAGAAUCUUAAAUCUGACCGAGAGGUAUUUUUAGGGUUCGGACCUAAACAUCAAUACUUAGCAUAUUUGAGUGCUAGAGAUAGACUUGAAAUGUUAAUUGUCAUUAACGUCUGAUUGUGAUUUCUAAGUUGUUUUUAUAAGUAUGUGAGAGAUCGAUAUUUAGGAAACAUUCUUAAGAAUUUUAUAUGCGAGAGAUCGAUAUAAAUGAAUUUUCUAUGGGCAUCAAUUUCAAUCAAAGAACUUAAUACUAACAUGCUAAUCAAAAUACAAAAAUACAUGAGAGUGAGAGAGAUGAAACCUAAUCCUUAUUUUUUUUCAAUUGAAGCAACUAAUUCUUUGUUUGUUUUCUUAUUGAUCAAUGUCAACAUAAUCACUUUAAACUCUUCUUUUUAUUGUUUUGUUGUUAUAUUUAACGAGUAUUGUACUCGAUAAUUCACUGUUCCUUGUGGGAUCGAUAUCCGUCCUUAGGGACAAUUAUUACUUUUGACAAACACGGUGCACUUGCCAUAAAAAGUCAUCAGGGGUGUCACAAGAGGGAAACUUUUUGAGAUGGUGUGGUUGAAAGAAUCAAAUCCAGAUUGGGGAGAUGGAAAGGUAGAUGUAUCUCGAUAGCUAGAAGGAUUUGUUUGAUCAAGUCAAUUCUUUUGACUAUCUCGUUGUUCUAUCUUUCUACAUUUAAGUUGCAUGUAGUUGUGUUGAAAAAGAUUGUGAAUCUUCAGAGGAACUUUCUUUGGAGGUGGGGAUCUGAAGAGAGGAAAAUCGCUUGGGCUUCUUGGGAAAAUUAGUUGCUAUAAUGACUAAAUUAUAUAUCAUUUUAGAGACUAAAAUAAUUUUUGGUUUCUAAAUUAGUUUCUAUUAUUGUUAAAUAGUUUCUAAAUUGGUAUCUAAUUAGCUACCAAUGUUUUAACUACCAAUUAUUUAGAUUAUAAAUUUGGUAGCAAAAACUUUGGUAGCUAAUUAGAUACCAAUUUAGAAACUAUUUAACAAUAAUAGAAACUAAUUUAGAAACUACUUUUUAGUCUUUAAAAUAGUUUCUAAUUUAGUCAUUAUAACAACUAAUUUUUUUUUAAUCUCUAAAAUGGGUUCUAUUCAAUGAUUUUAUUGUAGUGUUUAUAUAUAUAAAAAAAUUGAAAGCAUACAAUUCAAAAUAUUAUAUCAAUCAUCUAACCAGAGAAUAUUUAGGAAGGCAUGAUAUAAAAGAUAGAACUUAAUACUAGUAAAUUAGUUGAUUUAUUGCUGAUAAAAAAAUAAAAUAAUUGAUUGCAUAAAGGUAGUCUCCACCACCUAGUAUUGGUCUUCUUCUAUAGUGUAAUUGUUUUCAAUCAAAAAGUUUCUCAUUUUUUUUUCUUUUAAAUUAUCUCUCAUAAAUUAAAUUAGAUCAAACUUAUACUAAUAUAUAAAAAUACAUGUUAUGCAAAAAAUAAUAUUUCCUAACUUAAAAUCUCCUUUCUAAAAUGUUUCCAGAAGCAUAGGACAAUUCACAAUCAUCCUAAUAAUUUUUUUCAAAUUUCCUUUAUUCAUUCUAUUUGAUUAUAACUGUAAUGUUUCUUCUUUAUAUUUCUUUCGAAUCAUAAUUUCUGUUAUUAAAACAUUUGCUUACAAUAAUUUAUCCAAAGUAAACCAAAAGAUAAGGACAAACAUGAUAAANNNNNNNNNNNNNNNNNNNNNNNNNNNNNNNNNNNNNNNNNNNNNNNNNNNNNNNNNNNNNNNNNNNNNNNNNNNNNNNNNNNNNNNNNNNNNNNNNNNNNNNNNNNNNNNNNNNNNNNNNNNNNNNNNNNNNNNNNNNNNNNNNNNNNNNNNNNNNNNNNNNNNNNNNNNNNNNNNNNNNNNNNNNNNNNNNNNNNNNNNNNNNNNNNNNNNNNNNNNNNNNNNNNNNNNNNNNNNNNNNNNNNNNNNNNNNNNNNNNNNNNNNNNNNNNNNNNNNNNNNNNNNNNNNNNNNNNNNNNNNNNNNNNNNNNNNNNNNNNNNNNNNNNNNNNNNNNNNNNNNNNNNNNNNNNNNNNNNNNNNNNNNNNNNNNNNNNNNNNNNNNNNNNNNNNNNNNNNNNNNNNNNNNNNNNNNNNNNNNNNNNNNNNNNNNNNNNNNNNNNNNNNNNNNNNNNNNNNNNNNNNNNNNNNNNNNNNNNNNNNNNNNNNNNNNNNNNNNNNNNNNNNNNNNNNNNNNNNNNNNNNNNNNNNNNNNNNNNNNNNNNNNNNNNNNNNNNNNNNNNNNNNNNNNNNNNNNNNNNNNNNNNNNNNNNNNNNNNNNNNNNNNNNNNNNNNNNNNNNNNNNNNNNNNNNNNNNNNNNNNNNNNNNNNNNNNNNNNNNNNNNNNNNNNNNNNNNNNNNNNNNNNNNNNNNNNNNNNNNNNNNNNNNNNNNNNNNNNNNNNNNNNNNNNNNNNNNNNNNNNNNNNNNNNNNNNNNNNNNNNNNNNNNNNNNNNNNNNNNNNNNNNNNNNNNNNNNNNNNNNNNNNNNNNNNNNNNNNNNNNNNNNNNNNNNNNNNNNNNNNNNNNNNNNNNNNNNNNNNNNNNNNNNNNNNNNNNNNNNNNNNNNNNNNNNNNNNNNNNNNNNNNNNNNNNNNNNNNNNNNNNNNNNNNNNNNNNNNNNNNNNNNNNNNNNNNNNNNNNNNNNNNNNNNNNNNNNNNNNNNNNNNNNNNNNNNNNNNNNNNNNNNNNNNNNNNNNNNNNNNNNNNNNNNNNNNNNNNNNNNNNNNNNNNNNNNNNNNNNNNNNNNNNNNNNNNNNNNNNNNNNNNNNNNNNNNNNNNNNNNNNNNNNNNNNNNNNNNNNNNNNNNNNNNNNNNNNNNNNNNNNNNNNNNNNNNNNNNNNNNNNNNNNNNNNNNNNNNNNNNNNNNNNNNNNNNNNNNNNNNNNNNNNNNNNNNNNNNNNNNNNNNNNNNNNNNNNNNNNNNNNNNNNNNNNNNNNNNNNNNNNNNNNNNNNNNNNNNNNNNNNNNNNNNNNNNNNNNNNNNNNNNNNNNNNNNNNNNNNNNNNNNNNNNNNNNNNNNNNNNNNNNNNNNNNNNNNNNNNNNNNNNNNNNNNNNNNNNNNNNNNNNNNNNNNNNNNNNNNNNNNNNNNNNNNNNNNNNNNNNNNNNNNNNNNNNNNNNNNNNNNNNNNNNNNNNNNNNNNNNNNNNNNNNNNNNNNNNNNNNNNNNNNNNNNNNNNNNNNNNNNNNNNNNNNNNNNNNNNNNNNNNNNNNNNNNNNNNNNNNNNNNNNNNNNNNNNNNNNNNNNNNNNNNNNNNNNNNNNNNNNNNNNNNNNNNNNNNNNNNNNNNNNNNNNNNNNNNNNNNNNNNNNNNNNNNNNNNNNNNNNNNNNNNNNNNNNNNNNNNNNNNNNNNNNNNNNNNNNNNNNNNNNNNNNNNNNNNNNNNNNNNNNNNNNNNNNNNNNNNNNNNNNNNNNNNNNNNNNNNNNNNNNNNNNNNNNNNNNNNNNNNNNNNNNNNNNNNNNNNNNNNNNNNNNNNNNNNNNNNNNNNNNNNNNNNNNNNNNNNNNNNNNNNNNNNNNNNNNNNNNNNNNNNNNNNNNNNNNNNNNNNNNNNNNNNNNNNNNNNNNNNNNNNNNNNNNNNNNNNNNNNNNNNNNNNNNNNNNNNNNNNNNNNNNNNNNNNNNNNNNNNNNNNNNNNNNNNNNNNNNNNNNNNNNNNNNNNNNNNNNNNNNNNNNNNNNNNNNNNNNNNNNNNNNNNNNNNNNNNNNNNNNNNNNNNNNNNNNNNNNNNNNNNNNNNNNNNNNNNNNNNNNNNNNNNNNNNNNNNNNNNNNNNNNNNNNNNNNNNNNNNNNNNNNNNNNNNNNNNNNNNNNNNNNNNNNNNNNNNNNNNNNNNNNNNNNNNNNNNNNNNNNNNNNNNNNNNNNNNNNNNNNNNNNNNNNNNNNNNNNNNNNNNNNNNNNNNNNNNNNNNNNNNNNNNNNNNNNNNNNNNNNNNNNNNNNNNNNNNNNNNNNNNNNNNNNNNNNNNNNNNNNNNNNNNNNNNNNNNNNNNNNNNNNNNNNNNNNNNNNNNNNNNNNNNNNNNNNNNNNNNNNNNNNNNNNNNNNNNNNNNNNNNNNNNNNNNNNNNNNNNNNNNNNNNNNNNNNNNNNNNNNNNNNNNNNNNNNNNNNNNNNNNNNNNNNNNNNNNNNNNNNNNNNNNNNNNNNNNNNNNNNNNNNNNNNNNNNNNNNNNNNNNNNNNNNNNNNNNNNNNNNNNNNNNNNNNNNNNNNNNNNNNNNNNNNNNNNNNNNNNNNNNNNNNNNNNNNNNNNNNNNNNNNNNNNNNNNNNNNNNNNNNNNNNNNNNNNNNNNNNNNNNNNNNNNNNNNNNNNNNNNNNNNNNNNNNNNNNNNNNNNNNNNNNNNNNNNNNNNNNNNNNNNNNNNNNNNNNNNNNNNNNNNNNNNNNNNNNNNNNNNNNNNNNNNNNNNNNNNNNNNNNNNNNNNNNNNNNNNNNNNNNNNNNNNNNNNNNNNNNNNNNNNNNNNNNNNNNNNNNNNNNNNNNNNNNNNNNNNNNNNNNNNNNNNNNNNNNNNNNNNNNNNNNNNNNNNNNNNNNNNNNNNNNNNNNNNNNNNNNNNNNNNNNNNNNNNNNNNNNNNNNNNNNNNNNNNNNNNNNNNNNNNNNNNNNNNNNNNNNNNNNNNNNNNNNNNNNNNNNNNNNNNNNNNNNNNNNNNNNNNNNNNNNNNNNNUUAAAACUUAUAUUAUUUAUAUGUAUCCAGAUAUUUCACAUAAUUAUAAUCCAAACAAUUUUCAAAAUCUGAUUUUGUUUUCUAUUAAAACUUAUAAACUCAAACCCCAAAAUGUUGGUUAACAGUGGUCUAGAACAUAUAUAAUGAUAUUGAUUAGAGUAAGUUUGGGAUUUUUUUUUUGUCAACGUGGGAUGCUAUGUUGCAGAAAGGAUACAGUCAAAUGUAAACGGUCAACGAUGAAUGAAAUGGAAUUUUAAAUUUAAUUAGAGUGCACGAUAAUGGAUAUAAAUCAUUUUUACAUUGUCAUAUAAUUUUUGCAUCCUCAUAUAAUUAUUUAUUAUUGUAUCUAAUAAAAUUUAUAAUAAUUUCUUUAAAAGUUAAACUCAUUCUCCGUUAUAUAAAGUAGGUUUCAGAAUUUGAAGAAUUUGAAGGAGAUGAAUCUAACUUUAGAUACUUUCACUAGUAGAGACCCGUGAUCUUUAUUCAUUAUGACAAUUCAAACACUAUUUCCACAUGUAUAAUAAGCCCAUGUUUGUUUCCAACCACGGAAAGACAGAGGAGCAGAUUUAAGCAGAAAGUACCAAAAAUGAGAUAAUUUCUUUUUCUUUUUGGUAACUUUCUGCUCAAAACAGCGACAAAAGUUUCAAAAAAGCAUACAUAGUUCGAUUACAGGAUAAUCAACUAUGCAUAUAUAUUUUAUUAUAUUUAUUUUAAAAUUAUAAUAUAAUAAAUAUUUUAAAAAAAUAAUAUUAUAAUAGUGAAGAAUAAUUUAAAUUUUAAUAUUUAACAAUUAAUCUAAUAUAAAAAUAAAUUAAUUAUAUAUUUUAUAUUAAUAUAUAAUAAUUAAAUAUUUAUAAAUAUAUUUUAUUGUUAUAGUAAAAUGAACAAUUAAAUUAAAAAAUUAAAAAAUAAUAAAAUAAAAUAUUUUGUUAAUAUAUUUUUUAUAUUAAAACAAUUAAAUAAUUAAAAUGAAAAUAGUAAAAUAUUUAAUAAAAUAAAUAAAUUUUGAUAAUUUGUUUGAAUAUAUUUUUAUUGUAAAAUAUAAUUUUUAUUUAUCAAAAUUUUGUAAUGAUUUUGAAUUUUAAUUUUAAUUUAUAUUUUCAAAACAUAUUUUAACAUUAAAUUAUUUUAUAUAUUAUUUUGUAAAUAUAUUAAUAUGCAAUUAAAUUUAUGCCAUUACAUAAAUCACAUACACAAACUUCAGUAUCACUUCUCAUUCAAAUUAACUCACUCUCUAAAUUCAAACAACUUAAUUCUCAUUUUUUUUACUUCUUUUCUUUUUCUAAUUUUACUCUCCCUUUAAUUGAAAGACACAAUAAGAGUAAUUAGUAAGAAUGUCAAACCACUGAAGUUUCUUUUCUUCCUAUCUUUAAUUUUGAUAUUUGUAAAUGCAACUAAGUAAAUUGUCAUUAUAUUACAAUUCAAAAAUUAUUUAUUAAAAAUCUACAAUAUAUUUAUAUAAUUAAAUAUAUUUUUUAUAUAAUGUACACUUAUGACAUAAUUUUAUACUAAAAAUAUUUAUUUAUAAUAAAUCGUAUUUUACAAAAAAAAAAUUAUCCAGUACAAUAAAAUAAAACUACAAUAGUUAAAGUUUUUUUUAAAAAAAAUUCAUAUUAGGCAUCAAAAAUUAAAAUUAAUUUAAAAAAUAAUAAAGUACUAAAUUGUAAGGUUUAACAUUUGAUACAAAUUAAAACAAACCAACGGCUUAUUUUGAUGAUGUCCAAAAACAAAUUUGUACCCUGUAAAUUAUGAUCACCAUCUAAGCAUGUAUUUUUAAGGAAAAGAUAAAUUUUGAAGGAAAAUAUAUACUUUUUUUCACUUCUACGUAUGUGUUAAAUUAACUAAUAUUUUUCCUAUACAAUAUCGUGGAAGCUUUUAAGAAAAAAAUAUCUGUUUGAAUAGACAAUAAGCCAAGUAUGGAUUACUAGGGGAAUUAGAAAUUGUGUUAUAUUAAAAAAUUGUAUAAAAACUCACACAAUUAAGUGGAGAAAUAGAGAAAGAAGAGAGAUGUAAUCAAAUUUAUUUAUUCAAUACUAGUUUGAGAGGGAAUAAUACAUUUAUGGAAUCUUUAAUCAUUAACAUGAGUAGAAGUCCAACAAUAUUCAGUGAUUAAGUCUAUAAAUGAAAGAGAAAGAGAGUAUUAAUUAAUGUAGAAAUGAGAGAAUUUUUUGGGGGUCUAUAAAAGCUAUUUAUAUUAUUUACUUAUUAUAUGUUAUAUAUAGCCGUGAUUCUUACAUGAUGUAGUGUGAGAAACAGCAUUGAGUAAAUGUUGUGCUAACUUAAUAAAGUUUGGCGUCAGAUUCAGUGUUUCCUAAGUAUAUUGAGAUUAGUGUGACACCAAAAGACCAGAUAAAAAAGUUAAUGAUAAACUAAAAGAUAAUUAAAGCCUAAAAUUUGGGCUAAUGAAUAAGUGCAAUUGGAUUUGCUUGGUAUCGAAGUUGGAAUCGCAAAAAGGAGGAAGAUGGUUAGAUUGGGGUGACAGUUGUAGCCAUGGGGGCAUUGCAUUGAGAUCCAAGUUAGGGUUGAAGGGUUGAGUGGGAAGAGGGUAUAAAAAUAAGCAAGGUAAGGCUUUGGAUUCAAGUCUUCUAAUCUUAUUACAAACUCUACUGUUUGCAGAGACGCACAUGCAAUAUUUUACGUAAAGAAAACCCAGGUGCUCACGUGAUUCAAGCUCACUAAUUGCAAAGCUGCUAUACAUACUUCCACUUUAAGCCUUUGCUGCUGCUUAUGUAUGUAGUUCACUUCAUAUUUCGAUAAACAUUUUCAAUUUUCAAAUAAACAUUAGAUUAGAUUGGACAUUAUAUAAAUAUUCCUAAUCAACUAGUCAAGUGAAAUUAAUUUCUUCUGCUGCAGAAAUGAUGACAACAAUUUCAUCACAUAUUUGUUCUACCAUUAGUGUAUUUUUUUUUUUUGUUACCAUCACUUCCUUUUUCAUUACCUAUGUGUUUUAUAAAUUUUUGUAUCAAUAAAAAGAAUAUAUUUUAAGAGUGUUCUAAUCCUAAUAAAAAGAUAAUACAAUUUUAUAAAUGCAGUUUCUGCACUCAAUUUAUUACACAUAUAUGCUAACAACAUUAGAAAAACUAUAACGGUGCAUAUUGAUACAAAAAUAUUUAACACAUUUAAUAUAGUGCUCUCCUAUACCAACAUGAUAGAUAUAGAAUUCCUGUGAUCAUCCUUAGAAGUUUAUGUAUUAAUCAAACUCCAAGUUGAGUUCUAAAUCCAUCAUUCCUGUAUUUUGUUGACCAAAUUGCUGCACUUGAGACCAUAAACCUUGAAUUGAAGAAAUUAUAUUUACUCAUGUGUCUAACUCAUGGUGUUUGUGUUAUAAGUGGCUUGGAGUGUCGUUUGUAUUUCACAUUGAUCCUAUGUCCAAUUUUGCUCAAUUUAGGUUGAGUCAGACUUCUGACUCGAUUAAUGUUGUGUGGAGUACAAUUUGGGCAGGGGUUGUGAGUGAAAUUUGAAAUCACAAUAAUUUUAUCAUUUUCAAAAGGGGGUGACUGAUGUGUCAAAAGUGUUUGCGUUAAUGCAAGUAAAUGUUUGGUAUUGGAUUUCUGCAAAAUCCCGUUUUGCUUCGUUUUCCUUUUUUGAUUGGUAUUUGAAACCUUUGGCGUGCAUGAGGAUGGUUUCUUGAUGUUUUCAGGUUGUGAUUUUAGUUUAUGCUUUUGUUUGAUUAGGUAGGCGGUUCUAGAGGAUUGAAUCACCCCUGAAAUAGUUCUCAUUUAUUUAUUGUUUAUUGUUGAUAAAAAAAACACCAACCAAUGAACUACAUCGUGCAUACUUAUCUCUCACACUAAGAGAAAACACUCUCACUAUACUUUGGAAGAUAUUUGAAUUACACAUAACAAAGCACUAAUGAUGACAGUUAAUCUCUCAUAUAUUUGCCUCAGAAUAUGAAAACUUAGCAUUACAAAAAACUUAUAAACCAUCUAUUUUUCCUUGUUUAAAGAUAAUCAUGUUUUUACGGUUACAAAUCAUGCUGACAAUAUCUACACGGACACUUUCAAAUUUUAUUUUGUUUCUCAUUCAAAUCCAUUAAAUUAAAAUUUAGAAAAUGUUGCAGCGGGCCAUUAUAGUGAACGAAUUGAGUUGCAACCUAUUACACAGAUGGAAUAAGAUACCUUACAUGUUAAUAGCAGAUGUGAAUCCGUUUUUUGUGCUUGGUUACAUAAUUCACAGAGUAUACCAUGUAUCCCCACCCUACUUACCAAGUCAACCUUUGUUUAUACUCUACCCUUAAUCAACCUCCAUGGCACAUGUGUAGCUGCUGGGGACAAGUUUAUUUUUCAAACUAGGGUAACAACUACAUGUUUAGCACUAGUGCAUUGCUUAUAUGGUUCGCAUAUUUUCAAUCAAGUGAGUUUUUGCAAGGUUUAUUUCUUUGGUUGAGAUGUUUGUUGUUUUAAGUUUAUAAGAAUUAGAUUGGUUAGAAGGGGUUAUGAGGGUCCGUUGUGUUAUGAUUAUUUAUAAGAGUUGAGUCACUAUAAAGUGGUUCAUAUUUAUUUAUUUUUUCUUGUCGUUAAAAAAAGGGUAACAACUACCAUCACUAAAAUAAAAUCAUUAAAUAGUAACUAAAUUUAAACACACAAAAUAGUUAGUCACUCUAUUAACUAAAUUAGAUACUAUUUUAGAAACUAUUUUUUUUUAUCUAAAGUGGUUUUUAUUAUUAAUAAAAAUUUAUAAAAUGGUUUCUAAAAUUGGUAUCAAACCUAGGUUUUAGUUACUAAUAUUUUAAAUUAUAAAUUAGUCUCUAAAAGUCUAAUAGAGACUAAUUUAGAACAUGAAGAAGUAGCUAAAAUCUUGGCAGUUAAUGAUUAGAUACCAAUAUAGAAACUAUUUUACAAAUUUUUAUUAAUAAUAUAAAAUAUUUUAGAUAUCAAUAAUUUUUUUAGUUUAUAAAAUAAUAUUUAAUUUAGUCAAAUAGUAACUAAUUAUUUUUAUCUCUAAAAUUAAUUUCUAUUUAAUAAUUAUUUUUUAAUAAAUUCUUUGUUCAAAUUUGAUUCAAACAUCACGUUGACUUUACAUUAUACCUUUUAUUUUUCUCCCACUUGAUCCAGACAAUUUUAUUUUCCUCAACUCCCGGUACCCAUGAAAAAUUUCUUUCUAGUUUUACAAUCUUCCUCUUUGUUAACAUUUGUAUCAUACUUUGACUUUGGAAUGAGUAUACUAAUGCAUUAACCCAAAUAUUGCAAUAUGAUUGGUUUAUCUUUCGAUCACCAUUAGAUCAUCGCGGAAGAAAAUUUGUGAGAAAUCCCUGCAAAAGAAUUUUCAAAAGGAAAUAUAAAGAAGAAAAAGUAAAACAUGCAUAGAUAAAAAAAAAUCAUCAAUGGUCAAUACGAAGGCACAUGAAAAUUGCCUGAAAUGUUUAAGAUGUGCUGCUAGCUAUGACAUUGUUUUUUUUUUUCUUCUAUCAGCAAUAAAAAAUAAAUAAAUAGAAAUCACUUCAGAAGUCACUACAAGAAAAUCAUGAGAUAAAAACUAAUUUUUAAAUACCAAAAUAAUUAGUUGCAAUAGUAACUAAAUUAGAGAUCAUUUUAUAAAUUAAAAAAAAUUAUUGGUUUUUAAAUUAGUUUCUAUUAUUGUUAAAUAGUUUCUAAAUUGGUAUCUAAUUAGUAACCAAGGUUUUAGAGACCAAAUUUAGAAACUAAAUAAUUGGUAGUUAAAACAUUGGUUGUUAAUUAGAUAUCAAUUUAAAAACUAUUUAACAAUAAUAGAAACUAAUUUAUAAACCGAAUUUUGUUUAGUUUCUAAAAUUGUAUCUAAUUUAGUUACUAUUGCAACUAAUUAUUUUGGUCUCUAAAAAUUGGUUUCUAUUUCAUGAUUUUCUUGUAGUGAGUGGUCCAACCUUUUUACUGGAAUACACAAAAUCAUUCUCCUAACUAGACACGCCUACCAACUUGACUAAGGAACUACCAAAACAAACACUAACAAACUUUAAAGAAUCAGUCUCACACAAGCCAAAGGAUCCAAAACUCAACUAGGAUAGAAAAAAUAAGCAAAACGAGACUUUGCAAAAAUUCAAGACCAUACAUUUACUUGCGCCGAAGCGAAUACUUUUAACACAUUUGUCACUCCCCCAUUAAAUAAAAUUUCACUCACAAUUCCAACUCAAAUUGCGCUUCAAACAUCAUUAACCGAAUACUAAAUAAGUUUUAAGCUAUAAUCCCAAAAAUAAUGAUAUUUAUAAAGAGAAAAACAAGUGGAAAGAGCAAACAAACCUUGGUGACUCUAUUGGAAUAACAAACAAUAAUGAUUGAGCUAGACUAUAUAAUGGUCUUUGUUUUUAUUUAUUUUGUCAUUAACUGAGGUAACGCCGUGAUUUGUAGAUCUCUUAUACAUGAAGCCUUUUCUUAGCUGGAUAUUUAUGCUAUGUUGCCAAAGUUGACAUUCUGUGUGCUUUCAAAUCCUAUAAUAAUACUAAUUCACUACAACAAAAUAAUAAAAUAAAAACCAAUUUUAUAGAUAAAUAAUAAUUAAUUAUUUUAGAAACUAAAUAAAAUUAGUUUCUAUUAAUAAUUUUUAAAUUGGUAUCUAAUUAGUAACUAAAGAUUUUUCUACCAAAUUUACACUACAAGAAAAUCAUGAAAUAAAAACCAAUUUUUAGAGACCAAAAUAAUUAGUUGUAAUAGUAACUAAAUUAGAGACCAUUUUAGAAACUAAAAAAAAUUGUUUCUAAAUUAGUUUCUAUUAUUAGUAAAUAGUUUUUAAAUUAGUAUCUAAUUAGCAACCAAGGUUUUAACUACCAACUAUCUAGUUUCUAAAUUUGGUAGCAAAAACCUUGGUUGCUAAUUAGAUACCAAUUUAGAAAUUAUUUAACAAUAAUAUAAACUAAUUUAGAAAACUAUUUUUUUUAGUUUCUAAAAUGGUUUCUAAUUUAGUUACUAUUACAACUAAUUAUUUUUGUCUCUAAAAAUUGUUUCUAUUUCAUGAUUUUCUUGUAGUGUUAGAAACUAAAUAAUUGACAGUUAAAACAUUGGUAACUAAUUAGAUAAACUAUUUAGUAAUAAUAAAAACUAAUUUAUAAAUCAUUUUUUUUAAUUUUUAAAAUGGUCUUUAAUUUAGUUACUAUUACAACUAAUUGUUUUGGUAUCUAAAAAAACUAAUUAUUUUGGUAUCUAAAAAUAGGUUUUUAUUUGAUAAUUUUUUUGUAGUGAUUAAUGCUACACUUUUUAAUGGUCCGUUUAACUCUUUUGGUAAAAAUAUUAUUUAGUUAAAGUUGAAUGAAAUAACGAUAAUGUACAAAAGAAAAUGCUUGUAUAUUUGGCUUUCUAGUUUUCUAAAAUUAAAUAAUUGUGGUCUACUGCUAUUAAGUUCUUCAAUUUUAAAACAAAAUGUUAAUACACUGGUUACUGAUAACAAUGUUAGUUAAUUAUUUAUACAAAAUAUUAAUCCCAAUGUUUAAUUAUAAAGUUUUAUUAUUGUUAUCACGAAAUAUAUAUUGGUAAUUUUUUGUUAGUGAUUAAAUAAUAUAUAUUAUAUUGAAUUAAAAUUAUUUAAUUUAAGAAAUUUAGAGAACUAAAUGUGAUAUUAAAACUUUUAUACAGGCAAUAAAUUUACGUUGACCCAAUUAUGACGAUUAAAAUUAUAUUAAAGUCAAAUAACAAUAAAAAAACAAGUAUAAUAUUUGUCAUGGCUAUACUAUUUUUCUUGCCUCACUGUUAUAGCGGUCCCAUGACAUAAUAUUCUGAUUUAUUUUUCUUGGCUUAGUGGAUAUAGGUUUUUUUUUUAUAUAUUUUUGCUGUUAUUUCUGAGGGUUUUUUUAGGGUUGUACUACCUGUUGGGUUUAAUAGUGUCAAAGUUCAAGAGGGGUGAAUUGACCUUUUAAAACUUUCUCGCAGAAACAGAGUUUAACACAGUUUACAGAAAAUAAAUCGAUUUAUGUGAAAAUGAACAGAUUUAUUUCAGCACUGUUUUUGUUUGAAAAGCGUUUAUACAGCAAGGUUAAUCACAAGAUUAUGCAGAUAGAUUUUCCAGAUGCACACACACUGAUAUUAGAACGAAAACCAGUGAAACACACAACAGCAAACUUCAAUUUCAAGCAAGUGAUUAAGGUUCGAUUGAUAGCAUGCCAAUUAAUUGAGUAACCUUUACAAUCAACCUGUUCCAGUGACUUUUAACAAAUUAUAAGUGUUCUUCUUGAAACAAAGAGUUUUCCAGAAAUUAAGAACAGUGAAUCACAGAACAGCAAGCUUCAAUUUUAANNNNNNNNNNNNNNNNNNNNNNNNNNNNNNNNNNNNNNNNNNNNNNNNNNNNNNNNNNNNNNNNNNNNNNNNNNNNNNNNNNNNNNNNNNNNNNNNNNNNNNNNNNNNNNNNNNNNNNNNNNNNNNNNNNNNNNNNNNNNNNNNNNNNNNNNNNNNNNNNNNNNNNNNNNNNNNNNNNNNNNNNNNNNNNNNNNNNNNNNNNNNNNNNNNNNNNNNNNNNNNNNNNNNNNNNNNNNNNNNNNNNNNNNNNNNNNNNNNNNNNNNNNNNNNNNNNNNNNNNNNNNNNNNNNNNNNNNNNNNNNNNNNNNNNNNNNNNNNNNNNNNNNNNNNNNNNNNNNNNNNNNNUUGAAACCUACAAGAACUUAGGUACUCUUGCUGAAAAAACCUAUUUCAGCUCACACACACUCUCCAAGAAAACCUAUCAAGAAGAGCGUUCAACCAAACUAUUACAAGAAGUGAAAAGUGAAACGACUACACCUGAUUGAGGAAACAAAGAUCUGCCUUAAACCAGUAGGCAAGAUUGCUAGAACAGUAGCAACACCUCACACCAAGCUUUUGGAACCAAACCAAGAACAAGCACUUUGUGAUUUUCGAAAUCUUUGAAGAACAAAUGUUAAUCCUUUGUAAAGUCUUAAUUCUCUGCUGUAAAACUUGUUUUUACAAAUGUAUGAACGAUGUUUAAACUCAGAAACAAGUUUUCAUUUUAUAGAAAACCAACUUAUAACAGAAUUUUGAAAAACAGUUAAAGUUGUUAUAAAAUGAACAGAUUGAAAACAAAAUGAACAAAUUUAUUUUCAAAAGCAGCUAGAGAAUUUGUCAAGUGAGGAGACUUAGUCAACCAUUCUGGUGCAGAGGUAAAACUGAAAAACGUUUAAGCUAGAUAUGGCACCAGAAACAAAAAGAAUCUAUUCAUUUACAGAUGAACAGAUUUAUUUUUCAAAACGAAAACAGAAAAGCUUAACUAUUUGAAACACAGUCGUUUUGAAAGAUAGAAGACUUAGUCAAAAUACAUGAUGCACAAAAUCUAAUUUUCACAAGACUUAGCCAAGGCAUCAGUGUAAAAAUGAAUCUGUUUAUUUAGAAAAGAACAGAUUUAUUUUUAUGCAGUAAACGUGUUUUUUGUAAAACAUGUGAAAAACAGUUUAAGAAAACUUAUGCUUGUUCUUAUCACAUGGCCAGUGGUUAUGAGGUGAGUUACUCAGCAAAAAACCCACUCUUAGACAACCUCUAAGCACUACACACUUAAAGCAAAGCAAAAUACACAUGAAAUGUACAUAGAAGUCUUUAUCAAACACAAUCUUGAAGGGGCAACAACCAUCUUCAACACUACCGGGUCGAUAAGACGUAGAAGUAAGUAGAUGAUAAACUGCGAUUAAUCAUAAUUAAGUCAGUUUAAUUAUAAAUUAUGAUUAAGGCACAAAUGAACCUUCGCCUGAGUUCAAAAGAAGGUCCAUAAUAGCUAAAGCCUAUAAAUAUCAGAAAGGAUCUAAUAUCAGAGGUAAUUUUCUAAUCUCUAACACACUUAUAUAUUAUACCUGGACUGACUUGAGCGUCGAAGCGUUUCGCAGGUAACACACCUUGUCGUUCUUGGGGAAGGACUUGCAAGACGGAGAGACGCCGAACACAGGAGCGGCAAAGAUGAGAAGACGAAAACUACAGGAGUCGUUAUGAGAGGAACCCGACCUUGUAAGAAUAAGAGUUAUAUAUAUAUAUAUAUAUAAACGAGUUAUAAUAAGAAUUAAAUUCCUUAAAUUCCUGAUAAAAAAUACUAUUUAUCAGGACAAUAAAGUCAAUAUUCUAAAAUCUUAACCAAAAGUUGAAAUUUCUUCCUGCACCCCCAAAAAUUUUUCAUGCAGUCCCAUAAUUCUAAAACUCCUAAACAUUACAAAAUCUGGAAUAUAAAAAUUUUGAUUUUAUGGAUUUUGGAUUGUGCGCAUAUAAAAUUAUAUUUCUGAUUGUGAAAUUUAGAAUAAAAUUUUAUAUUUUAUAUUGCACAAUUUGAAAGACUAUUCUAAAUCUAGGAAUAAGUUUUGAAUUGUACAAUUCAUACUACGUUUACAAUAUAGUUAUAUUUCAUGGUUGGUGGGUGUUGGUGUUAGUGCUACUUUUGCACCUUCUCUUUUGUGUAAUUAAAAUCUGUUUAGGAUUCCCUUUUCUUGAUACAAGUGUUAUUCGGAAUCUCUCACAAUAUUACAAGCUCUUCAAAAUCUCUCACAUAUUAAACGCUAUAGACACUCUUCUUCUUUCUCACAAUAGACGCUCCGUAACAAUCUUCUUCUUUCUCACGAUAGAUGCUCCAUGACUCUCUUCUUCUUCCUCACAAUAGAUUCUCCGUGACACUCUUCUUCUUCCUCACGAUAGACAUUCCCUCUUAUCAUGAUGUGUAUAUUGCAAAGAAGAUUGUUCCAUAUAUUCAAGAAGAUGAAAAAAUCUGGUUGCGGCGAACCUAUUAAAAUAUUGAGAGGAUUCCCUUGGACAUUGACAUUUACUACAAGAACACCGAACUAUCAAGACGAAGAAGAUGAAAAGAAGGUGUUGUUGGUUUUUUUAUUAAGGGUAAAAUAGAAUUUUCAUCAUCCUUAUGGUGGUGCAGGAAACAAAUUCCCCAAAAGGUUUGUCAAAAUUUAUUUGUUUUGGAAGCCCAAAUUAGAAAGGGUUAUGUAGGCUUCAAGCUUUGAAAUUAAGGAUGUUUCUUCCUGCUCCCUAUCAUUCUUCUUCGGGCACCCAUCAAAAUCAUGAAAUGACGAAAAAAUUUCUUUUAAAAAACCCAUCCGAAUUAUUUUGAUUGGACUAGGAUCAAUUCAAAUCAAGAGGCUUUAAACCAAAAAAAGCUCAAUAAAAGAGAUGAAAUAUUCGGAAAUUCAAUAAUUAAAUUAUAACUUGUAAAAUAUCAGUUUACACUAAUUUUUUUAAAGAAAACAACCGAUCAUAUAUAUAAAGGAAAGUAAAUUUAUUCUAAUAGAAAUUCUAAAGUAAUUAUUUUUUUCGUUAUUUACUUUUUGAAUUCAACAAUUAAAUGAAAAUAAAGAAGGGAGAAUAUAAAUAUAUGAUGAAGCAAAGUACUGAGUACUGAGGCAAAAGUAGUACGAAAUAUGGCUGGGGUUUUAUGGGUAAUCUUGUGGACCAAUUAUUGAAUCACAUGAGUUGUCCUCAUUAUUGAUAAUCUUGACUUUGGGGUGGGUGGUACUCCUUUAUUUCUCAUCUUCAUCAAUAUUUUAUUACAUAUUAAAUAUUUAAUCAUACUUUUUUAUAAACGAAUGCAUGUUUUUAUUUAUAGUGUUUAUGCAAUGUUAUAUAACUUUCAUUAAGAAUUUCGUAACUGAUUUUAAAAUUAUGAUUCUGUUUACUAUGUUUAAGGAUAAUACUUGUAAUUCUUUUUAUUUAAGUAAAUAUCUCCCUAUCUCUCCCCUUUUUUCACUCGCAUAACCCUCCCGUGAUUUGUAUAAUAACGUAACCCCAAAUAUUCAUUAAUGACCUCUCCUAAUUUCUUAUACUGUUAUAUAUAAAUUUUAGGAAGUUUAUGUGCAAUUUAUUUAGUUUUAGUCAAGAAAGAUUAUCUUAACUAUAGUAUUUAGUUGAACCGAGAACACUGAUUUCGAAUUGAAAUAUUCUAUCUAUUUUUUUUAUUUUAUUUUACACACGCAUGUCUUCUCUCCUCUUUUGUAUUUGAUUAGUUCGUAGUUUCAUUUAUCCAACUCAUUUGUCUCCCCCUCUUAACAAAUAAAUGAGAUUUUUUUUCAUUAAUUUUAGAAAUCAAAAUUUGACCCAUUACAUAUAAAAAAAAUAUUUACAAAAUAUAAGUAACUAAAGAUAUUAUUUGAAUGCAGAAAUCUUCCUAAGUGCAUUAUAUUGAAUUUCUUUUAGAUGUUAAAAUAUUACAUGCUUCUACUUGGGAGAUGGAAUCUAAAGAACUAUUGAAGUCUUCUUCUCCUUCCUUCGGUCGGUCGGGUGACAGGGCGGUGAAUUGGGAUUCUUCUCGUCCUCCUGCUUCUCCUUCGGCACUCGGUCUCGGGUGAACACCGGAUGGUGGAGGUACCUGCGAAGGCACUCCGACGCUCAAGUCAGUAAAGUGAGUGGUCAGCUCUCUCAUGUAGGUGAACAGUAAUAAAUGGCAUACCUUACUCCUUGGGAUGCGUGCUAUUUAUAUUAUUCUAAUGGGUCUACCUUGUUGGGUUCGUUUAUCGAGGUGGAUACCGCUUAGGGUUGCAUUACCUAAUUCUUAAUGAUGGAUUAGCUUUACUGAUCUUGGUUUGAGCGUUAAUGAUAAUAGGGGUCGGCCGUCGGCCAAGUUAACUUGUUGUGUGUCGGCCCUCGGCCAGAUUUCCAUGGUCUCGGCUUUCUCGGCCAGGUCUUCUAAGGUCUCGGCCAAGUAGGUCGUCGACCUCGUCGUCUCGGCCAAGUCUCUCAGGUCUCGAUCAGGGUCUUGGGUAGGUUGAGCAGGUCUCGAUCAAUCACUUGGGUCUUGGAUCUUGGGCAGGGAGAUCAGGGUUCGGCCUCGCCCAUACCAGUACACUACAAGAAUGUAAAAUUCAUAAAGAUUAACGAGUAUGUACAUUGCCAAACUUGUUUUUGAAAUUAAGAAGAAUAUAUAAACAGUAUUAAUUUAUUUAAAGUUAUACCAUAAAUAAAUUUAGAAAAUCUUUGAGAGAAAAGUAUUUAGCUGAAACCAUUUUUUGGGUUCUACAAAAGGUAUUAAUUGCUACGUGCUGAAAAUGAAGCAUAAUUUGAAAAGGCAAAGCAGGUGAUACUCUUGGUUUUUUGAGCUUACCCCUACAGAGCUUGCUAUCUAAUGGCUUACGCUACUUUUGGUUCAACUUUCUCUUUCACCACUUUUUGUUCCUUCUCUAUUCCUAUAAAAGAAACCAAUUAUUUAUUUAUAUUUCCCUUUUUUUGGUAAUGUUUCUUCCUCUUAUAUAUGCCAUUUAUUAUUAUUUUUUUCUGUGUAUCUUUCUUAAGUGAUUGAUGCUCCUCAAUUAAAGUGAUCUUAAAUUACAUGUUUUCUUCUUUUCAUGAAUAGAGAUAGUUUUGCAUUCUUUUGGGUUUAUAGAUAAUCAGAGACGGUAAUAAAAUAAGAGAGAAAUAAAUACACAAAAUAAUUAAAAUUGGAACAAAAAAAUAAAAUUGAUAUUUUGUUGGUUCUGAUUGAAAUUUGCACUAUUGUUCAGUUGCAGUUGCUACAUGCUCCUAAAAGUUUGAAUUGCUGAAUCUUUUUUUUUUUUUACUUUUAUAAUAACUGAUAAAAGUACGCAACAAUUUCUAAUUAGAUGGUUAAGAGUGUAUAAAAAAACUAUAUUUCAUACAAAAUGUUAAGAAUACAUUUUUUAAUGUACUUUUUAUAAUACAUUAUUAACUGCUCACUAGACAUGAUUAAAAAUACACAACUAUGUUUUACUCCUUAUUAAAUAUAUCUCAUGGUAAUUUUAAUAUCUUUUAAGACAUUUUAAGUGAUAAAAAAGUGUCUUACAUUAUUCAAAAAUUCGGGUGAACAAUAAUAUGAAUAUUUUCUUUCUUUAAUCAAUCAAAAUGUUUUUUUGAAUAUAAUAUUGAAGAAUUAGACACGGAUAAUAUUUCAAAUUUGAUUAUGAGUAUAAUCUUAGUUGAAGUAAGAAGAUUAUUUGAAGAGAUUUAGUAUAUGACUUUUUUUUUAUUGAAUACUUGGAAGUAAUGAGAGGAUUAAUAAGAGGUAUCUUGUUAAGUAAAAGUGUGUGUAGUUGCAUACAUUUCACACCACAUGUCGACAUUCCUUUGGCUUUUUUACACCUCUCUUUCUCUCACUGUCCCUCUCACAUUCACAUCGACUUUGACCUGUUGCCAGCCACCGGCAUCUCUUUUAUCUCUACUCCAAUGGCGACCCCACCCCUUCACUCUCUUCAUCCAUCAUCUUCAUCUUCUAAAACCCUCUUUUUCUCACCACAAUAAGCUUAAAUAACCUUUCCUCUCCUUUCAUUUCCUUCUUUUCCUUCCCUCAAACCCUAAUCCACUCCUCCUCGUAAUUUACGCCUUCCUUUCCCACCCCUAAUAUUAUGCAUCAUUAUUAAGAUCUAUAUGCAUACUUUCCUUUUUCCUUUUUCCAGAAGCCCGCUUUCCCAAUUGGAUUUCGUGAAAACUUUAUCUCCAUACACGUAAUUUAGUGUUCAAGUUCCACUCUUCUUAUACUAUUUCAAACCAUUUCUUCUUUAGUGUUUCUUUUUUUGUUCAAGCAAUGGAUUCUGGUAACAGUGGAAGCAUCUCUUCUAGCGAUGAAGAAUACGAUUCAUCACACGCUGAUCCAUCCUUCCUCAAUCAUUUCGGUUCCAUCUCCCACCCCCAACCAUCCCUUGUUCCUUCUCACCCCUCAAUGUUUGAUCUCUCCUCAAGCUACCUCCAUGCUCUCUCACAAUCCAACCCAAACCAAAACCCCCACAAUUCCUUGUUAAACAUGAAUUCCCAUGCCCAAAGAUCUGAGCCCAAUUGCACUCUCCCUGAAAGCCUGCCAUCUUCUUCAUCAGCUACACCAACAAUAAACCAAUGCUUGUCGGGUCCUCAACCCCUUGGCCACGACAACAUUAGUGCAAGACAACUCUCGUCACCACCAAAAACCAGCAACCUCGUACGCAACUCCAAGAAACGAAGCAGAGCUUCAAGGCGUGCACCCACCACCGUUCUCACCACCGACACCACCAAUUUCAGAUCCAUGGUUCAAGAGUUCACUGGAAUCCCUGCACCUCCUUUUUCACCUUCCUUCUCCCGCCGCCUCCCUCUUCGCUCAAACUCUUUGCUUUCAACUUCUUUAAGGUCCUCGUUACACAACAACACCACCAUCAAUCUUUCUCCUGAUAAUAACCCCAUUAACUACCAACUACUUCCUGAUCUAUCUUUACCCUAUCAGACCCCAGAGAAUAUCAUGCAACACCACCCUAUUCCCACAUUCCACCCCUCUUAUUCUCUUCAACCUCUUGUCCCUGCAGGGUUUGGUGCAAAGUCUUUAUUCAUGCCCGCACUUGAUGCGCAUGAUCUGGUGGUUGCACAGGGUCAUGAACACGUGGUAUCUGAGGGCAUGCUUCUGAGGGGUGUCGGUGACGGUGAUUGUAGAGAUGGUGGCAACGUUGGAGGGGGGAGAAGAGACUCGUUUAGGUGCUUGGAUGGGAACAACUAUGGUGGCUGCAAGCUCAACAUCUCGGUUUCUGCGUCGAGCAGCAUGAACCACGAGAAGAACUUGGAUAAUGGUAAUUCCCCUAGGGAAGGUGCCGUGGAAGCGUGGAUUUGUUCUUCUCAUCAAUAGGAUCCCGCGUGUGAGAGAGUAAACAGUAUACUCAACAGGUGAAUCAUUGCAGCGUGGAAUUUCAUACACUGCAAUGAAUUAAGAGUGUCAUGAUGAUGAUGUUGAUCCUAGUGGUGUAGUGUUGGUGGUUAGCAUUUGCAGCUAUCAUUUUUUCUUUUGUUUUGUUUUUUGCUUUAAUUUUUUUUAUAUUGUUGAAAGUAUAGGUAGAUAGGGUGAGAUUAAUUUAAUUACAUAGUAUAAGGAGUAUACUAUAUAUACAUAUACUCCUGUUAUUUGUAUGUACUUUGAUGCUCGUGUUAUCUUUUCUUUAGUGUUGGGAUCUAAAACUAAUAUUAUUAAUGGAAUAUUAGUUUCCCCAACCACAUGAUCGUACGCAUGAUUAGAUCCCGUUAUUUAAUAAUAUCUCUAUACUAAAAGUAUAUAUAAUGAUAAUCUUAUUAUGAAUAAUAAUGAUAAUGGUGAUGAUAAUUUAUCAUCUUCAUUAGGGUUGCAGAGAGACUGUAACUAAAAUACUACUGAUGAUGAGGAAAAAAUGUAUAGCUCAGUAAUGAAAUUAUUUGUGCUUUCCCUUAGUAACUAUGACAGUAAAUGCCAAUAAAAAAAACUAUGACAGUACUGUGAGAUAUACCAUAAAAGAUAUAGUCAUGCAUUUCUUUUUUAACAAGUUGAUUUUACCAUAAAAGUUAGAAAAAAAAACCUAGUACAGGGUGUGCUAAAGUCCAACGUAUAAUGUCUCAUAAUUUUAUAACAUACGUGUGAUAUAGAGUGCAGUUGUUGUUAUAUAUGGUCAUCAGUCAUUAGAAAUGACUAAAAUUUGUUUAAAUUUCAAAAUUAAGUUAGUUCAAAUGGAGACAAUUUUAUACUGUAAGGAUUAACUACUUUGUAAGUUGAUGUGGUAGUCUCUAAAGUAUUGUAUUUAACCUAAGAUCAAAUCUGAAACCGAAUAUAUUCUGAUACGAGACUAAAAAUAAAUUGGAUUUAAUUAAACUUUUAGAAGGCUAAUUUAAAGAAAAGGUUCUUUAUAAUGAUUGUUAAUUAGCUUCGUUUUUAGUCAUCUUGGCAUUAUUCAAUAAAAAAAAGUUAAUUGCAUUUGCAUGCGAGAGAACAUAAGGUGUUAACUAUAUUACAUGAAUAUUUUAAAAUUUAAACAAAUUAAAAUAAAAAUUUUCAGAAGAUAAUAGAAAUAGAAGAUUCAUUAUUAUCAUUGCCAAUUUAAAUAGAUUAAAGUAUAACAACGUUAAGAAAUAAAUCAUGAAAAAAAUUAAAUCAAGACUGAUCAUUUUUAUAAAAAGGGUAUAUCAAAAUUCAAAACAUUAAAACUAAAUUCAAACUAGGAUUAUUUAUGGCUAUAAGAUUCUUCAAUUUUAAUUUAUUUAGAACCAAGGACAAAAAGUAUUAAGAUUAAAAAAUAAAAGAAAAUAAAAUUUAAAUUUAAAAAGUAGUAUUGUAAAGAAAUAAAUAGCUAUACACUGGAAAAAUAGAAUUAAAUAUUUUAAAAGUAAAAGACCUUAAAUUAUUUUUACAAAUCCCAAGCAUCUUUUGUUAGAGGCAAUAUGUUGAAAUUGAAUAAAAUAAUUAUGUAUCAUGGAAUUCUUUCAUCAAAAUUGAACGGUUGCAUAUUCAAGACUCCAAAAAUUCUAAGUCUGAGAUUACUAAGCCAAAUCCGUUCACAUAUUUAUUAGUACAAAAGAGAUUACAUGAAUCAAGACAACGAAAACAAAAAUAUUUUUUAUUACAAAAAUAAUAACUCAAAGGGAUAUGGAGAUUAUAAAAUCUUGGACGAUUGAUUAUACCGGUGGAACCCUUUUCUACUUAUUGCUUUGGAAAACAUAAAAAAAAAAUUAAGAAGCCUACGUUGUUUGUAAACAAAGAAAUGGUUGUUGGAUUGAGUUUUGCCAUGAACUACGAAGCAGCUAUGAUAAUGGUAUUUAGAAAUGAAAGUAAAAAAUAUUUUAACGUACUAUAAAAUAAUAUGGCUUCCAUAUUUAUUUAUAAUUUAUAAGUUGUUAUAUUUUAAUAAAAGUGUGUUUGCAUGUUAGCAUUUAUUAACGGUAAUAAGGACUCUCUUUGUGAUUGUGGUCCAAAUGCCUACACUUUUUUAAUUUGGCAACAGAUACUUUCUUGGUUUAUGUAGGGAAGCCAGAGGAAAACGAAAUCAAUCUUUAUCUUCUUUUUCUUCUUGAACAUACACACGUUAUAUUGAAACAAAACUAAUAUAUGAGUAUAAUUCAAUUCACUAAGUGGAUUAAAUUAGAAAAAUUGUUCUAUUUACUCUCUAGUUGUGAUUUGUUAAGACUAAAAUAUCUAUCACCUACCUCAUCGAAUUUCUUAAUCGCAUAAGACUAAAAUAAAAUUUGCUUUCUAAAUAAGAUUCAUGGAGCUUAUUAUGCUAAAUUCUUAGUUUUUUUUUAUCAGCAAAAAAUAAUAAAUAAUAUAUGUAUUCUGGGAAUACCUCAACUCUUAUACAAGCAAGUCAACCUAAGACUUCAAACUCUCCAACACAUAAGACAGAGUUUAAAAUCAAAACAACCACCCAAGUCUUCCACUACCCCCACCUAAUACUUUUUGAUAGAUUUCAUGUAAACCAGCGGCUCAAGACACCAGUCAAAGUAAGAAAAACUAGCUAGACGAAUUUUGGAGGAAACUCACGACCAUACCUUCAAUUUCACUAUUGUGAAGAUUUCAAUGUGGUCUACCUCCCAUUCCUAAAAUCUUCUGAUUUCUAUGUCUCCACAAUUCGGUUUUUUGACCAUGAUGGGGUUAUUUUUUUUUGUUUUUACCAAAAUGGGGUCUGUUUUAAAAAAAUUACAAAUUUAGGCAAGUCGUGCCUAAUUGGGACGACUUCAUAUGCAGAAGUCGUCCCAAUUAGGCACGAUUUCUGCCAUGUCAUACUAAAGUCGUGCCAACUUGGUACGACUUCUGCCCUGUCAUACUGAAGUCGUGCCAAGUUGGCACGACUUCUGCCCUGUCAUACUGAAGUCGUGCCAAGUUGGCACGACUUCUGCCUUGUCAUACUGAAGUCGUGCCAACUUGGCACGACUUCUGCCACGUCAUACUGAAGUCGUGCCAACUUGGCACGACUUCUGCCACGUCAUAAUUUUUUUAUUUUAUUGUUUAUAUAUUGGGUAGUAAGUGUUCUGUAAAAUCAUUACUUCUCAAACUAUUUAUUUUGCAAAUUCACAACAAUAAUUCUCUAUUUAUUUUCCAAAUAUUCACAACAAUAAUUCUCUAUUUAUUUUCCAAAUAUAAUAAUUUUUCAUUUAUCUAUUUAUUUCCAAAUUCAAUAACAAUUUUCUUCAUUUUUUAAUUAAUCAAAUAAUCAAGUUAUUGUAUUACAUUACUGUCAAACAUGAUACAUACACAAUUAUCCAAUUUUUUGUUCCUUAAAACUAACACUCUUAAAAAAUUAUGUAUCAAAUUAAUUUUUAACAUUACAUAACUUACUAUCCAAUAUAUAAACAAUAAAAUUUUAAAAAAAAAUAUGACGUGGCAGAAGUCGUGCCAACUUGGCACGACUUCUGUAUGACAAGGCAACCUCACCUUCUCAUAAGAUUUAGACCACACCUGCCAAGUUACUCUAUGUACAAAAAAGAUAUGACGUUGUUUCCUCUACCUCCCCAUGUAGACUACACAUAUUGCUUCCCGAACUUAUCCCCUUUCUCUCUAGAUUCUCUUUAGAUGCAAUCUUAUCUUCCAUGACCCUCCAUGCUGCGAAAUGAGAUAAUGGUAGUGCUUUUAUCCUCCAAAAACAUUCAUAUGUAGCUACCUCAUCCCCCUGAACUUCCUC